CUUUUUUUUGUAGUGCACCUUACCCCACUGGGCGCGCCCCCUACCUUGUGGGACCUCGUGUGCUCUCCGGACUCCGUUUUCUUGCACGAUACUUCUUUAAGUCGGUAAAAAAUCAUUAUAUAAUCUCCCAAAGGUUUUGACCACCAUAUCACGCAAAAAUCUUCUGUCUUUGUUUCGAGUUGUUUUUCUGAUAGACCUACAGCAUCAUGACAUCACCCUCCUCCAACAAUGAAGACAAGGAUGCUUGGCUAUUGAAGAUAAAGCUAAAGAGAGAAGAACCUGGGGAGAUCAACAAGGAUGAAGGGAUCAAGAAGGCCAUGGAGGAUCAAGCUCUAGCGGCAGAAGAAGAAAACAUCCCUCAACCUCUUCCUAACCUCUUUACCCUGACUGAGAUUGAAGCUUUCAAGAUGAUUGAGUUAGCUCGCAUACAAAACAAGUAUCUCACACAGGAAAAUAUUUUGUUGAAGGAUCAUAUCAUCGCACUUAAGGGCAUUAUCCGCAAGUUGGAAGAACUUCUACAUUCGAUGUGAGACUAUCCAUCAUCACCACCACCUUCUUCACCACCUCCGAGGACAUAAUCACAUGGGUAUGGGCACUCCCCUUGGCAACUGCCAAGCUUGGGGGAGGUGCCCUGGUAUCGUAUCACCAUCACACUCCUAUCUUUACCAUUUUUCUUAGUUUGAUCCUUUUGGUAAUAUCUUGAUCUAGUAGAGUAAAGUCUUGGUAUGAAUUAGUUUUGAGUUUUGCUUUGUGAUCCCUCUAUGUAAUCUAGUCCGGGAGCUAUAUAUAAUAAAGAUUAGUGUUGAGUCAAGGGCUUUGCUGUCUUGCUAUGAUCUUGAGAAAAUAGAAAGAAUAAAAAGAAUAAAAGAGCUCAUAUUGAUCUUAUGGAUAGUAAUGACUUCACAUAUAAAGAGUAUGAUGAUUAAAAGUUGUUGAGAGUUGGUAAACACAGUUUUGGUCAUCGUUGCAAUUAAUAGGAAGUAAUAAAGAAAGAGUGGUUCUUGGACAUCUUUCAUGAUUGUGAGCACUCAUUAAAGUAUGACAUGCUAAAGAGUUGAUGUUGGACAAGGAAGACAAUGUAAUGGGUUAUGUUUUCUCACAUUUCAGUUAAAUUAUAUUGUCAUGGAUCGUCCAACAUGUUGAGCUUGCCUUUCUCCCUCAUGCUAGCCAAAUUCCUUGCACCAGGUAGAGAUACUACUUGUGCUUCCAAAUAUCCUUAAACCCAGUUUUGCCAUGAGAGUCCACCAUACCUACCUAUGGAUUGAGUAAGAUCCUUCAAGUAAGCUGCCAUGUUGUAUGCAAUAAAAAUUGCUCUCUAAAUAUGUAUGACUUAUUAGUGCAGAGAAAAUAAGCUUUAUACGAUCGUGUGAUAUGGAAGUAAUAAAAGCAACGGGCUGCAUAAUAAAGGUUCAUAUCACAAGUGGCAAUAUAAAGUGAUGUUCUUUUGCAUUAGGAUUUUGUGCAUCCAACCAUAAAAGCACAUGACAACCUCUACUUCCCUCUGUGAAGGGCCUAUCUUUUACUUUAUGUCUUUUACAUUAUGCAAGAGUCAAGGUGAUCUUCACCUUUCCCUUUUUAUUUUAUCCUUUGGCAAGCACCUCGUGUUGGAAAUAUCCUGACAUAUAUAUCCAAUUGGAUGUAAGUUAGCAUGAACUAUUAUUGUUGACAUUACCCUUGAGGUAAAACAUUGGGAGGCAACCCUAUAAGCCCCUAUCUUUCUUUGUGUCUGAUUAAAACUCCAUAGCCAUAAGUAUUGCAUGAGUGUUAGCAAUUGUGGAAGACUAAAUGAUAGUUGAAUAUGUGGACUUGCUGAAAAGCUCUAUUAUUGACUCUUUCCUAUGUUAUGAUAAAUUGCAAUUGCUUCAAUGACUGAGAUUAUAGUUUGUUAGUUCUCAAUGAAGUUUUUGAUUCAUACUUGACAUUGUGGAUAGAUUGUUACUUGAGCAUAAGAAAUCAUAUGACAAAUUAUAUGUUGUUGUUAUAAGAAUGAUCAUGAUGCCCUCAUGUCCGUAUUUUAUUUUUAUCGACACCUCUAUCUCUAAACAUGUGGACAUAUUUUUCGAUAUCGGCUUCCGCUUGAUGACAAGCGAGGUCUAAGCUUGGGGGAGUUGAUACGUCCAUUUUGCAUCAUGAUUUUAUAUCGAUAUUUAUUGCAUUAUGGGCUGUUACUACACAUUAUGUCACAAUACUUAUGGCUAUUCUCUCUUAUUUUACAAGGUUUACAUGAGGAGAAUGCUGGCAGCUGGGAUUCUGGGCUGGAAAAGGAGCAAAUAUUGGAGACCUAUUCUGCACAGCUUCAAAAGUCCUGAAACUCCACGAAAGUCAUUUUUGGAAUUAAUGAUAAUUAUUGAGCAGAAGAAGUACUAGAGGGGACCACACCCUGGCCAUAAGGGUGGGGGCGCGCCCACCCUUACAGGGCGCGCCCCCCUGCCUCAUGGGCCACCUGGCAACCCUCCGGUGCCCAUCUUCUGCUAUAUAAAGCCUUUUACCCUAGAAAAAAUCAUAAGCAAGCUUACGGGACGAAACUCCGCCGCCACGAGGUGGAACCAAUCUAGGGCUCCGGCGGAGCUGUUCUGCCGAGGAAACUUCCCUCCGGGAGGGGGAAAUCAUCACCAUCAUCAUCACCAACGAUCCUCUCAUCGGGAGGGGGUCAAUAUCCAUCAACAUCUUCACCAGCACCAUCUCCUCUCAAACCCUAGUUCAUCUCUUGUAUCCUAUCUUUGUACCAAAACCUCAGAUUGGUACCAGUGGGUUGCUAAUAGUAUUGAUUACUCCUUGUAGUUGAUGCUAGUUAGUUUAUCCGGUGGAAGAUCAUAUGUUCAGAUCCUUAAUGCAUAUUAAUACCCCUCUGAUUAUGAACAUGAAUAUGCUUUGUGAGUAGUUACGUUUGUUCCUGAGGACAUGGGUGAAGUCUUGCUAUUAGUAGUCAUGUGAAUUUGGUAUCCGUUCGAUAGUUUGAUAAGAUGUAUGUUGUCUUUCUUCUAGUGGUGUUAUGUGAACAUCGACUACAUGACACUUGACCAUUAUUUGGGCCUAGAGGAAGGCAUUGGGAAGUAAUAAGUAGAUGAUGGGUUGCUAGAGUGACAGAAGCUUAAACAAUAGUUUAUAAGUUGUUGCGUAAGGGGCUGAUUUGGAUCCAUAUGUUUCAUGCUAUGGUUAGGUUUACCUUAAUACUUCUUUUGUAGUUGUGAAUGCUUGCAAUAGGAGUUAAUCAUAGGUGGGAUGCUUGUCCAAGAAAGGGCAGUACCCAAGCACCGGUCCACCCACAUAUCAAAUUAUCAAAGUAACAAACGUGAAUCAUAUGAACAUGAUGAAAACUAGCUUGACGAUAAUUCCCAUGUGUCCUCGGGAGCGCUUUUCUCUAUAUAAGAACUUGUCCAGGCUUGUCCUUUGCUACAAAAAGGAUUGGGCCACCUUGCUGCACCUUAUUUACUUUCAUUGCUUGUUACCCAUUACAAAUUAUCUUAUCACAAAACUAUCUUUUAUCGACAACUUCAGUGCUUGCAGAGAAUACCUUACUGAAAACCGCUUGUCAUUUCCUUCUGCUCCUCAUUGGGUUCGACACUAUUACUUAUCGAAAGGACUAUGAUAGAUCCCCUACACUUGUGGGUCAUCAAUACCACACCUGAGAAAUUAUAUUUCUGCAACAAAGUGUUUAGUAACAUAGUAGUUUGAUGGUUUUGGUAGUAGUGGUAGCAACAGCAAUUAGCAAUAGUAACAGGAACAACAACAGUAGCAGUUUCUGAUGAUUGUAAUAGCAGCAACAAUGGUAACUUAGCAAAGAUCAAUAUAAGAAAAGCGUAGGCAUUGGAUCAACGAUGGAUGUUUGUGUCGAAUGAUAUUCAUCAUAUAAUAGGCACAACCUAAAGCGAUACAUAAUAGCACCAAUUCAUCAAUGUAAUAUAGGCAUGUAUUUUGUAUAUAGUCAUACGUGCUUAUAAUAAGAAAUUGCAUGACAUCUUUUGUCCUACCCUCCCAUGGCAACGGGGUCCAUAAGGAAAUCUAAGGGAUAUUAAGGCCUCCUUUUAAUAGAGAACCUGAACAAAGCAUCAGCACUUAGUAAUCACCGGAAAUCACCUCAUACUAAGGUAAUCACUGGAAAUAAUCCCAAUUAUAGUCACCUUGGGGCAUGUGAAUCAUAACACGUAAUAGGUGCGUACAACUUGCGAGAUAGGAUCGAGAACUCAAAUAUAUUUAUGAUAACAUAGAGGGUUCAGAUUGGCACUCAGGCCCUAGUGACAAGCAUUAUGCGUAGUAAAGUCAUAAUAACAUCAAUCUCAGAACAUAGUGGACACUACGGCCAAGCCCUAAAUUUUUUGACUCGAUUACAUGACAAAUCUCAUCCAACUCCAUCACCGUCCAGCAAGCCUACGAAUUAAUUACUCACUCCCAACGGUGAACAUCAUGGUGUUGUUGAUGGAGGAUAGUUGAUGAUGACGAUGUCAUCCAACCCCCCACUCUGGAGCCCCGAACGGGCUCCAGAUUAGCCCUCCUGAUGAAGAAUAGGAGGUGGUGGCAGCUCCGUAUCAUAAAACAUGAUGAAACUUUCUCUCUAUUUUUAUCUCCAUGAAACGGUAUUUAUGGAGCCGGAAAUAGGGCAACCGGGGGCUUGAGGGGCACACAAGCUCAUAGGGCGUGCCCUGGGGGCGCCCCCUGAGUUUGUGGCUCCUGGGUGGCCCCCCUCCAGUUGGUCCCUUCGCCAAUAUUUUUAUAUAUUCUGGAAAUAUUCUCCAUAAAUUUUCAACUCAAUCCGAGAACUUCUAUUUGUGCACAAAAAUAACACCAUGGCAAUUAUGCUGAAAACAACAUCAGUCCAAGUUAGUUACAUUCAAAUAUUUCAAAUUAAAGUCCAAAAUAAGAGCAUAAGUGUUUGGAAAAGUAGAUACGUUUGAGACGUAUCACUCCCUCCCUCAGUUGCGUGUUUAGGAUGGACUUGCAACCAGGAAAAAUGGAUAAGGUCCAAUGUGUGUUAAGAAUGGACUUGCAACUAGACCCAACCCAUUUUGUCUCUGAUGCAUGUCAAGGUUUGCGUGCACGACAAACAACUCUACAUGAGCGGUUAGGUUAGGACAACAAAAAACUUGAAGCAUAUAUGGAUGGUCAGUAAAAUUGGAUGUGACUUAACUGAUUCUCAUCUAUAUAAGAAUUAGCAUAUCCAUUUCUUUUAAGUUCAUGAAUUUAUAACACACAAAUUUAGUAAACAAUAAUGACUUUGGAAAAGAUAGUAACUUAAAAAGGUUUUAAAAUUUUAAAAAAUUGAGGAAUUCUAAAAAGUAUUUUUACACUUCAAAAAGAGUUUAUGUACCAAAAAUAUCCUGAACUAAAAAUGGGGAAUAAAUAAAAGAAGAGAAGAAAAUCAAAAAUAAAAUAAAAGUUAAAUGCUAGAAAAAUUCAGCACACAAAACUUCCUCGAAAAAAGAUAGCUCAAAACCAUGGCGUGAUCACAAUCACAUAAACAUGAAACGGCAAAAACAUAGAAAGGAAUAAACAAAUAGAAUUCCUUUCUUAGACAUUAACAAAUAGAACUGUAGACAUGGAGACAAACCCAUGUAGUAGAAUGCACUCUUAGUUGGUUCUUCCAGUCUUGACUUGAAAGAAAACCCACGAAAACCAUAUAUGGAUAAAACCAUAAAAUCACAAAUUAAGGAGUACUUUUUGAAAAGAUCACUUCCCUCCCAGGUUGCUACAUGUGCACCACUUGUCGCAACCAGGGAGGUUUUCCUUUUUUCCUUAGAUCCAUCUAUUCAAAAAAAAUUAUCUCUCAAAUAGUGCAUCUCGCGGAAGAAAAUCCCUGACUCCACGAGAAGUAAAUUUGUGCCUCUCGUGGAAGAAGAAAAAUCACAUUUUCCCUUUCCCGAGUGGCACUAAUACGUCUCUGUCAUAUCUAUAAUUUUGUAUUGUUUCAUGUCGAUAUUCUACAACUUUCACAUACUUUUGGCAACAUUUUCUAUUAUUUUGGGACUAACAUAUUGAUCCAGUGCCCAGUGAAAGUUCCUUUUUUUGCAUGUUUUUUGUUUCGUGGAAAAUCCAUAUCAAACUAAGUCCAAAUGCAACAAAAUUUUACAGAGAUUUUUUUGGAAUAUAUGUGAUUUUCGAGAGGAAGAAUCAACGCAAACGGAGGCCCAUGACCUUCACAAGGCAUUAGGGCGCAUGGGGUUGCCUUGUGGGCACCUCGUAAGUUGGUUGGAGUCCUUCUUUGGCUGCAAGAAAGAUUAUAUACUAGUGUGAGUUUUUCAUUAUAGAACUUGGCUUGUAUAUUCUGAUGACAGGCUUCCUCAAAUGCUCGACAUCUUCAUGAGAAAGCAAAUUGGAUGCACACCCACUUAGUUUCAGUAUUGAGCUUUCAUACACUUAUAGAUCUAGUGCAUAUGUUGCAUGCAAUCCCUACUUCUUGCAUCGAUAUCGUUUGAUAGGACUCUCCGUUACCUAUUGAUCCAUCGAGUUGAUGCGAGACUUUCUUCAUUUUUGACUUUCCUUAUGUAUCUCUACCACCACAUUCUAUUCCACCUGUAGUGCUAUGUCCAUGGCUGACGCUCAUGUAUUGAGUGGAGUUGAAAAUCCUGAAGCGUGCUAAAAAGUAUGAUCCGAUUGAUUGGUUUGACACCGGAGGGCUCAUGACUUAUCUUAAUGCGCUGAAGGCAGAGUCAUGCCAUGCUUACAUAAUUCAGUGAGUAGGGAUAACAUUUGCUGAGCAUCAUAUAUUUUGAAAAAGUAAUGAUUAUGCUCUUGUAUUCAUGGAUAUUAUUGUGUUGAUAUCAAUUACUUCAUCAUUUCUCAAUAUUUAUACCAUAAAAGAUUACAUCAUAGACAUGCUAGGUAGCAUUCAACAUCAAAAAAUUUGUUGUUAUCAUUUACCUACUCGAGGAUGGGCAGGAAUUAAGCUUGAGGAUGCUAAUACGUCUCCAACGUAUCUAUAUUUUUUUAUUGUUUCAUGCUAUUACAUUAUCAAUCUUAGAUACUUUAUAUACAAUUUUAUAUUAUUUUUAGGAACUAAACUAUUAGCUCAGUCCCCAGUGUCAAUUCCUGUUUUUUGCAUGCUUUUGUUUUAUAAUAAAUAAAUACAAAAUGAAGUAUGAACAUGAUGAAACUUUAAGGUGAUUUUUUCUGGACCAGAAGAGACCCGGAAGCUUCGAGAGGAUGCCAGAAGAUGUACGAGAGGGCCACAAGCACACAUGGCGCGCCACCAAGGGCGUCACCUGAGCUUGUGGGCUCCACGUAACUUCGUUUGACCUAAUUCCACUUAUAUAAAUUCCCAUAAAUCCCAAAACCAACAAAGAGCCACCCGAAACAUUUUUUCCACUCCUGCAAGCUUCUAUUCUUCCAUGAUCCCAUCUGGAGGCCUUUUCCGAUUCUCUACCGGAGGGGGAAUCCAUCAUGGAGGGCUCCUACAUCAACCUUGCUACUCCUUUGAUGAUGUGUGAGUAGUUCACCACAGACUUAUGGGUCCAUAGUGAUUAGCUAGAUGACUUCUUCUCUCUCAUUGAUCUUCAAUACAAUGUUCUCCUCAGAGUUCUAUCCGAUGUAAUCUUCUUUUGCGGUGUGUUUGUUGGGAUACGAUGAAUUGUGGGUAUAUGAUAGGAAUAUUCAUUGAAAGUAAUUGAGUCUUUGCCGAACUUUAUUAUGCAUGAUUAUUAUAGCUUUGUAUUUCUCUUCGUUCUAUUCGUUUGGUUUGGCCAACUAGAUUGAUUUAUUUUCAGUGAGAGAGAUGUUUUCUAGUGGGUUCAAUCUUGCGGUGUCCUCACCUAGUAACAGCAGGGGUAGCGAGGCAUGUAUUGUAUUGUUGCUACUAAGGGUAAAACAACGGGGUUCAAUCAUAUUGCUUACUUUUAUUCUAUCUACAUUAUGUCAUAUAUCUUCUUAAAGUGUUAUUUUGUUUGUCAUGAACUUAAUACCCUAGGUGCAGGCAGGAGUCGGUCGAUUGUGAAGGAAAUAUGCCCUAGAGGCAAUAAUAAAGUUGUAACUGGAAAUAUACCCUCAAUGCUCGUAGUAGUGCCUGGGUAUUUGAUACCGGUUCGGUUACUCAUAUUUGUAACUCGAAACAGGGACUACGGAUUAAACGAAGAUUGGCUAAGGACAAGGUGACAAUGCGCGUCAGGAAUGGUUCCAAGGUCGAUGUGAUCGCCGUCGGCACGCUACCUCUACAUCUACCUUCGGGAUUAGUUUUAGACCUAAAUAAAUGUUAUUUGGUGUGAGCAUUGAGCAUGAACACUAUAUCUGGAUCUUGUUUAGUGCGAGACGGUUAUUCAUUUAAACAAGAAUAAUGGUUGUUCUAUUUAUAUGAGUAAUAUCUUUUAUGGUCAUGCACCCUUGAAGAGUGGUCUAUUUCUUUUGAAUCUUGACUGUGGUGAUACACAUAUUAAUAAUAUUGAUGCCAAAAGAUGCAAAGUUGAUAAUGAUAGUGCAACAUAUUUGUGGCACUGUCGUUUAGGUCAUAUUGGUUUAACACGCAUGAAGAAACUCUAUGCCGAUGGACUUUUGGAAUCACUUGAUUAUGAAUCAUUUGAUACUUGCGAACCAUGCCUCAUGGGAAAGAUGACUAAAACUCCAUUCUCCGGAACAAUGGAGCGAGCCAAUGACUUAGUGGAAACAAUACAUACCAAUGUAUGUGGUCCGAGAGUGUUAAGCCUCACGGCAGGUAUCGUUAUUUUCUGACCUUCACAGAUGAUUUGAGCAUAUAUGGGUAUAUCUACUUAAUGAAACACAAGUUUGAAACAUUUGAAAAGUUCAAAGAAUUUCAGAGUGAAGUGGAGAAUCAUCGUAACAAGAAAAUAAAGUUUCUAAUCUGACCGCGGAGGCGAAUAUUUGAGUUAUGAGUUUAACCUUCAUUUAAAACAAUGUGGAAUAGUUUCACAACUCACGCCACCUGGAACACCACAGCGUAAUGGUGUGUCUGAACGUCGUAACCGUACUUUAUUAGAUAUCGUGCGCUCUAUGAUGUCUCUUACCAAUUUACCACUAUCGUUUUGGGGUUAUGCAUUAGAGACAACUGCAUUCACGUUAAAUAGGGCACCGUCAAAAUCUGUUGAGGCGGCACCGUAUGAACUGUGGUUUGGCAAUAAACCUAACCUGUCAUUUCUUAAAGUUUGGGGAUGCGAUGCUUAUGUCAAAAGGCUUCAGCUGAUAAGCUUGAACCUAAAUCGGAUAAGUGCAUCUUCAUAGGAUACCCUAAGGAAACAAUUGGGUACACCUUCUACCACAGCUCUGAAGGCAAGAUCUUUGUUUCCAAGAAUGGAACCUUUCUAGAGAAGAAGUCUCUCUCGAAAGAAGUGGAUGGGAGUAGAACUUGAUGAGGUAAUUGUACCUUCUCUCAAUUUGGAAAGUAGCUCAUCCGAGAAAUCCGUUCUCAUGAUGCCAAUGCCAACUAGAGAGGAAGCUAAUGAUAAUGAUCAUGAAACUUCAGAUCAAAUUACUACUGAACCUCGUAGGUCAACCAGAGCAUGAUCCGCACCAGAGUGGUAUGGUAAUCCUUUUCCAGAAGUCAUGUUACUUGACCAUGAUGAACCUAUGAACUAUGAAGAAGCUAUGAUGAGCCUAAAUUCUAAUAAAUGACUUGAGGCCAUGAAAUCUGAGAUAGGAUCCAUAUAUUAGAACAAAGUGUGGACUUUGGUGGAUUUGCCCGAUGAUCGGCGACCCAUAGAGAAUAAUGGAUCUUCAAGAAGAAGACAGGCGUUGAUGGUAAUGUUACUGUCUAUAAAGCUCGACUAGUCGCAAAAGGUUUUAGACAAGCUCAAGGAGUUGACUACGAUGAGACUUUCUCACCCGUAGCGAUGCUUAAGUCAGUCUGAAACAUGUUAGCAAUUGCCGCAUUUUAUGAUUAUGAAAUCUGGCAAAUGGAUGUCAAAAUUGCAUUCCUUAAUGGAUUCUUAAAGAAGAGUUGUAUAUGAUGCAACCAGAAGGUUGUCGAUCCUAAAGGUGCUAACAAAGUGUGCAAGCUCUAGUGAUCCAUCUAUGGAAUGGUGCAAGCAUCUCGGAGUUGGAAUAUACGCUUUGAUGAGGUGAUCAAAGCAUAUGGUUUUAUACAAACUUUCAGAGAAGCCUGUAUUUACAAGAAAGUGAGUGGGAGCUCUAUAGCAUUUAUGUUACUAUAUGUGGAUGACAUAUUGUUGACUGGGAAUGAUGUAGAAUUUCUGGAUAGCAUAAAAGGAUACUUGAAUAGGAGUUUUUCAAUGAAGACAUCAGUGAAGCUGCUUAUAUAUUGGGCAUCAAGAUCUAUAGAGAUAGAUCAAGACGCUUAAUAGGACUUUCACAAAGCACAUACCUUGAUAAAGUUUUGAAAAAGUUCAAAAUGGAUCAGUCAAAGAAAGGGUUCUUGCCUGUGUUACAAGGUGUGAAAUUGAGUCAGACUCAAUGCGCGGCCACUGCAGAAGAUAGAGACAAAAUGAAAGUCAUUCCCUAUGCCUCAGCCAUAGGUUCUAUCAUGUAUGCUAUGCUGUGUACCAGACAUGAUGUGUGCCUUGCCAUAAGUCUGGCAGGGAGGUACCAAAGCAAUCCACGACUGGAUCACUGGACAGUGGUCAAGAAUAUCCUGAAGUACCUGAAAAGGACCAAGGAUAUGUUUCUUGUUUAUGGAGGUGACAAAGAGCUUGUCAUAAAUGGUUACGUCGAUGCUAGUUUUGACAGUGAUCCGGAUGACUCUAAGUCACAAACCGGAUACGUAUUUAUUUUGAAUGGUGGAGCUAUCAGUUGGUGCAGUUCCAAGCAAAGUGUCGUGGCAGGAUCUAUAUGUGAAGCGGAGUAAAUAGCUGCUUCGGAAGCAGCAAAUGAAGGAAUCUGGGUGAAGGAGUUCAUAUCUGAUCUAGGUCUAAUACCUAGUGCAUCGGGACCAAUAAAAAUCUUUUGUGAAAAGAGCAAUUGUCUUAGCGAAGGAAUCCAGAUUUCACAAAAAGACCAAACACAUCAAGAGACGCUUCAACUCCAUCUAUGAUCUAGUCAAGGAGGGAGACAUAGAGAUUUGCAAAAUACAUACAGAUCUGAAUAUAGCAGACCCAUUGACUAAGCCUCUUCCACGAGCAAAACAUGAUAAGCACCAAGACUCCAUGGGUGUUAGAAUCAUUGCAAUGUAAUCUAGAUUAUUGACUCUAGUGCAAGUGGGAGACUGAAGGAAAUAGGCCCUAGAGGCAAUAAUAAAGUUGUUAUUUUAUAUUUCCUUAUUUCAUGAUAAAUGUUUAUUAUUCAUGCUAGAAUUGUAUUAACCGAAAACUUGAUACAUGUGUGGAUACAUAGACAAAAUAAUGUGUCCCUAGUAAGCCUCUACUAGACUAGCUCGUUGAUCAAAGAUGGUUAAGCCUCUACAAGACCUAUAUGUUAGCUUAACAUAAUGAUCGUUCAGUUUUAAUGAUAUUGUUUUCUUCAUGUCAAAUACAUAUUCCUCUGACUAUGAGAUCAUGCAACUCCCGGAUACCGGAGGAAUGCCUUGUGUACUAUCAAAUGUCACAACGUAACUGGGUGAUUAUAAAGAUGCUCUACAGGUAUCUCGGAAGGUGUUUGUUGGGUUGGCAUAGAUCGAGACUAGGAUUUGUCACUCCGAGUAUUGGAGAGGUAUCUCUGGGCCCUCUCGGUAAUACACAUCAUAACAAGCCUUGCAAGCAAAGUGACUAAUGAGUUAGUUGCAGGAUGAUGUAUUACGGAAUGAGUAAAGAGACUUGCCAGUAACGAGAUUGAACUAGUUAUGAAGAUAUAGAUGAUCGAAUCUUGGGCAAGUAACAUACCGAUAGACAAAGGGAAUUACGUAUGUUGUCAUAAGGUUCGACCAAUAAAGAUCUUCGUAGAAUAUGUAGGAGCCGAUAUGAACAUCCAGGUUACGCUAUUGGUUAUUGACAAGUGAGGUGUCUCGGUCAUGUCUACAUAGUUCUCGAACCCGUAGGGUCUGCACGCUUAACGUUCUUUGACGAUAUAUUACUAUAUUAGUUAUGUGUGUUGGUGACCGAAUGUUGUUUGGAGUCCCGGAUGAGAUCACGGACAUGACACGGAGCUCCGAAAUGGUCCGGAGGUAAAUAUUCAUAUAUUAGAUGAUAUGGUUAGGCCAAGGGGUCAGGCCCACAGGGCUAUAGGUCGGUGCAAAAGAAAGUUUUGCGGAGGUCAGAGGCCAAACGCCGGAGACCCUGGUGUCUGGCCCUGGGCCAGACACCGAGGCCCAUGGCGUCUGGGCCAGACACCAAGGAUUGUGGCGUUUGGUCAUGGAGUCUUAGUGGGACUCUUGCCUUUCAGGCAAAACUGACUUUGAGGGGGUAUUUGGUCCAAGUUUCGACCCCAGGGCUCAACAUAUAAAUAGAGGGGCAUGGCCAGCACCAAAGACACAUCAAGAUUCACCAAGCCGUAUGCCGGCAACCCUGUCCCCUCUAGUUUAUCCUCCGUCAUAGUUUCCAUACUGCUUAGGCAAAGCCCUGCGGAGAUUGUUCUUCACCAACACCGUCACCACGCCAUCGUGGUGCCGAAACUCAUCUACUACUUUGCCCGUCUUGCUGGAUCAAGAAGGCGAGGACGUCAUCGAGUUGAACGUGUGUUGAACGCGGAGGUGCCAUACGUUCAGUGCUUGAUUGGAACGGAUCGUGAAGGUGUACGACUACAUCAACCGCGUUGAUAAACACUUCCGCUAAGCGAUCUUCAAAGGUAUGAAGAUGCUCUCCCCCUCUCAUUGUUGUGCAUCUCCUAGAUAGAUCUUGCAUGAGCAUAGGAAUUUUUUGAAAUUGCAUGCUACGUUCCGCAACAGAUUGGUGGAGCAAUAGUAGUAGAUGUAGGUAGGAGUUUGUCUACUUGUCAUAGGCGUAACGCCUAUAUACAUGAUCAUUGCCAUGAAUAUCGUCAUAACUAUGCACUUUUCUAUCAAUUUCCCAACAGUAUUUUCUCUACCCACCGUAUGCUAUUUUUAUGAGAGAGAAGCCUUUAAUGAAAACUAUGACCCUGGGGGUCUAUUUUAAUCAUAUUACAAAAAACCACAAAUACCUUGAUGCAAUUUUACUUAUUUUAUUUUACUUUGCAAUUUAUCUAUCUGCCAUUACCAAAUUUAAUCCUUGCAAUUAACGAGUACAAGGGGAUUGACAACCCUCUUGCCCACGUUGGGUACAAUUAUUUUCCCUUGUGUGUGCAGGUAUUGCUUACUAGGCGUUUGCAUGGUUCUUCUAUUGGUUCGAUAACCUUGGUUCUCACUGAGGGAAAUACUAUCCAUUACUAUAUUGCUUCACCCUUCCUCUUUGGGGAAAGUCCCAACGCAACUCCCAAGUAGCAUACAUUUAUUCAAACUAAGCAAAAACUCUAACUGAAAUUUGACUAGAAAGUGAUAAGGGAUACAAAGGGCUUCAAAAUACCCCCCCCCCCCAGCUUAACAAGGUAAGCCGGUUGGAUUCAUUUGCUCUCUUUUUUAUUGAUACCAGUGUUCUUCUCUAGAGGUGGAGUGGUAACGGCGGUAAGGGCGUUAAUCAGAGGCUUGUUGGCGACCUCCAGGUCCAUUACAUGAGAACGGUACAUGCACAAAGUCUCAUCUUGGUUGGCGAUGAUCCUCAAGCACGUAUCCAGAGCCUCACGAGUCUUAGUCGCCAGCACCACUUCCAUCUCCCUCAUUUGCUCAAUCAUAAUUUUAGUUUCAAUCUUAGAAUUACUGACUUGUACCUUGGGCUGGGCAGAUGGUGCAGGAUUGGAUGUGCACCUCUUUCUUGGGGGUCCCACCUAGAUGCGUGCACUGAUGGUGUGCAUCUUACACGCCUUGGGGUUGAUCUCUUGAGACUCUGCCAUCGGCUCAUCGAUAGAGCAGUUCCUGAAACCACACCUACCCAGUACUAUGGAUGUGUCCUUAACAAAGUCGAGUCGGUUCCCUAUGGUGAUGACCUUGAGUGAUUCAAUGGGGAUGGCCUCCGGCUUCUUUUCUUCUUCUUCCUCUUUGACCUCGAAGUGCUCUUCCUCUUCAAGUUCCUCCUCGGAGGAGGAGGACCAAUCACGAACACGAUGGAUCCUAUCCCUCUUGCUUGCCAGAGAGCCAUAGCCUCCUUGCUCCAAAUCAUCAUCCUCUUGAGAGGAGGUUUGCCUCUCAUCCCACCGACGAGCCAUUGCUUCCUGCACUUCAAAACUAGAAAAGGCUUGGGCUAGAUUGGUUACUUAGCUUUGAUGAAGAAGGAGGCAAGGGCUCUAUAUAUAGGAUGUUAGGGGCGCAGGUUUUAACGAGAUAAGUAAGUUAAAAAGAAUCAGAAAAGAGAAUCGGCGAAAUUCUGUUAAGGAUCGGAAAGAAAUCAUGAUCGACGGUCUUCCAUACGUUCGUGGAUGCUCGCACGAGCGGUCGCAUAGAUCCCAUUGAUCGAGUUCUUUCCAUAUAGAGCAUUCGAUGGUGUCCUCGACGGCCAUAUCCGCCCGCAUGGGCACUCGUUUGCCUACCUCUGCCCCGCGAGAGUUUUUUUGCAAGACAAAUGUUACCUCCGGGUGACAGAGCAAUCGAUGGCCUUCCAUAGGACCAUAGUGCGAUCGCAUGGCUGGUCCUUUGGUUCAUCUCCCGAACCACCCAACAGUACAGAGCCAACAACAGCGUUUCACACGAUCGCUUGUGAUCGUAUGACCGCGAAAACAAAUAUUUUUUUACAGAAAAAUAAGAUGAAACUAAAUAGAGCAACACUUAAGGUUUUUAGCAGAACCUGCGCAACUUUCCACGCAUUUUCCAUCCCUUGUUUUUAAGGUACGUCUUCGUGCCCGUUUCCUCUCUCUUCGGGGAUGAAACGAUGAAGAUGUCUUUGGAGUUUGGUGGGGUGCAAAGAAUUGGUGUAAUCAAAUAAAUACUUGAUUAACAUUUUUUGAAAUGCCUUCAUUAACAUUUUGUAAAUACAUGAUCAAUUUUUUUUCAAACACAUUGUUUUUUUAUACAUUUUUCAUAUAUGUGAUAAACAUUUUCUCUAUAGUAUUUAACAUUUUUCAAAUGCUUGGUCUACAUUUUUCAAAUAUUUUUUGUAGAGUGUUUUUUGUAAUAUUUAUAUUUAGAAUAUUUAAAGUAAAAAUAAAAGUAAAAAAUAAAGCAAAAAAACAAAAAAAAAGAAACUCAAAAAAAAGAGAACAAAUGUGGUUGUGGCACUCCGCACAUAUGGGCCGGCCCAUCUCACUUCCCCUUCAGCGAGGGUUCCUUUGAUCUCGCUGGCAGCGAGACAUAGGGGCGCCAGAGGCCACAGGCCCAACGCAGGCGACACAACGAUGCCGGAACACAUAAAACAAGCAUGGAUCAACAAAUCUACACGAAUAUUACAGGACCUGAUCGUGUGAUGGAAGACUUAGAUGAGACAAAGUUAGAUAUCAUCUAGAUGUAAAUUAGCAAAUAUGUAUAAAUAUUCUAGUACGCUAGCUCAUGAUUUACUUGCACAUAUAAAUGUGAUUGUCUAAAUAAAUGUUUAUCAAAUCCUUCCCGUGAUUUACCUUAUUGUUUGAUGAACAAGUUGGUAGGAAAAUUAUGGUGGGAUCGUUGCAAAAAGUAAGUAAAUUAAUGUGUUGAGCGGCGUACUGGAAGGUGCGGUUAAGUAUGGCAUGGCAAAAAAUAAACGGUUGAAUGAAAAAAAUCAGUAAAGGUACGUGGUGGGAGGGGAACCAGUUGACAAGAGUUUUGUUUUGCAGAAAAAGGAACACUACUUUUCUUUAAGUGUAGUAGAGAUUAUUCUUGCAAUCAAUAUAUUUUUUUUGCACAAAUGUUAAUAGAUUUUUUUAGCAUACAAAAUUCAAGCCCGCUGAUCAUUCUUGUCCAAUGCCUCAAUAGGGAGGUCCAGCGGCAGAUCAUGUGGAUGGCAUUUAAAAAAAAGUUCUUCUAAGAAGAUGUCAUUCGCUAUAACUUAAACUAUGAAAAAAAGUUUGCAAAUGUUAUUUUUUACUGGCGAACGUUUGCCAGCUAGCGGGGUUCAAAAUCGAACGUAGUGAGUAAAUGUGUCUUUUGCACGUUGCUUCCACUCUUUUCCUUUAUGGGAGUGGCCAUGCCUCAGUCAAGUGAGACACAGUCGGUCGGUUGAUGUCACUCGUUUGACCUAGAGCACUUGAUCUUGUGCGUUUUUUCUCACCUUUUUCAUGGUCUGGUUUUUGUUUUUUACAAACUACGGCUCAACUAUACAAUUGGUUAAUUGCCUACAAAAGUUCCAAUGGUUGAUAACUGUACAACAAAACAAACUAGUAACCGUGCACGUGUCAUACACAUCCAAUACAGUAGUAUAUUGGGGAGCUUUACAUUGUAUUCUUCCACUCCGAUUACUCUCCCCUUCGUGCCCUUUGGUUUCAAUUUUUUAGUAUGCCAAUGUUCUAAUUUUUGACAUAGGGGCGGUCUUCCUAGCGAAGAUGCUACCUCUGCAUGCAUCACUAUUUGGGUGGCUCGGGCGGAUGUUGUUGCUACACUAUAGGGGCUUUUGGCGGUCACGACAUUCGUAACACGAUUUUGCGUCCUUAUUGAUGCAUGAACACACUUUCUUUCAACUAUUCUUAUUCAUAUAAUUAGUCGUGACAAGAUAUGAUUAAGCGGAAAGAAAUCAAUCAAGGUAGGCCAUUAUGGAGAUUAUUUGUGCAAUCAAUGUUGUUAGAAAAAUAUCACAAUUAUCAAAAUUGAUUGCAAUUAAUGCAAUCAAUAUUGUUGAAAAUAUCAUAAUUAUCCAUUAAUGAUGUUGCCAAAAUCAAUUACAAUUUAUAUAUAUAGUGGUGUUUCCAUUCUGUUGGUGAUGUGAUGGAUACAUCAUUGGAGCGUCGUGGGACGUUGAAUAGAGAUGGUUGGAUGGCUGAGAUCAUUUGGUUGUCCGAUAUUGCGUGCCUCUGAAUGCGAUCCAACAUCUCACUCAGGAGAAAUUUCUCGCGCUCCUCUUGUGCCUGACCUCACAAUGGGACUAGGGGAUCUUCCCCGAGAUCCGAUCUGAUAUGGAUUCGGAUUCUUCGUAUUUGGCCAGAUCUAUCAUCUGGCCCUUGGGGUGUGUCGUCGGAUCCUAGCUCCUAGUCUGGUCUGACGAGCGACUCUCGCACUUGUUCCGAGCCUGAUUUGACAUAGGCACCGGGACGGGUGCCUCAUGUUGCUCCUCAACCUAGUCUGACACCCAACUUGACAAGACUAGCUCUCCGCGGGAAACCGCGGUGUAAUCCAAGUUGCUGAAUAUCAGGACUUGACCUGGAGCGGAGGUAUUGAUAUGGCCUAGGUGAUAAAGGAAAUAUGCCCUAGAGGCAAUAAUAAAAUUGUUAUUUUAUAUUUCCUUAUUCAUGAUAAAUGUCUAUUAUUCAUGCUAGAAUUGUAUUAACCGGAAACUUGAUACAUGUGUGAAUACAUAGACAAAACAACGUGUCCCUGGUAUGCCUCUACUAGACUAGCUCAUUGAUCAAAGAUGGUUAAGUUUCCUAGCCAUGGACAUGAGUUGUCAUUUGAUAAACGGGAUCACAUCAUUAGUGGAAUGAUGUCAUGGACAACACCCAUCCGUUAGCUUAGCAUAAUGAUCGUUCAGUUUUAUUGCUACUGCUUUCUUCAUGUCAAAUAUAUAUUCCUCCGACUAUGAGAUUGUGCAACUCCAGGACACCAGAGGAAUGCCCUGUGUGCUAUCAAACGUCACAACGUAACUGGUUGAUUAUAAAGAUGCUCUACAGGUAUCUCCGAAGGUGUUUGUUGGGUCAGAAUAGAUCAAGAUUAGGAUUAGUCACUCCGAGUAUCGGAGAGGUAUCUCUGGGCCCUCUCGGUAAUGCACAUCAUAUGAAGCCUUGCAAGAAAUGUGACUAAUGAGUUAGUUGCGGGAUGAUGCACAACAGAACGAGUAAAGAGACUUGCCGGUAACGAGAUUGAACUAGGUAUGAAGAUAUCGACGAUCGAAUCUUGGGCAAGUAACAUACCGAUGACAAAGGGAAUAAUGUAUGUUGACAUUGCGGUUCGACCGAUAAAGAUCUUCGUAGAAUAUGUGGGAACCAAUAUGAGCAUCCAGCUUCCGCUAUUGGUUAUUGACCGGAGAGGUGUCUCGGUCAUGUCUACAUAGUUCUUGAACCCGUAGGGUCCGCACGCUUAACGUUCGAUGACGAUGUGUAUUAUAUGAGUUAUGUGUUUUGGUAGCCAAAGGUUGUUCGGAGUCCUGGAUGAGAUCACAUACAUGACGAGGAGUCUCGAAAUGGUUGAGAGGUAAAUAUUGAUAUAUUGGAAGGUUAUAUUCGGACAUCGGAAUGGUUCUGGAGUGUUUCGGACAAAUAUCGGAGUACCGAGGGGUUACCGGAACCCCACGGGGAAGUAAUGGGCCUUAAUGGGCCAUAGGGGAGAGGAGAGGCAUGCCACGAGGAGGUGGAACCCCCCCCCCCAUGGGGGUCCGGAUUGGACUAGGGGAGGGGGCGUGCCCCACCUUUCCCUCUCCCACUCCCUCUCUUUCCCUUUUCCCCCUCCGUUGGAAGGAAGGUGGGCCGACUAUGACUUGGAGUCCUAGUAGGACUCCCCCAUGGCGCGCGCCCUAGGGCCGGCCUCCUCCCCUCUCCUCCUUUAUAUACGGGGGAGGGGGGCACCUCUAGGAAGAACAUCAAUUGUCUUAGCCGUGUGUGGUGCCCCCUCUCCACCGUUUACUCCUCCGGUCAUAUUGUCAUAGUGUUUAGGCGAAGCCCUGCGCGGAUCACAUCACCAUCACCAUCACCACGCCAUCGUGAUGACGGAACUCAUCUACUCCUUUGUACCUCUACUGUAUCAAGAGUUCGAGGGACGUCAUCGAGUUGAACGUGUGCAGAACUCAGAGGUGUCGUACUGAUACGUCUCCAACGUAUCUAUAGUUUUUGAUUGUUCCAUGCUAUUAUAUUACCCGUUUUGGAUGUUUAUGGGCUUUACUUUACACUUUUAUAUCAUUUUUGGGACUAACCUACUAACCGAAGGCCCAGCCCGAAUUGCUGUUUUUUUGCCUAUUUCAGUGUUUCGAAGAAAAGGAAUAUCAAACGGAAUCCAAACAUAAUGAAACCUUCGGGAGCGAUCUUUUUGGAACAAACGUGACCAGAGGACUUGGAGUGGAAGUCAAGAAACAAAGGAGGCGGCCACGAGGGUCCCCGACGCGCUCCCUACAGGUGGGCGCACCCCCCACCCUCGUGGGCCUCUCGAGCGUCCACCGACCUACUUCUUCCUCCUACAUAUAGCCAUGUACCCCGAAAACAUCAGAAGCGACCACGAAAAACUAUUUCCACCGCCGUAACCUUCUGUAUCCACGAGAUCCCAUCUUGGAGCCUUCGCCGGUGCUCCAUCGGAGGGGGAAUCGAUCACGGAGGGCCUCUACAUCAUCUCCAAGGCCUCUCCGAUGAGUUGUGAGUAGUUUACCACAGACCUUCGGGUCCAUAGUUAUUAUCUAGAUGGCUUCCUCUCUCUCUUUGAAUCUCAAUACAAAGUUCUCCUUGAUCUUCUUGGAGAUCUAUUCGAAAUAACUCUUUUUGCGGUGUGUUUGUCGAGAUCCGAUGAAUUGUGGGUUUAUGAUCAAGUUUAUCUAUGAGAAAUAUUUGAAUCUCCUCUGAAUUCUUUUAUGUGUGAUUAAGUUAUCUUUGCAAGUCUCUUCGAAUUAUCAGUUUGGUUUGGACUACUAGAUUGAUCUUUCUUGCAAUGGGAGAAGCGCUUAGCUUUGGGUUCAAUCUUGCGGUGUCCUUUCCCAGUGACAGCAGGGGCAGCAAGGCACGUAUUGUAUUGUUGCCAUCGAGGAUAAAAAGAUGGGGUUUAUAUCAUAUUGCAUGAGUUUAUCCCUCUACAUCACGUCAUCUUUCUUAAUGCGUUACUCUGUUCUUAUGAACUUAAUACUCUAGAUGCAUGCUGGAUAGCAGUCGAUGCGUGGAGUAAUAGUAGUAGAUGCAGAAUCGUUUCGAUCUACUUGUCACGGACGUGAUGCCUAUAUACAUGCUCAUGCCUAGAUAAUCUCAUAAUUAUUCGCUUUUCUAUCAAUUGCUCAACAGUAAUUUGUUCACCCACCAUAAUGCUUAUGUUAUCUUGAGAGAAGCCACUAGUGAAACCUAUGGCCCCCGGGUGAAAGAACAUGCGGUGCCCCCAUGUUUGGUUUUGGUAAUUGAUGACAAUCUCUAUGGACUAAUGGUUGCCUUGAGUUAUAUUUGAAGGUUUUGUCCAUAGGCUUUUCUUGAAGAACAUGUGUUGGUUUCAAGGAGUUUAUGAGUUGACCAAGGUGUUAUUAAGGAAUUAUCCAAAGAUUGGUCUUUUGAGUAUUGAGCUUAUUGCUAGUAUGUCUUGAAGAAGAAGAUAAGAUUGUGUGAACAUUCAUGUGUAUCUUCAAGACAUCAUCUUUAUGAAGAGAGAAGAUUUUUCACAAAGCAUAGAAGAUGUACCGAGGGGAUCAAGUGAUCCCAUGGUAUGGUAAGCAUUGUCCAUUGCACUUUGUGUACAAACCCAUGAUCUAUGUGAGAGUUCUAUGUGGGGUUAGGUACGUGUCCAUGGGCUUGCGUCAAGAGGAAGAUAUCAUACAACCCAUGGAAAGGAUGACAUCAAGUGGUGAUCGUCAUCAAGAUUGCCGUGUGCAAGUUCAAGUGGAGCAUCACGAAGAGAUCAAGUGCUUCAAUCUUUCCAUCCAUUAUGGUGUCAAUGGACUUGUGAAGAUGUGCUAAAGAGUAGCUCACCCAUAGUGGACUAUGGGGGAGCAAUCAUCUAGUCUUCAUCGAGCCAACGCAAUCAACAAAGGUGGUCCAACUUGAGGGAGUCAAGAUCUUCAUCAUCUAGCUCAAGUGUACCAUGUGCAAGGCAAAGGUUUUCCCUUGAUAGGUUUUCUAUUUUACCGGUCUCAUGGUGGUAGUUGGGAGCCGGGUUAUAGGAUCAUUUGCCGUACUAUCAAGGAGGGCUCUCAAGUUGGUAGCUUGAUCGUCCCGUUUGUAGAGAGCUCAAAUCAUUGCAUCCUUGCAUCAUGUUUCUUGUUUCUUGUUUGGCUAUCUUUGUGAGUCUUAGAGCUUAUGGUCAUCUUGAUGACAAGCUUGAGUUCAUCAAAAACAGAGUUCGCAUGUGUCUUCUCUGAUGUUUUCGGUGUUGGAGGUUUUACUGGUCUUAUCCGAGGAAGGGUUCUCACCAUUUUCUUAUGGGACUUUUAUAAUUUGCUUCUUAUUGAUAUUUAUUUCAAGAUUGUGUUAGCCCUUGUCGCUAGCUUUCCAACAAACUUGGUUUCAUCGAAUUCGGAAUCCGUUUGCAAAAGUUGUGGCAGUUUUGGUGUUUUGAAAAGGCUGCUGCGGUACUACCGCGAAUUGGAGCGGAUGUAAUUUUUUACUACCACGGAUCCUACAGCGGUAGUACCAGUCUGAACCAAAAACUCGUCCCAAGUCCUGCGGUGGUAGGCCCGGAUGUAAUUUUUUAGUACCGCUCGCAAGCAGUAGUACCGCUACCCCUAGCGGUAGUACCGUGAGGUCAAGCGGUACUACCGCUCCGACGGUUCUUCUAGCCUUUUUGCCUCCUCAUUGUUGUGUUUCGAAGGGGUACUACCGCCCUAGCGGUAGUACCGCUCCUUGGACCGGUAGUACCACUCCUUGGAGCGGUAGUACCGCUCUGUGCGGGCUGUGAGCAUAAUGGUUGGUUUUUUCCCCACCUAUAAAAGGGGGUCUUCUUCCCCAUUGAACCUCAUCCUUUGAGCUCGUGUUCUUCCCCCAUUGUUGACCUUCUCCGAGCUUGCUAUCUCUCAAUCCCUCCAUGGAUUCUUGCUAGUUUUGGGGGGAAAGUGAGAGGAGAUCUAGAUCCACAUUUCCACCAAUCACUUUCUCCUCUAUGUGAGGGGAACCCCUUGGAUCUAGAUCUUGGAGUUCUUGGUGUUCUCCUUCUUGUUCUUCCUCUCAUUUUCCUCCCUAGCAUUAGUUGCUUCGGUGGGAUUUGGGAGAGAAGGACUUGGGCACUCCGUGUGCCCUUGCCAUUGCAUUUGGUGCAUCGGUUUGAGUUCUCCACGGUGAUACGUGGAAGUUUCAAGUUGAGAAGCUUAUUAAUCUUGGGUGCUUGGUGCCCUUGAGCUUGUUCCUCUUGGGUGCUUUGGCGCCCUAGACGGUUGGUGGUGCUUGGAGCUCAAUCAUUGUGGUGUAAAGCUUCGGGCAAGCGUCGAGGUCUCCAAUUAGGUUGUGGAGAUUGCCCUGAGCAAUUUGACGGGUACCGGUGACCGCCCCCAAGGGUUGCCAAAGUGUACGGGUUCGGUGACCACCCCCAAGGGUUGCCAUUUGUACGGGUUCGGUGACCGCCCUCAAGGGUCCCUUAGUGGAAUCACGGCAUCUUGCGUUGUGCGAGGGCGUGAGGAGAUGACGGUGGCCCUAGUGGCUUCUUGGGGAGCAUUGUGCCUCCACACCGCUCCAAACGGAGAUUAGCAUUCGCAAGGGUGUGAACUUCGGGAUACAUCGUCGUCUCCGCGUACCUCGGUUAUCUCUUACCCGAGCCCUUUACUUAUGCACUUUACUUUGUGAUAGCCAUAUUGUUUCUUGUCAUAUAUCUUGCUAUCACUUAGUUGUUUAUCUUGCUUAGCAUAAGUUGUUGGUGCACAUAGGUGAGCCUAAUUUUUGUAGGUUUUGUGCUUGACAAAUUAACCGCUAGGUUUAUUCCACAUUUGUUCAAGCCUAAACCAUAAUUAUUUUAAAAGCGCCUAUUCACCCCCCCCCUCUAGGCGACAUCCACGAUCUUUCAAUUUGUAUCAGAGCCUCGUCUCUCUUUGUUAGGCUUAACCGCCUAGAGAUUAAAGAUGUCGACUAGGGGAUUAGGAUUCUCUGACACUCUUAGUUUCGAUGGCACAAAUUUUGAUGUUUGGGUAAUUCGCAUGCUUAACCUCUUUAGGGUCAUAGACCCAAAUUUAGAGCGAAUUGUAGAUAUGGGUUUUUCUCCUCCAAAGGAUCCCCAAAGAUUAUCUUUAGAGGAUUAGAAAAACUUUUAUCUCAAUGCUCAAGCUUCCAAUGUGCUUUUCGAUGCUUUGAGCAAUGUAGUUAUAUUUAAACUCAUGUCGUUCCGGGAUGCUCAUGAGUUAUGGACAAAGCUUCAAGAUAAAUAUGGUGUGUCCAAGAUUUGUGGGGAUGAUUGUUCUCCCUCCACCUUCGGCCGUAUAGUCUUCUCAACUUCUUCUACUUCACCUACAUGUGGUUUGCCACAAGGUAAUGAUAUGGUGAGUAGUGUUGGUCAUUGUAAUGAUGAUAGUAUGCUUAUUGUGGAUGAUCCUUCAUCGCUAUAUUAUUGCAAUGCUCCUUCUUUGGGCUUUAACACUUCGAGCACUCCAAAUGUUUCACAUGCUUGUGUUGAUAGUCCUUGCAUAUCAUGUAGAAGUUGCUUGACUAAAUCUCAUGAUGAUAUGCUUGCUAUGUCUUGUUGCCAUGAUAAAAAUGCAUCUAUUUCCUCGAAUUGUUGUGCUAACAAUGUAGAGGAAACCGAACACUCCAUGGAACAAGAUGUGGUGUUUAAUGGUGCCUCAAGGGAUCCUACAUCAUCAUCUAUUGCUUUUUGCCUUAUGGCUAAGGCGUCAAAGGUAUCUCCUACUUUGUACCCCAAUAUGUCUGUUGAUGAUGAUGUUGAUGCUAAUGAUGAUGAGGAUAAUGAUGAAGAUAAUGAUAAUGUUGCCUCCUUAAAAACUAAGGGGGGAAUGAUUUUUAAAGCUCUUCAUAAAAAUAAAAUUGCUCGUUCCAACUUCAUGGAAAUAAUGUCAAUUGCCAUUAAUGGCAAGAAAUACAUUGAGGAGUUGGAAUCUCAUCUAGAGGAGCAUGAGGUCACCAUUGAGAAAAUGGAAGCUCAUGAGCGUGAUUACGCAAAUGAGAUCAUGGAGCUAUCUCAAGCUCUUGAACAUGAACAAACCACCUCUGAAUCUCUUGCGGAGACUUUUGCUCUAGAAUUAUCUAGAGUGAGGGAAUCUCAUGAUAGAUCUCUUGAGGUGGCCAAUGAUUUCAAAACUAAAAAUGCUAAGCUUGAAGUUGCUCAUGCUAGACUCCUUGAGGAUUUUGAGCACCUAGAAAAUGGCUCAAGGUUCAUCAAGGGUGAGCUCAUCAAACUCACCGAGUCUCAUGCUCAACUUGAAGCUUCUUAUUUAAAAGAGCUUGCCAAGUUGCCCCCUCCUAUUGUCGUUAAUGAUGAUGCUUGUGCUACUAACUCUAUUACUUGUGAAGCAUCCAUUUUGAAGGAGAAUGUUGAGCUACAGGCUCAACUUGAAUUGCUAUCUAGCAAUUAUGGGAAAUUGGAAGAAAGCCAUGAAAAGCUCUCAAGCUCUCAUGAUGAUCUUCUAGUAUCCCAUAAUGUGCUAAAGAUAGCUCAUGAGGCCAUGAUUGCUAAGGUAACAUCUAGUGAGCAUGUGGAUACUAGCACCACUUAUAGUCAAAAUACUAUAUUGCCAUGUGCUAGUCCUUGUAAUUCAUCUACUCACAAUGUUGGUACAUCUUGUGAUGAAUUGUUUUACUUGCCUUGUUGCUCUAACGAUGAAGCUUAUACUUCCUCUAGUACUUGUGUUGAGACUAACCAUGUAGAGGAAAUCAAAGAGCUCAAGGCCCAAGUCACUUCUUUGAAGAAAGACUUGGAAAAGAGCCAUGAAGGGAAAUCCACACUCAACAAUAUCUUGAGUGUGCAAAAAUCCCCCAAUUACAAAUGUGGACUUGGAUUCAACUCCAAUAAGAAGAAGUCCAAGAGCAACAAGAAGAAGGGCCAAAAACAAGUCAAGAAUUCAGCCAAGAUUAUUUGCUUCAAGUGCAAAACUGAAGGGCAUCAUGUUAGAUAUUGCCCAUUGAAGAAGAAUGCCAUUGGUGACAAGCAACAAGGGAAGAGGCCACAAGUUCAAUAUGAUGCUCAACCUCAAGUUGAAGAAAGGCCACUUCCCAAGAAGACUCAAGUUAAUGCCUCUCUUGUUAAGAAAUCAAGUGAGAAGAAAAUGAAGAGUAGACGUUGCUACUUAUGUCAUGAGAAAGGUCACAUAGCUUCUUCAUGCACAAAUGGUACCUCAUCCAACCCAAUUAUCAUUGAUGAUGUCUAUUAUCUUGGGAAGGAUAAGGUUGGCAAUGUGUUUGCCAAGUUUGUUGGUACUCAAAGUGGUUUGAAGCAAAGAACCAUUUGGGUAGCCAAGCCUAUUAUGACUAACCUCUUAGGACCCAACUUGGUUGGGGACCAACUAGCUCAAACUUGAUCAAUAGGUGUUGUUGGAAGGCAUUGGACACUUGGCUACAUUAUGAAGAAUUAAGGGGACUUCAUCACUCUUAUUGCCUCAAGCCAAGUCAAUUGAAUUAUCAAGCUUAUAUCUUAUAUCCAAUGUGCCUCCUUGCGGUAACUUGUACUUAAAUUGUUUACGUUGAAAGUUACUUGUCCACUUGCAUGUUUUGGUUUUGUUCCUUGCAUGUGUUUGUAUAUGUUGUGCUUCCAACUUGAUUAUCUUGAGCAAUCAAGUAUGUGUGUGUUGGUUUGCACAUCAUGUAUGUGUGUGUCAUGCAUUGAGCCUUUUGCAUCUUGUUUAUUUCUUAGUUGGCUCUUGUGAGAGAUUAAUGGAAUAUCCCAUUAUGGGGGAGUGAUGUGCUUUGUGCACUUCACAAUCCUAUAAAUGUGUGUACAUGAGUAAUACAAUCUAGUAUUGAUAUUUCAAUAUUAUCUAGUUGCUAUGUGGUAUGUCUUUUCAUGAGAAAUUCAAAUUCUAAAUUGUCCAUUAAUUAUCUCUUGUUGGAUCCUCUUAUUGCCUCUUGUUAAGUUUUUAUUGGUAUCACACUAUGGGGGAGUAAUAUGCUAUGUGCAUAUUACAAGCCUAGAAAAUGUGUACUUUUGAGAUAUUGUCACCUAGAAUUGAUAUUGUAAAUUAUCUUGUUCCUAGGUGGCAUAUUAGCUCUACAAGUUGCAAUUUGCUUGUGUUUUUUGUGAAGAUAAUGUUGGAUGUCCUUGUUAUCUACCACCGGGAAUUAUUUCCAAAUACUUCUUGUCUUUUGACAAUUGGUAUUCACUUAUGUGUGGUAGAAUUUAUUAAUCAUCUUUACAUUGGCUUUUGUUAAUUUGCCUUUUCUCUUGCCAAGGAUUGUGUCAACUCUCAUUGUCUUCCAUACCACUUGUGGAUCUUGUUAAUUUUGUGUUCUUGUCUAGUGUUUUCUAGAUAUAGUGAAAGCGGUGAUCCCACCUUGUGCAUUUUGUAUUCUAAUACAAAUCCUAUAUAAUGCACAACUUGUGGGGGAGCUAUUCUAUUUUCUUUAGAACACUCUUCUAGUGACUUUUAGUAGUGGCCAACACUCUAGCCAGAUUGAUUUCAUCCUCUCGAGAAGAGAAGAUAGGCAUGCGUGCCUAGACUGUAAGGUGAUACCUGGGGAGAGUGUUGUACCCCAGCAUAAGCUGGUGGUUGCUGACUUCCGCUUUCGGAUUCGUGUCCAGCGGGAUAAGCGUGCCAAGGUCGCUAGAACGAAGUGGUGGAAUCUCAAGGGGGAGGUAACUCGGGUGUUCAAGGAGAGGGUAAUUAAGGAAGGCCCUUGGGAGGAAGGAGGGGAUGCAGACAAUGUGUGGAUGAAGAUGGCGACUUGCAUUCGUAAGGUGGCCUCAAAGGAGUUUGGAGUGUCUAGGGGAAGGAGAAGCGAAGAUAAGGAUACCUGGUGGUGGAAUGAUGAUGUCCAGAAGGCGAUUAAAGAGAAGAAAGAUUGCUUCAGACGCCUAUACCUGGAUAGGAGUGCAGACAACAUAGAGAAGUACAAGAUGGCGAAGAAGGCCGCAAAGCGAGCUGUUGGUGAAGCAAGGGGUCGGGCAUAUGAGGACCUCUACCAACGGUUAGGCACGAAGGAAGGUGAAAGGGACAUCUAUAAGAUGGCUAAGAUCCGGGAGAGGAAGACGAGGGAUAUUGGCCAAGUCAAAUGCAUCAAGGACGGAGUAGGCCAACUCUUGGUGAAGGACGAAGAGAUUAAGCAUAGAUGGCGGGAGUACUUCGACAAGCUGUUCAAUGGGGAGAAUGAGAGUUCUACCAUUGAACUAGAUGACUCCUUUGAUGAGACCAGCAUGCAUUUUGUGCGGCGCAUCUAGGAGUCUGAGGUGAAGGAGGUUUUAAAAAGGAUGAAAGGAGGCAAGGCGAUGGGCCCUGAUUGUAUCCCCAUUGAGGUGUGGAAAGGUUCGGGGACAUAGCGAUAGUAUGGCUAACCAAGCUUUUCAACCUCAUUUUUCGGGCAAACAAGAUGCCAGAAGAAUGGAGACGGAGUAUAUUAGUACCAAUCUUCAAGAACAAGGGGGAUGUUCAGAGUUGUACUAAUUACCGUGGAAUUAAGCUAAUGAGCCAUACAAUGAAGCUAUGGGAGAGAGUCAUUGAGCAUCGCUUAAGAAGAAUGACAAGCGUGACCAAAAAUCAGUUUGGUUUCAUGCCUGAGAGGUCGACCAUGGAAGCCAUUUUCUUGGUACGACAACUUAUGGAGAGAUAUAGGGAGCAAAAGAAGGACUUGCAUAUGGUGUUCAUUGACUUGGAGAGGGCCUAUGAUAAGAUACCGCGGAAUGUCAUGUGGUGGGCCUUGGAGAAACACAAAGUCCCAGCAAAGUACAUUACCCUCAUCAAGGACAUGUACAAUAAUGUUGUGACAAGUGUUCGAACAAGUGAUGUCGACACCGAUGACUUCCCGAUUAAGAUAGGACUGCAUCAGGGGUCAGCUUUGAGCCCUUAUCUUUUUGCAUUGGUGAUGGAUGAGGUCACAAGGGGUAUACAAGGAGAUAUCCCAUGGUGUAUGCUCUUUGCGGAUGAUGUGGUGCUAGUUGACGAUAGUCAGACGGGGGUAAAUAGGAAGUUAGAGUUAUGGAGACAAACCUUGGAAUCGAAAGGGUUUAGGCUUAGUAGAACUAAAACCGAGUACAUGAUGUGCGGUUUCAGUACUACUAGGUGUGAGGAGGAGGAGGUUAGCCUUGAUGGCCAGGUGGUACCUCGGAAGGACACCUUUCGGUAUUUGGGGUCAAUGUUGCAGGAGGAUGGGGGUAUUUAUGAAGAUGUGAACCAUCGAGUCAAAGCCAGAUGGAUGAAGUGGCGCCAAGCUUCUGGCAUUCUCUGUGACAAGAGAGUGCCACAAAAGCUAAAAGGCAAGUUCUACAGGACGACGGUUCGACCCGCAAUGUUGUAUGGCGCGGAGUGUUGGCCGACUAAAAGGCGACAUGUUCAACAGUUAGGUGUGGCAGAUAUGCGUAUGUUGAGAUGGAUGUGUGGCCACACGAGGAAGGAUCGAGUCCGAAAUGAUGAUAUAUGAGAUAGAGUUGGGGUAGCACCAAUUGAGGAGAAGCUUGUCCAACAUCGUUUGAGAUGGUUUGGGCAUAUUCAGCACAGGCCUCCAGAAGCUCCAGUGCAUAGCGGACAGCUAAAGCGUGCGGAGAAUGUCAAGAGAGGGUGGGGUCGACCGAAUUUGACAUGGGAGGAGUCCGUUAAGAGAGACCUGAAGGAUUGGAGUAUCGACAAAGAGCUAGCUAUGGACAGGGGUGCGUGGAAGCUUGCUAUCCAUGUGCCAGAGCCAUGAGUUGGUUGCGAGAUCUUAUGGGUUUCACCUCUAGCCUACCCCAACUUGUUUGGGACUAAAGGCUUUGUUGUUGUUGUUGUUGUUGUUGUUGUUGUUGUUGUUGUACUCUUCUUGUGAUCCUUAUCAAGUGUGUUUUGGUGGAAGGCAAGCCAUUUCUUUUUGGUACUUUGUGCCAUCAUGAAACUUUAUUGAGAGCUUGGUUUGUUUGGAACCAUCCUCUCUUUGGGAGUUUGACAUCUUUAGUAUAGUGUGUAUCAAUGGAUAUCUCAUUCCUUGAUGUAUCUUUAAUGAUAUCUUCCAAGUGAUGAUUUCUCCAUUUGGUAUCCUUUUCACUUGGAAUUUCUUUGUCUUUUGGUUUCGGGUUUUGAAAGUCUUGAGCAUGCAUGUUUACUUCAUGUAUUUUAUUUGGCAUGCUUUCUUUCUUUGACUCAAUAUAUAGGGGAAUCUCCACCAAGUAUCAAAUUGGAUAAGAUGUGUAUGAAAUUCAUUUUCAUAUCUAUUUGCACAUAUUUAUGUGGAGAUUGUCCUAUGUAUUGAUGUUUCUAACCCUUUGGUCCCAAUGAGUUUGGGUACCAUUUUGUUUGUGUUGUUGUUCUAGGAACAAUUGGAGAUGCAUUGGAUGCUCGGCUCACUCACAAGGAAGGUGGUUUCACCAUGUGCUUAUUGGAGUCAAGCUAGGAUGAUCAAUGAUCUACUAUCUACCUUUAAUUGGUAUCUACUACAUCCUUUCAAUGCUAUCUCGGUAACAAGUAUCAACUCAUGCAUACACCUCUUAUAUUCAACCUUGUGUAGCUUGCAUCAUGGCAUGAAUUUCUUGAUUAGUUCUUGUGAUACUUGUUUCCCGUCUCAAAGCAUCUCAACAAUGAUCUCUUGUUGCUAGUUGUGAUAUCUUUGAUGGUUGUGUGGUAGGAAUUCACUUAUAUACAAUAAGACAAUUUCUAGCCUUGGGCUAUGCUUCCAAGCAAAUAUCUUAUUGGUAUAUGUAUGACUUCCUUUUGGAUAUCUUGUUCCUUCAUGUUGUAACUAUCUCGGGUGUACACCCUUCUUUGUAGAUAUAUAUCAUCAUGAUUUCGUCUACCUAGAACCGUGUACACUUGAGAGAAAUUACAUCUCUAGACAAUAUCCUUUCUUUCACGUCCACAUUGUCUUUCUUAUGUUAUUUCUUUGGUGGCUCCAUGAAAGCUUUUGCCUUGAGAGUGUGUCCUCUAUCGUUGCAUCUUGAUGCACUCUUGUGUGGUGAAGAUUAUUUCCUCCUGCUUGUCUUGACAAGGCCUUUGCCAUCUUAAUUGGUAUCCCUCGUCUUGAUGAGGCUUUCCUUUUCUAUCUUCACCACGGGUUGUCACAAGCAUAGGUUCUUUAUAUGCUUAUUAGUAAGCUUGUGAAUCCAUUUGCUUAGUUGUGUGUGAGAAUGAAAGGCUUUGCACCGUGUAUCUCAUUCAUUCGAGACUAUGUUGAUGCUUAUGCUCAUCCGUAUAUUAGUCCUCUCAUGUGCUUUGCCAUGACUCACACACAUCAUUUUGGUUGAGCCUAUUCUUAAGUUGCCUCUUUUACAUGUUGCUCAACCAUGUGUUUGUUGCAAGUGCUAGGCUUAGUUUCCUUUAUGCUCACUUGCACUUGUUGUAAGUUUCUAUUGAUUUUGGGGGAGCUAUGAUCCUAUUUUGUGCACUUUUUAUCCAAAUACAAAAAUUCUUAUGUGUGCACAAAUCAUGGGGAGCUUCUCUAGUUUCUUUAGAUCACUCCGUCGCUCAUAUCAUAAUAUCCUUUAUUCUUGUGGCUCGUAGGAUCUUUGGUCUAGUUGGUUCAAUUGAUAUCCUUUGAUUGCUUGCUUCAAUUGGUAUAUUUUGACUGUUUGAUUGCUUGUGUCUCUCUUUGUUAUGUCUUUGUGGCAUAUCAUUCUUUAGCAAUCUUUGUGCCUCAAUAUAGUUUGUGUUCCUCCAAGUAUUUACCAUUGGAUUUGUGUAUUGCAUUCCACUCUCUUGUUGAGAGAUACACAUAUUUUUGGAGGAACACUUGUUAUAUUGGCCUUCUUAGCUUUUCGCCCAUUUUGGCAAUCGAUGCCAAUGGGGGAGAAGUUUCAGAGAGUUUUGUGGAGAAGUUUAGAGAGUUAUCUCCUCUUGCUUUGGUUUUGUUCCUUAGCAUUUCCAUCUCAUUCUCAUGCAUCAUUGGUUGUUGCAUUGCAUGGUGAUGCAUAAUUCCUUGUAUAAACUCUUUUGAAAGUGAUUGUCAUCAAUUACCAAAAUGGGGGAGACUGAAAGAACAUGCGGUGCCCCCAUGUUUGGUUUUGGUAAUUGAUGACAAUCUCUAUGGACUAAUGGUUUCCUUGAGUUAUAUUUGAAGGUUUUGUCCAUAGGCUUUUCUUGAAGAACAUGUGUUGGUUUCAAGGAGUUUAUGAGUUGACCAAGGUGCUAUUAAGGAAUUAUCCAAAGAUUGGUCUUUUGAGUAUUGAGCUUAUUGCUAGUAUGUCUUGAAGAAGAAGAGAAGAUUGUGUGAACAUUCAUGUGUAUCUUCAAGACAUCAUCUUUAUGAAGAGAGAAGAUUUCUCACAAAGCGUAGAACAUGUACCGAGGGGAUCAAGUGAUCCCAUGGUAUGGUAAGCAUUGUCCAUUGCACUUUGUGUACUAACCCAUGAUCUAUGUGAGAGUUCUAUGUGGGGUUAGGUACGUGUCCAUGGGCUUGCGUCAAGAGGAAGAUAUCAUACAACCCAUGGAAAGGAUGACAUCAAGUGGUGAUCGUCAUCAAGAUUGCCAUGUGCAAGUGCAAGUUGAGCAUCACGAAGAGAUCAAGUGCUUCAAUCUUUCCAUCCAUUAUGCUGUCAAUGGACUUGUGAAGAUGUGCUGAAGAGUAGCUCACCCAUAAUGGACUAUGGGGGAGCAAUCAUCUAGUAUUCAUCGAGCCAACGCAAUCAACAAAGGUGGUCCAACUUGAGGGAGUCAAGAUCUUCAUCAUCUAGCUCAAGUGGAACAUGUGCAAGGCAAAGGUUUGCCCUUGAUAGGUUUUCUAUUUUACCGGUCUCGUGGUGGUAGUUGGGAGACCGGGUUAUAGGAUCAUUUGCCGUACUAUCAAGGGGCCUCUCAAGUUGGUAGCUUGAUUGUAUCGUUUGUAGAGAGCUCAAACCAUUGCAUCCUUUCAUCAUGUUUCUUGGUUCUUGUUUGGCUAUCUUUGUGAGUCUUAGAGCUUAUGGUCAUCUUGAUGACAAGUUUGAGUUCAUCGAAAACGGAGUUCGCAUGCGUCUUCUAUGAUGUUUUCGGUGUUGGAGGUUUUGCUGGUCUUAUCCGAGGAAGGGUUCUCACCAUUUUCUUAUGAGACUUUUCUAAUUUUCUUCUUAUUGAUAUUUCUUUCAAGAUUGUGUUAGCCCUUGUCGCUAGCUUUCCAACAAACUUGGUUUCAUCGAAUUCGGAGUCCUUUUGCAAAAGUUGUGGCAGUUUUGGUGUUCUGAAAAGGCUGCUGCCGUACUACCGCUAAUUGGAGCGGAUGUAAUUUUUUACUACCGCUCCAGAGCGGUACUACCGCGGCUCCUACAGCGGUAGUACCGCUCCGGACCAAAAACUCGUCCCAAGUCCUGCGGUGGUAGGCCCGGAUGUAAUUUUUUAGUACCGCUCGCAAGUAGUAGUACCGCUACCCUUAGCAGUAGUACCGCUACCCCUAGCAGUAGUACCGUGAGGUCAAGUGGUACUACCGCUCCGACGGUUCUUCUGGCCUUUUUGCCUCCUCGUUGUUGUGUUUCGCAGGGGUACUACCGCCCUAGCGGUAGUACCGCUCCUUGGAGCGGUAGUACCGCUCUGUGCGGGCUGUGAGCAUAAUGGUUGGUUUUCUCUCCACCUAUAAAAGGGGGUCUUCUUCCCCAUUGAACCUCAUCCUUUGAGCUCGUGUUCUUCCCCCAUUGUUGACCUUCUCCGAGCUUGCUAUCUCUCAAUCCCUCCAUGGAUUCUUGCUAGUUUUGGGGGGAAAAGAGAGAGGAGAUCUAGAUCCACAUUUCCACCAAUCACUUUCUCCUCUAUGUGAGGGGAACCCCUUGGAUCUAGAUCUUGGAGUUCUUGGUGUUCUCCUUCUUGUUAUUCCUCUCAUUUUCCUCCCUAGCAUUAGUUGCUUCAGUGGGAUUUGGGAGAUGAGGACUUGGGCACUCCAUGUGCCCUUGCCAUUGCAUUUGGUGCAUCGGUUUGAGUUCUCCAAGGUGAUACGUGGAAGUUUCAAGUUAAGAAGCUUAUUACUCUUGGGUGCUUGGUGCCCUUGAGCUUGUUCCUCUUGGGUGCGUUGGCACCCUAGAUGGUUGGUGGUGCUUGGAGCUCAAUUAUUGUGGUGUGAAGCUCCGGGCAAGCGUCGGGGUCUCCAAUUAGGUUGUGGAGAUCUCCCCGAGCAAUUUGACGGGUACAGGUGACCGCCCCCAAGGGUUGCCAAAGUGUACGGGUUCGGUGACCGCCCCCAAGGGUUGCCAUUUGUACGGGUUCGGUGACCGCCCUCAAGGUUCCCUUAGUGGAAUCACGGCAUCUUGCAUUGUGCGAGGGCGUGCAGAGAUUACGGUGGCCCUAGUGGCUUCUUGGGGAGCAUUGUGCCUCCACACCGCUCCAAAUGGAGAUUAGCAUUCGCAAGGGUGUGAAGUUCGGGAUACAUCGUCGUCUCCGCGUACCUCGGUUAUCUCUUACCCGAGCCCUUUAUUUAUGCACUUUACUUUGUGAUAACCAUAUUGUUUCUUGUCAUAUAUCUUGCUAUCACUUAGUUGUUUAUCUUGCUUAGCAUAAUUUGUUGGUGCACAUAGGUGAGACUAGUUGUUGUAGGUUUUGUGCUUGAUAAAUUAACCGCUAGGUUUAUUCCGCAUUUGUUCAAGCCUAAACUGUAAUUAUUUUAAAAGCGCCUAUUCACCCCCCCCCCCUCUAGGCGACAUCCACGAUCUUUCACCGGGUCUAUCUCUUAUCAUAUAAGCUUUCAAUCUACUUUUAUUUGCAUCUUUACUUUUCCAAUCUAUAUUAUAAAAUACCAAAAAUAUUUUUAUCUUAACAUAUUAUCUCUAUCAGAUCUCACUUUCGCAAGUGGCCGUGAAGGGAUUGACUACCCCUUUAUUGUGUUGGUUGCGAGUUCUUAUUUGUUUGUGUAGGUGCGUGGGACUUGCAAGGAGCCUCCUAAUGGAUUGAUACCUUGGUUCUCAAAAACUGAGGGAAAUACUUAUGCUACUAUUGCUGCAUCACCCUUUCCUCUUCAAGGAAAGCCAACACAAGCUCAAGACGUAGCAAGAAGGAUUUCUCGCGCCGUUGCCGGGGAGGUCUUCGCUCAAUUCAAGACAUACCAAGUACCCAUCACAAACUCAUCUCCCUCGCAUUACAUUAUUUGCCAUUUGCCUCUCGUUCUCCUCUCCCCCACUUCACCCUUGCCGUUUUAUUCGCCCUCUCUUUCCCAAUCUCCUCUCUCUUUCGCUUGCCUCUUUGUUUGCUUGUGUGUUGGAUUGCUUGUUGCGAUGGCGCAAAACAAUACCAAAUUAUGUGACUUUUCCAAUACCAAUAAUAAUGAUUUCCUUAGUACUCCGAUUGCUCCUCUUAAUGAUGUUGAGUCUUGUGAAAUCAAUGCUGCUUUGCUAAAUCUGGUUAUGAAAGAUCAAUUCGCCGGCCUUCCUAGUGAAGAUGCCGCUACUUAUGAAUCAAGUGCCAAAGAUGGCACUACUUAGAUCUAUCCUCGCUUUUAUGCCUAGCUAGGGGCGUUAAAUGAUAGCGCUAGUUAGGAGGCAACCCAAUUUUACUUUUGUUUUUUGUUUUUGCUUCUGUUUAGUAAUAAAUUUUGCAUCUGCCUUCUGUUUAGAUGUGUUUUCAUGUUUUAAUUAGUGUUUAUGCCAAGUAGAACCUAUAGGAUAACCUAUGGUAAUAGUUAAAUUUGAUUCUUCUGAAAAAUAGAAACUUUGUGCGCACGAAAAUUAUUUUUGUAAAUCACAGAAACAUGAUUUUGCAUUGAUUCUUUUUUCUGUAGAUCAAUAGACAAAUUUCCCAGGACUUCCUAUUUUGGUAGGAUUUGUAGAGUUCCAGAAGUAUUCGAGAGUUAUAGAUUACUACAGACUGUUCUGUUUUUGACAAUUCUGUUUUUUGUGUGUUGUUUGCUUAUUUUGAUUCAUCUAUGGCUAGUAUGUAGGGGUAUGAACCAUAGAGAAGUUGGAAUACAGUAGGUUUAACACCAAUAUAAAUAAAUAAUGAGUUCAUUACAGUACUUUAUGUGGUGGUUUUUCUUUCUUGCACUAACGGAGCUUAUGAGAUUUCCUGUUGAGUUUUGUGUUGUGAAGUUUUCAAGUUUUGGGUAAAGAUUUGAUGGACUAUGGAAUAAGGAGUGGCAAGAGCCUAAUCUUGGGGAUGCCCAUGGCACCCCAAGAUAUUCAAGGGUAACCAAAAUCCUAAGCUUGGGGAUGCCCCGGAAGGCAUCCCCUCUUUCGUCUUCGUCUAUCGGUAACUUUACUUGGAGCUAUAUUUUUAUUCGCCACAUGAUAUGUGUUUUGCUUGGAGCGUCUUGUAUGAUAUUAGUCUUUGAUUUUUAGUUUACCACAAUCAUCCUUGCUAUACAUGCCUUUUGGGAGAAACCCACUUGAUUGGAAUUUAUUAGAAUACUCUAUGUGCUUCACUUAUAUCUUUUGAGCUAGAUACUUUUUGCUCUAGUGCUUCACUUAUAUCUUUUAGAGCACGGCGGUGGCUUAAUUUUGUAGAAAUUGUUAAUCUCUCAUGCUUCACUUAUAUUAUUUUGAGAGUCUCUUAUAACAGCAUGGUAUUUGCUAUGGUUAUAAAAUUGGUCCUAGAAUGAUGGGCAUCCAAGUUGGGUAUAAUAAAAACUAUCAUAGGAAGUGAAUUGGAUGCUAUGAUCAAUUUGAUACUUGAUAAUUGUUUUGAGAUAUGGAGGUAGUGAUAUUAGAGUAAUGCUAGUUGGGUGAUUAUGAAUUUAAAGAAUGCUUGUGUUGAAGUUGGCAAGUCCCGUAGCAUGCACGUAUGGUAAAAGUUGUGUAACAAAUUUGAAACAUGAGGUGUUCUUAGAUUGUCAUCCUUAUGAGUGGCGGUCGGGGACGAGCGAUGGUCUUUUCCUACCAAUCUAUCCCCCUAGGAGCAUGCGCGUAGUGCUUGGUUUUUGAUGACUUGUAGAUUUUUGCAAUAAGUAUAUGAGUUCUUUUUGACUAAUGUUGAGUCCAUGUAUUAUACGCACUCUCACCCUUCCAUCAUUGCUAGCCUAUUUGGUACCGUGCAUUGCCCUUUCUCACCUUGAGAGUUGGUGCAAACUUCGCCAGUGCAUUCAAACCCCGUGAUAUGAUACGCUCUAUCACACAUAAACCUCCUUAUAUCUUCCUCAAAACAGAGCUUUUGCGUUGAUUCGUUUUUCUGCUGAUCAAUAGAAAAAUUGUACAGUACGUCCUAUUUUGGUAGGAUUUUUUAGAGUUCCAGAAGUUUGCGUUAGUUACAGAUUGCUACAGAUUGUUCUGUUUUUGACAGAUUCUGUUUUUCGUGUGUUGUUUGCUUAUUUCAAUGCAUCUAUGGCUAAUAAAUUAGUUUAUAAACCAUAAGGAAGUUGGAAUACAGUAGGUUUAACACCAAAAUAAAUAAAUAAUGAGUUCAUUUCAGUACCUUAUGUGGUGGUUUUGUUUUCUUUCACUAACGGAGCUUAUAAGAUUUCCUGUUGAGUUUUGUGUUGUGAAGUUUUCAAGUUUUGGGUAAAGCUUUUAUGGACUAUGGAAUAAAGAGUGGCAAGAGCCUAAGCUUGGGGAUGCUUAUGGCACCCCAAGAUAUUCAAGAAUAGCCAAAAGCCUAAGCUUGGGGAUGCCCCGGGAAGGCAUCCCCUCUUUCGUCUUCGUUCAUUGGUAACUUUACUUGGAGCUAUAUUUUUAUUCGCUACAUGAUAUGUGUUUUGCUUGGAGUGUCGUGUAUUACAUUGGUAUUUGCUUAUUAGUUUACCACAAUCAUCCUUGCUGUAUCACACCUUUUUGGAGAAGCCUAUUUGAUUAGAAUUUUCUAGAAUACUCUAUGUGCUUCACUUAUAUCUUUUGAGCUUGAUAGUUUUUGCUCUAGUGCUUCACUUAUAUCUUUUAGAGCAUGGUGGUGGAUUAAUUUUAUAGAAAUUGCUAGUCUCUCAUGCUUCACUUAUAUUAUUUUGAGAGUCUCUUAGAACAGCAUGGUAUUUGCUAUGGUUUUAAUUUGGUCCUAGAAUGAUGAGCAUCCAAGUUGGGUAUAAUAAAAACUAUCAUAGAAAGUGAAUUGGAUGCUAUGAUCAAUUUGAUGCUUGAUAAUUGUUUUGACAUAUGGAGGUAGUAAUAUUAAAGUCAUGCUAGUUGGGUGAUUAUGGAUUUAAAGAAUGCUUGUGUUGAAGUUAGUGAUUCCUAUAGCAUGCACGUAUGGUGAACCGCUUUGUGAUGAAGUUGGAGCACAAUUUUAUUUAUUGAUUGUCUUCCUUAUGAGUGGCAGUCGGGGACGAGCGAUGGUCUUUUCCUACCAAUCUAUCCCCCUAGGAGCAUGCGUGUAGUGCUUUGGUUUUUGAUUACUUCUAAAUUUUUACAACAAGUAUAUCAGUUCUUUUGAUUAAUGUUGAGUCCAUGGAUUAUACGCACUCCUUUCACCCCUCCAUCAUUGCUAGCCUUUCUUGUAUCGUGCAACUUUCGCCGGUACCAUACACCCACCAUACUCCUUCCUCAAAACAGCCACCAUACCUACCUAUUAUGGCAUUUCCAUAGCCAUUCCAAGAUAUAUUGCCAUGCGACUUUCCACCGUUCCGUUCAUCAUCAUGACACGCAUCAUUAUUGUCAUAUUGCCUUUCAUGAUCAUGUACUUGACAUCGUAUUUGUGGCAAAGCCACCAUGCAUAAUUUUUCAUACAUGUCACUCUUGAUUCAUUACCCAUCCCGGUACACCGCCGGAGGCAUUCAUAUAGAGUCAUAUCCUGUUCUAGUGUUGAGUUGUAAUUCAUGAGUUGAAAAUAAAUAGAAGUGUGAUGAUCAUCAUUAUUAGAGCAUUGUCCCCAAAAUAAGAGAAAGGCCAAAUAAAAAAUAAAAAAUAAAAAGGGGGCAAUGUUACUAUCCUUUUUCACACUUGUGCUUCAAAGUAGCACCAUGUUCUUCAUAUAGAAAGUCUUUUAUGUUGUCACUUUCAUAUACUAGUGGGAAUUUUUCAUUAUAGAACUUGGCUUGUAUAUUCCUACGAUGGGCUUCCUCGGAAUGCCCUAGGUCUUCGUGAGCAAGCAAGUUGGAUGCACACCCACUAGUUAGUUUCUUUUUUUGAGCUUUCAUAUAUUUAUAGCUCUAGUGCAUAUGUUGCAUGGCAAUCCCUACUCCUCAUGUUGACAUCAAUUGAUGGGCAUCUCCAUAGCCCAUUGAUUAUCCUUGUCAAUGUGAGAUUUCUCCUUUUUUUGUCUUCUCCACACAAUCUCCAUCAUCAUAUUCUAUUCCACCCAUAGUGCUAUAUCCAUGGCUCACGCUCAUGUAUUGCGUGAAAGUUGAAAAAGUUUGAGAUUAUUUAAGUGUGAAACAAUUGCUUGGCUUGUCAUCGGGGGUGUGCAAGAUGGGAGCAUUUUUGUGUGACGAAAAUGAAGCAUGACCUAACUAUAUGAUUUUGUAGGGAUGAACUUUCUUUAGCCAUGUUAUUUUGAGAAGACAUGAUUACUUUGAUUAGUAUGCUUGAAGUAUUACUAUUUCUUAUGUCGAUAUGAACUUUUAUUUUGAAUCAUUUGGAUCUGAACAUUCAUGCCACAAUAAAUAAAAUUACAUUGAGAAUUAUGCUAGGUAGCAUUCCACAUCAAAAAUUCUGUUUUUAUCAUUUACCUACUCGAGGAUGAGCAGGAAUUAAGCUUGGGGAUGCUUGAUACGUCUCCAACGUAUCUAUAAUUUUUGAUUGUUCCAUGCUGUUAUAUUACCCGUUUUGGAUGUUUAUGGGCUUUACUUUACACUUUUAUAUCAUUUUUGGGACUAACCUACUAACCGUAGGCCCAGCCCGAAUUGUUGUAUUUUGCCUAUUUCAGUGUUUCGAAGAAAAGGAAUAUCAAACGGAGUCCAAACGGAAUGAAACCUUCGGGAGCGAUCUUUUUGGAACAAACAUGAUCAAGAGGACUUGGAGUGGAAGUCAAGAAACGAAGGAGGUGGCCAUGAGGGUGCCCAGCGUGCCCCCUAUAGGUGGGCGCGCCCCCACCCUCGUGGGCCCCUCGAGCGUCCACCGACCUACUUCUUCCUCCUACAUAUACCCAUGUACCCCGAAAACAUCAGAAGCGACCACAAAAUACUAUUUCCACUGCCGUAACCUUCUGUAUCCGCGAGAUCCCAUCUUGGAGCCUUCGUCGGUGCUCCGCCAGAGGGGGAAUCGAUCAUGGAGGGCCUCUACAUCAUCUCCAAGGCCUCUCCGAUGAGUUGUGAGUAGUUUACCACAGACCUUUGGGUCCAUAGUUAUUAGCUAGAUGGCUUCUUCUCUCUCUUUGAAUCUCAAUACAAAGUUCUCCUUGAUCUUCUUGGAGAUCUAUUCGAUGUAACUCUUUUUGCGGUGUGUUUGUCGAGAUCCGAUGAAUUGUGGGUUUAUGAUCAAGUUUAUCUAUGAGAAAUAUUUGAAUCUCCUCUGAAUUCUUUUAUGUGUGAUUAAGUUAUCUUUGCAAGUCUCUUCGAAUUAUCAGUUUGGUUUGGCCUACUAGAUUGAUCUUUCUUGCAAUGGGAGAAGUGCUUAGCUUUGGGUUCAAUCUUGCGGUGUCCUUUCCCAGUGAUAGCAGGGGCAGCAAGGCACGCAUUGUAUUGUUGCCAUCAAGGAUAAAAAGAUGGGGUUUAUAUCAUAUUGCAUGAGUUUAUCCCUCUACAUCAUGUCAUCUUUCUUAAUGCGUUACUCUAUUCUUAUGAACUUAAUACUCUAGAUCCAUGCUGGAUAGUGGUCGAUGUGUGGAGUAAUAGUAGUAGAUGCAGAAUCGUUUCCAUCUACUUGUCACGGACGUGAUGCCUAUAUACAUGAUCAUGCCUAGAUAAUCUCAUAAUUAUUCGCUUUUCUAUCAAAUGCUCGACAGUAAUUUGUUCACCCACCGUAAUACUUAUGCUAUCUUGAGAGAAGCCACUAGUGAAACCUAUGGCCCCCGGGUCUAUCUCUUAUCAUAUAAGCUUUCAAUCUACUUUUUUUUGCAUCUUUACUUUUCCAAUCUAUAUUAUAAAAUACCAAAAAAAUAUUUAUCUUAUCAUAUUAUCUCUAUCAGAUCUCACUUUCGCAAGUGGCCAUGAAGGGAUUGGCAACCCCUUUAUUGUGUUGGUUGCGAGUUCUUAUUUGUUUGUGUAGGUGCGUGGGACUUGUGAGGAGCCUCCUACUGGAUUGAUACCUUGGUUCUCAAAAACUGAGGGAAAUACUUACGCUACUAUUGCCGCAUCACCAUUUCCUCUUCUAGGAAAACCAACGCAAGCUCAAUACGUAGCACGCACGUCUGGUACUUGAUCGGUUAAUUCGAGAAGACGCUUGACUACAUUAACCGCGUUAAGUUAACGCUUCCGUUUUCGGUCUACGAGGGUACGUGGACACACUCUUCCCCUCUCAUUGCUAUGCAUCUCCUAGAUAGAUCUUGCGUGAGCGUAGGAAUUUUUUAAAAUUGCAUGCUACGUUUCCCAACAGUGGCAUCCGAGUCAGGUCUAUGCGUAGAUGAUAUGCACAAGUGGAACACAAAGAGUUGUGGGCGGUGAUCGUCAUACUGCUUACCACCAAUGUCUUAUUUUGAUUUGACGGUAUUGUUGGAUGAAGCGGCCCGGACCAACCUUACAUGACCGCAUUCAUGAGACCGGUUCCACCGACAGACAUGCAACUAGUUUUGCAUAAAGGUGGCUGGCGGGUGUCUAUUUCUCCAACUUUAGUUGAAUCGAAUUUGACUGUGGUCGGUCCUUGUGAAGGUUAAAAUAGCAAACUUGAUAAAUCACCAUUGUGGUUUUUGUGCCGUAGGUAUGUACGGUUCAUGCUAGAAGCCCGUAGCAGCCACGUAAAACUUGCAACAAACAAAGUAGAGGACGUCUAAUUUGUUUUUGCAGGGCAUGUUGUGAUGUGAUUUGGUCAAGACAUGAUGUGAUAUAAGUUGUUGUAUGCUAUGAUAUCGGCAACUGGCAGGAGCCAUAUAGUUGUCGCUUUAUUGUAUGAAAUGCAAAAGCUAUGUAAUUGAUUUACUUUAUCACUAAGUGGUAGUGAUAGUCGUAGAAGCAAUAGUUGGCGAGACGACCAUGACGCUACGAUGGAGAUUAAGGUGUCAAGCCGGUGAUGAUGGAGAUCACAGCGUAGCUUUGGUGAUGGAGAUCAAAAGCACAAGAUGAUGAUGGCCAUAUCGUGUCACAUAUUUUGAUUGCAUGUGAUGUUUAUCUUUAUGCAUCUUAUUUUGCUUAGUACGAUAGUAGCAUUAUAAGAUGAUCCCUUACAAAAUUUCAAGGUAUAAGUGUACUCCCCGAGUAUGCAUCGUUGCGAAAGUUCUUCGUGCUGAGACACCGCGUGAUGAUCGGGUGUGAUAAGCUGUACGUUCAAAUACAAUGAGUGCAAGUCAGUUUUGCACAUGCGGAAUACUUGGGUUAAACUUGACGAGCCUAGCAUAUACAGAUAUGGCCUCGGAACACUGGAGAUCGAAAGGCCAAACGUGAAUCAUAUAGUAGAUAUGAUCAACAUAGAGGCGUUCACCAUUGAUGACUACUCCAUCUCACAUGAUGAUCGGACAUGGUUUAGUUGAUUUGGAUCACGUAUCAUUUAGAUGGCUUGAGGGAUGUCUAUCUAAGUGGGAGUUCUUAAGUAAUAUGAUUAAUUGAACUUUAUUUAUACGAACUUAGUCCUGAUAGUUUUUUUGCAUAUCUAUGUUGUAGAUCAAUGGCCCGUGCUACCGUUCCCUUGAAUUUUAAUGUGUUCCUAGAGAAAGCUAAGUUGAAAGAUGUUGGUAGCAACUACACGGAUUGGGUCCAUAACUUGAGGAUUAUCCUCAUUGCUACAUAGAAGAAUUAUGUCCUUGAUGCACCGCUAGGUGUACCACCUGCCCUAGCAAUUGCAGACAUUGUGAAUGCCUGGCAAUCGCGUGUUGAUGACUACUCGUUAGUUCAGUGUGCCAUGCUUUACGGCUUAGAAUUGGGACUUCAAAGACGUUUUGAACGUCAUGGACCAUAUGAGAUGUUCCAGGAGUUGAAGUUAAUAUUUCAAGCAAAUUCCCAAGUUGAGAGAUAUGAAGUCUCAAGUUCUAUAGCUGCAAGAUGGAGGAGAACAGUUCUGUUAGUGAGCACAUACUUAGAAUGUAUGGGUACCGUAAUCACUUGACUCGGCUGGGAGUUAAUCUUCCAGGUGAUUGUUUCAUGACAGAGUUCUUCAAUCACUACCACCAAGCUACAAAGGCUCCAUGAUGAACUACAAUAUGCAAGGGAUGGAAAAGACUAUUCCCGAGCUCUUCGUGAUGCUAAAGGCCGCGGAGGUAGAAAUCAAGAAGGAGCAUCAAGUGUUGAUGGUUAACAAGACCACUAGUUUCAAGAAGAAGGGCAAAGGUAAAAAGAAGGGGAACUUCAAGAAGAAUGACAAGCAAGUUGUCACUCCCGGGAAGAAACCCAAAGCUGGACCCAAGCCUGAAACUGAGUGCUUCUACUCCAAAGGGACUCGUCACUGGAAGCGGAACUGCCCCAAGUAUUUGGCGGAUAAGAAGGAUGGCAAAGUGAACAAAGGUAUAUUUGAUAUACAUGUUAUUGAUGUGUACCUUACUAAUUCUCAUAGUAGUGCCUGGGUAUUUGAUACCGGUUCGGUUGCUCAUAUUUGUAACUUGAAGCAGGGACUAUGGAUUAAACGAAGAUUGGCUAAGGACGAGGUGACGAUGCGGGUCGGAAAUGGUUCCAAGGUCGAUGUGAUCGCCGUCGGCACGCUACCUCUACAUCUACCUUCGGGAUUAGUUUUAGACCUGAAUAAUUUUUAUUUGGUGCCAGCAUUGAGCAUGAACAUUAUAUCUGGAUCUUGUUUAGUGCGAGACAGUUAUUCAUUUAAAUCAGAGAAUAAUGGUCGUUCUAUUUAUAUGAGUAAUAUAUUUUAUGGUCAUGCACCCUUGAAGAGUGGUCUAUUUCUAUUGAAUCUUGAUCGUGAUGAUACACAUAUUCAUAAUAUUGAUGCCAAAAGAUGCAAAGUUGAUAAUGAUAGUGCAACUUGUUUAUGGCACCGCCAUUUGGGUCAUAUCAGUAUAAAGCACAUGAAGAAACUCCAUAAAGAUGGACUUUUGGAAUCACUUGAUUAUGAAUCAUUUGAUACUUGCAAACCGUGCCUUAUGGGCAAGAUGACUAAAACUCCGUUCUCCGGAAUAAUGGAACGAGCUAAUGACUUAUUCGAAAUAAUACAUACCGAUGUAUGCGGUCCAAUGAGUGUUGAUGCUCGUGGCAGGUAUCGUUAUUUUCUAACCAUCAUAGAUGAUUUGAGCAGAUAUGGGUAUAUCUACUUAAUGAAACACAAGUGUGAAACAUUUGAAAAGUUCAAAGAAUUUCAGAGUGAAGUGGAGAAUCAUCGUAACAAGAAAAUAAAGUUUCUACGAUCUGAUCAUGGAGGAGAAUAUUUGAGUUACGAGAUUGGCCUUCAUUUAAAACAAUGUGGAAUAGUUUCACAUCUCACGCCACCUGGAACACCACAGCGUAAUGGUGUGUCCAAACGUCGUAACCGCACUUUAUUGGAUAUGGUGUGAUCUAUGAUGCCUCUUACUGAUUUACCACUAUCAUUUUGGGAUUAUGCAUUAGAGACAGCUGCAUUCAUGUUAAACAUGGCACCGUCAAAAUAUGUUGAGACGACACCGUAAGAACUGUGGUUUGGCAACAAACCUAAGUUGUUGUUUCUUAAAGUUUGGGGAUGCGAUGCUUAUGUCAAAAGGCUUCAGCCGAACCCAAAUCGGAGAAGUGCGUCUUCAUAGGAUACCCUAAGGAAACAAUUGGGUGCACCUUCUACCACAAGUCCGAAGGCAAAAUCUUUGUUGCUAAGAAUGAAACCUUUCUAGGGAAGGAGUUUCUCUCGAAAGAAGUGAGUAGGAGGAAAGUAUAACUUGAUGAGAUAAUUGUACCUGCUCUCAAUUUGGAAAUUAGCUCAUCCGAGAAAUCUGUUCCCGUGAUGCCUACACCAACUAGAGAGGAAGCUAAUGAUAAAGAUCAUGAAGCUAUAGAUCAAGUUGCUACAGAACCUCGUAGGUCAAAUAGAGCAUGAUCCGCACCAGAGUGGUACGGUAAUCCUGUUCUGGAGGUCAUGUUACUUGAACAUGACGAACCUAUGAAUUAUGAAGAAGCUAUGAUGAGCCCAAAUUCUGAUAAAUGGCUUGAGGUCAUGAAAUCUGAGAUAGGAUCCAUGUAUGAGAACAAAGUGUGGACUUUCGUGGAUCUGCCCGAUGAUCGGCGACCCAUAGAGAAUAAAUGGAUCUUCAAGAAGAAGACUGGCGCUGAUGGUAACGUUACUGUCUAUAAAGCUCGACUUGUCGCAAAAGGUUUUUGACAAGUUCAAGGAGUUGACUAUGAUGAGACUUUCUCACCCGUAGCGAUGCUUAAGUCUGUCUGAAUCAUGUUAGCAAUUGCCGCAUUUUAUGAUUAUGAAAUCUGGCAUAUGGAUGUCAAAAUUGCAUUCCUUAAUGGAUUUCUUAAAGAAGAGUUGUAUAUGAUGCAACCAGAAGAUUUUGUCGAUCCUAAAGGUGCUAACAAAGUGUGCAAGCUCCAGCGAUCCAUUUAUGGACUCGUGCAAGCACCUCGGAGUUUGAAUAUAAGUUUUGAUGAGGUGAUCAAAGCAUAUGAUUUUAUACAUACUUUUGGAGAAGCAUGUAUUUACAAGAAAGUGAGUAGGAGCUCUAUGGCAUUUCCAAUAUUAUAUGUGGAUGACAUAUUGUUGAUUGGAAAUGAUGUAGAAUUUCUGGAUAUCAUAAAAGGAUACUUGAACAAGAGUUUUCCAAUGAAAGACCUCGGUGAAGCUGCUUAUAUAUUGGGCAUCAAGAUCUAUAGAGAUAGAUCAAGACGCUUGAUAGGACUUUCACAAAACACAUACCUUGAUAAAAUUUUGAAGAAGUUCAAAAUGGAUCAGUCAAAGAAAGGGUUCUUGCAUGUGUUACAAGGUGUGAAGUUGAGUCAGACUCAAUGCCCGACCACUACAGAAGAUAGAGUGAAAAUGAAAGUCAUUCCCUAUGCCUCGGCCAUAGGUUCUAUCCCGUAUGCUAUGUUGUGUACCAGACCUGAUGUGUGCCUUGCUAUAAGUUUAUCAGGAGUGGAUCACUGGACAACGGUCAAGAAUAUCCUGAAGUACCUGAAAAGGACUAGGGAUAUGUUUCUUGUUUAUGGAGGUGACAAAGAGCUUGUCGUAAGUGGUUACGUCAACUCUAGCUUUGACACUAAUCCGGAUGACUCAAAGUCGCAAACCGGAUACGUAUUUUUAUUGAAUGGUGGAGCUGUCAGUUGGUGCAGUUCCAAGCAGAGCGUCAUGGCGGUAUCUACGUAUGAAGCAGAGUACAUAGCUGAUUCGGAAGCAGCAAAUGAAGGAGUCUGGAUGAAGGAGUUCAUAUCUAAUCUAGGUGUAAUACCUAGUGCAUCGGGUCCAAUGAAAAUCUUUUUUGCAUCGUGUCCAAUGAAAAUAUUUUGUGAUAAUACUGGAGUAAUUGGCUUGGCGAAGGAAUCCAGAUUUCGUAAAAAGACCAAACACAUCAAGAGACGCUUCAACUCCAUCCGAGAUUUGCAAAAUACAUAUGGAUCUAAGCCUCUUCCAUGAGCAAAACAUGAUCAACACCAAGACUCCAUGGGUGUUAGAUUCAUUACAAUGUAAUCUAGAUUAUUGACUCUAGUGCAAGUGGGAGACUGAAGGAAAUAUGCCUAGAGGCAAUAAUAAAGUUGCUAUUUUAUAUUUCCUUCUUCAUGAUAAAUGAUUAUUAUUCAUGCUAGAAUUGUAUUAACCAGAAACUUGAUACAUGUGUGAAUACAUAGAGAAAACAACGCGUCCCUAGUAUGCCUCUACUAGACUAGCUCGUUGAUCAAAGAUGGUUAAGUUUCCUAGCCAUGGACAUGAGUUGUCAUUUGAUAAACGGGGUCACAUCAUUGGUGGAAUGAUGUGAUGGACAAGACCCAUCCGUUAGCUUAGCAUAAUGAUCAUUCAGUUUUAUUGCUACUGCUUUCUUCAUGUAAAAUAUAUAUUCCUCCGACUAUGAGAUUAUGCAACUCCAGGACACCGGAGGAAUGCCUUGUGUGCUAUCAAAUGUCACAACGUAACUGGGUAAUUGUAAAGAUGCUCUACAGGUAUCUCCGAAGGUGUUUGUUGGGUUGGCAUAGAUCGAGAUUAGGAUUUGUCACUCCGAGUAUCGGAGAGGUAUCUCUGGGCCCUCUCGGUAAUGCACAUCAAUGAAGCCUUGCAAGCAAUGUGACUAAUGAGUUAGUUGCAGGAUGAUGCACUACGGAACGAGUAAAGAGACUUGCCGGUAACGAGAUUGAACUAGGUAUAAAGAUACGGACGAUCGAAUCUUGGGAAAGUAACAUACCGAUGACAAAGGGAAUAACGUAUGUUGACAUUGCGGUUCGACCGAUAAAGAUCUUCGUAGAAUAUGUGGGAACCAAUAUGAGCAUCCAGCUUCCGCUAUUGGUUAUUGACCGGAGAGGUGUCUCGGUCAUGUCUACAUUGUUCUCGAACCCAUAGGGUCCGCACGCUUAGCGUUUGAUGACGAUAUGUAUUAUAUGAGUUAUGUGUUUUGGUGACCAAAGGUUGUUCGGUGUCCAUGAUGAGAUCACGGACAUGACGAGGAGUCUCGAAAUGGUCGAGAGGUAAAGAUUGAUAUAUUGGAAAGUUAUAUUCAGUCAUCGGAAUUGUUCCGGAGUGUUUCAGAUAAAUAUCGGAGUAUCGAGGGGUUACCGGAAACCCCCGGGGAAGUAAUGGGCCUUAAUGGGCCAUAGGGGAGAGGAGAGGCAGGCCACGAGGAGGUGGCGCCCCCUCCCCCCAUGGGGAGUCUGAAUUGGACUAGGGGAGGGGGCGCGGCCCCCCUUUCCCUCUCCCUCUCCCUCUCUUUCCUUUUCCCCCUCCGUUGGAAGGAAGGGGGCGACUAGGACUUGGAGUCCUUGUAGGACUCCCCCCUGGCGCGCGCCCUACGGCCAGCCUCCUCCCCUAACCUCUAGGAAGAACAUCAGUUGUCUUAGCCGUGUACGGUGCCCCCCUCCACCGUUUACUCCUCCGGUCAUAUUGUCGUAGUGUUUAGGCGAAGCCCUGCACGGAUCACAUCACCAUCAUCGUCACCAUGCCGUCGUGCUGGCGGAACUCAUCUACUCCUUCGUACCUCUACUGGAUCAAGAGUUCGAGGGACGUCAUCGAGCUGAACGUGUGCAGAACUCGGAGAUGCUGUACGUUCGGUACUUGAUCGGUUGAUUCGAGAAGACGUUCGACUAGAUCAACCGUGUUAAGUUAACGCUUUAGCUUUCGGUCUAUGAGGGUACGUGGACACACUCUUCCCUUCUCGUUGCUAUGCAUCUCCUAGAUUGAUCUCGCGUGAGCGUAGGAAUUUUUUUGAAAUUGCAUGCUACGUUUCCCAUCAGGUGAUCAGUCGAAUCAGCGAAGAGAGCGAUGUUGCCGAAGACAAAGAUCUAGCUCGGCAUGAAAGUCAUGAUGGCGCUGAUCUGCUCACCGAUCUUGAUCGCCAUCAAAUCUCUGCGACUACGUAGCAGGACCUGUACACGCCAACAAUGACGGAGUCGAAUCCGGCAAAUCUGAGGUAGGGUGUCCCGUCUAGUAGUAUUGACACGAUGGUAAUAGGAGCACGGGUUGUUACCUAGGUUCGGGCUCUUCUUUGAUAUAAAACCCUACAUCCUGACUUGUGUUUGUAUUAAUUAGGGAUGGAGUACAAAGUACAUACAUGUGAUCUACUGUGAAAUAGUUGGUUGUCGUUUACGAGCCCUACCUCUUGGUUUAUAUAGGUACAUGGGCUUAUAGGGUUACAACCUACUCGACUAGGUAUAAGGGGAAUAUGUCAUCGACGACCUCUAAUGUAUUGAAGUACCCAUCAUGUCUUCAGGAGCCUCUCUUUUAUACGCCAUGGGACUCCUGACGUGGCCCACUGGUGAACCGAUAUGGGGUCCUCGGUCCGGACCACCUGGGCAAAAGACAACAUGGUGAAUGACCCCAAAUCAGGAACACCGUCAGCAGCUCUUGCCUCACCUGCUCUGUCGUCCCGCACAACAGAUAAGAAACGCCUCGACCAGUCGAUGCAAGAGGCGACGUCGUUACCACCCUCGGACCACUCGAUAUCACCACCCUCGACGAAGAAACCCUAAUCCUAGCACUGCCUACGAUUGUCAGCUGAUCGCCUCCCAGUCGCCUCUUGGGGUUUUCUUUUCCUCGUGGACCCUCACUCUGCAAUGUUGUCAUUUCGAACAACAGUCUUGCAGAAAUACAACUCUUUGUGUGAAGUAAAGAAGUCAGAUGUGUGCUCUUUCCUGCUCCACAAGAAAGGCUCUCUGCUGUUGUUGGCGCUGCCGCCGGUCCGUUCCAUCUCUCCCCCCUCCCCCCACCGACGGGAGGGGAUUCGUUCUCGUUCUUAUUAGAUUCAAUGUCUUGGUUGGGGCUGUGUGGCAGCGGCGAUGCCCCUUAGUAGGAAUAGUGUCUGCCACGUUCUAUCCACGUCCUGAUGGUCCGUCUAGCAUGGUCGGAAGGUGUGUUGAGCUUUAUCUCCCUCGGAUCUUGCGGGGUUCGGUCGGUGCUGGUCAUCGGUGAAUCUAUUUGGAUUCGGUCUUCGUUCGUCUUCAUUUAGGCGCUUACAUGUUUGAUCCUUCUGAUCUCUGACUUUCUCCAUCGGUGAAGACUGCUACUCUGAUGCGCUGGUCCUAUAGGGCCUUAGCACGACGACUUCUCGACUGUCUACUACAACAAGGUUUGCUCGGCUCCGAUGAGGGAGGGGCGAUGACGGCGGCGCACACUCGGCUCACUUCAUUGCUUGUAGUCGUCGCUAGGUGGUCCACGGACAUGAUUGUAAUUUUUAUACUGUCAUGAUUGAAGAUGAAUAGAUUGAAAGUUUCUCGAUAAAAGAGAAGUCAGAUGUGCGGUGCGCAGAGACAUCUUAUACCCUGAAAAAUGUUGUGCAAAAUUUAGACAGACUUGUCCGUCUUAGUCCCACGAAGGCCAUUUAAAAAGAGAAGUGAAAACGACAUCAGGCCAUCAAUAGGACUGAAACCUACAAGCAAGUGAUGGUCUGAUUACUUAACACGGCGUCUCUCCGUGCUAGUUGACGUGGACAUGAUAGCAACUCAAGUCUCGGCUCAAAGUCUUUUGGUCGUUGGUCUCCAUUUCUAGGUGAAGAAAAUGCAAGGAAAAUUAUCCACCGGUCCACACGGGAUUAAAACCAGAGUCCAAUACAUAUAUACUGUACCUUUAGCAUCUUGCACACAAUUUUCAUGUUUGACAAAAAAAUAAGUAUACAAUGGAAGUAUGUCAAACUCAAUAUAAAUCACAAUGUGUGUAUUUUGUAUCUAUACAACACAGGGUUCGCCUGGAUUUUCCGGCACAUUGAAUAUCCAGCGAACAUCGGAUUUUCGGAUAUGACAAAUGGAAUAUUUUUCAUGGUAAACUAUGUUAGAUGAGGAUGGAAAUUUAGUUGAUGAACAUAGCAAAUCUGUAUCAGUUCAUUUUAAUUAUUCUUUUGUCAGAAAAUUGCCGUGCUCGUCAACUAAAUUUGUCAUAUUCACGUCAAUAUAAAUUGCGAGGAAAAACGUUCAAUUUGCCAUGCCUAAAACUCUGAUGACAUAUUGUUAACAUUUCUGAAAAAAGAAUCUCUCUCUUUCUAGCCAAUAAUAAAUAAACAAAAAAAAACAAGAGGGAGAUAAAUGAGUAACCGGGCAGAAGGUUCGACGGAGGCAUGGAGCGCGUUCUUCUUCUGCCCACUAUAAAUACCCCUCGCCGUCCGCGUUUCCGCUUCCAACCAAAAAAUUAGCGCGACAGCUGUUCACACUGCUGACUGCUCCACCCUCGAGCGAUCCGUCCGUCCGCCGCCACCUUCCUUCACCCCCUCCCGCCAUGGCGGCCGCCAGGUGGUCCCCGGCCGCCUUCCUCGCACUCCUCCUCCUCCUGCUCCCGUUCGCGCCCAGCCCAGCACGCGCGGCGACGCCGGGGAAGUCCCCGUCGUCCUCGUCCACCGCCGUGUUCCAGCUCCAGGGUGCCGUCUAUCCCAUCGGGUACGCGGUCUCCUCGCCCCUGCCCUGAUCAGAUUGGGUUCGUUCUUAGGAUAUCCCCCGGUUCUGUUCUGUGCAAGCAGAUAUGCAGAUCUUUGGGGUUUAUUCGCAGCUUUUGUUGGUUGGUUGGUUUCUGACGAAUGCAGAGUCGUAGAUCGUCGUCUGCGUAGCUCUGCGGGCGUUGAUGUUAAUCCCGUCCAAGUAGCCGGCACAAAGUCCAAGAAUCCUCUUGACUUUUGCUCCAUGAACUGCCUUUUGUCCGUCUGCCUAUUUAUUUAUUUACUUUUUGUUCUGAAGAUAGGGAUCCACUGAACUGUUUUCAGUUUGCAUCCUCUGUUUAUUUUCUCAGUUCUUUCAGGAUUUGUUUGUUCACAAAUUUUCGGUGCCGUUUCUGCAGGCAUUAUCAUGUCACCAUGAACAUUGGGGGCCCGGCCAAGCCUUACUUCCUGGACGUGGACACCGGCAGCGAUCUCAGCUGGCUGCAGUGCGACGCCCCCUGCCAAAGUUGCAACAAGGUGCAUUACGCCCCAAUGUUAUAUCUUACAAAAUUACUUGAAUUGCACGGAGAAUUCAACUCCAGUAUUCAAGUUCAUAGCUUUCUUUCUGCCACCAGAUUAGUCCAAGAAUUGAUCUCUCUUCUGUGUUAAAAGUAGCAUGUACCAACUUCGACUUACAUUUCCAGUUUAAGAUUGUGAUCUUUUCCGUCAAAACAUAAUAAUAAUAAUAUUGUGAUAUUUUCUUGCUUGGUUUGCAUCAACGUCACUGAUUAUCCUAAUCCACUACUGGCUUAAUUCUAGUUCCAGAUUUGGUGUGAAAUGCAGGCCUUGGUUUUUUUCCUUUCCCCAGGGUUUUUUGAUUGAUUUUCUUCCUGGUUGUUGUUGUAGGUGCCACACCCAUGGUACAAGCCAACAAAGAACAAGAUUGUUCCCUGUGCAGCUUCGCUCUGCACUAGUUUGAGCCCUAACAAGAAAUGCGCCGUACCACAGCAAUGUGAUUACCAGAUCAAGUACACGGACAAGGCAACUUCACUCGGCGUGCUCAUCGCUGACAACUUCACACUGUCCCUGAGGAAUUCAUCCACUGUCCGUGUCAACCUCACCUUUGGGUACUAAUAUAUGCCCAUUUAUGUUACAUUGCCUUGGUAGUGGUGUUUUAGUUCCGUUCUUGAUGUUUAAUUGCUUCUCUUUUUGUGCAGCUGUGGAUAUGAUCAGCAAGUGGGAAAGAAUGGCGCAGUGCAGGCGGCGACAGACGGCUUGCUUGCGCUUGGGAAAGGAUCAGUUAGCCUGCUCUCGCAGCUCAAGCAGCAAGGGGUUACCAAGAAUGUUCUUGGCCAUUGCUUCAGCACGAAUGGAGGAGGCUUCCUCUUCUUCGGAGAUGAUAUCGUACCCACCUCGCGUGUAACUUGGGUUCCCAUGGCUCGUACCACAUCUGGGUAAGAAUGCAUUAUUCUUAACAUUUUGAAAAAAAAAAUGUGUUGCCAAUUGCAAAUCUUGGAUUUAUUUUUAGUCUAAGAAUUAGGCUACGUUGGUGUUUGGUUGAUUUCUUGAUCACCAGUGACAUGGCAUGGACCUAAUGAAAUGGCCCUAUUAUUGAAACAACAUGACAACGUAAAAAUUAAUAAAUUUUGAAGCUAUCUCAUCUUCUUGCGCUUUGCAGCUACAGGAGGGUAAAAAAAUCAUCAACUUCACAUGACAACUCAGUGAUAAUGCUCCUGUACAGUUGAUUGCAACCCUGUUGAAUGUUUUCAGUCUAUCAUCAAGCAGUGUAGUUCAUAUUAAUGUCAAUAAACUACAAUAAUAAUUCAGAAAAAGGGUAAAAACUUUAGCAUCUUAAAAAGUGUUAACUCAGACUCUCUUUUUUGCUGGGAACUCAGACUCUGUUUACCACCUGAACUGAAUGCCUGUAUGUAGGAUUUACAUUCCGUGUCAACAGAAAGUUUUGUAAAUUGUAUAAGGUUUCAGUAAGACCUUUUGGCUUCACACGUUAUACAAUAUUUUAUUUUCAGGAAUUACUACUCACCUGGCUCAGGAACACUGUACUUCGACCGACGCCCACUACGGGUGAAGCCAAUGGAGGUGGUAUUUGACAGCGGUAGUACCUAUACCUACUUUGCCGCCCAGCCAUACCAAGCAACUGUUUCUGCGGUAGAUUUCAAACACAGUUCAUUUUAACUGCCAUGAAUUUGAAGAAAGAAACAGUUAAUCAAUCGGAUACUUGUCUUGUAGCUCAGAGCUGGUCUCAGCAAGUCACUUAAAGAAGUCUCAGACGUCAGUCUGCCUCUUUGCUGGAAAGGGCAGAAGGUAUUCAAAUCUGUGUCAGAGGUCAAGAACGAUUUCAAGUCACUGUUCUUGAGCUUUGGCAAGAAUUCUGUCAUGGAGAUUCCUCCGGAAAACUACCUCAUUGUCACUGUAAGCGUUUGAUAACCCAACUUACAGUAAUUUUUACCAAACAUUUUACUGAAAAUAUGAAAGCUAAAAUGUUCUCAUCUUUUUUGUGCCAGAAAUAUGGGAAUGUGUGCUUAGGCAUCCUUGAUGGUACGGCUGCUAAACAGACAUUCAACAUAAUCGGAGGUAUAAAUUCAUACACACAGUACCCAGUUUCUAAAAUUAGGAUAUCUGGGAUCUUGUAAUAAUUGCAGUUGAUCUUCUGUUCUGUAGACAUCACAAUGCAGGAUCAGAUGAUAAUUUAUGACAAUGAGAAAGGGCAGCUUGGAUGGAUCCGUGGGUCAUGCAGUAGAAGCUCUAAGUCUAUUAUGUCUAACUUUCCAUGAUCAUUUAUCAGAUCUAAAUCAUUAACCUAUCCGUUCAAACACUGGCUGCACCUCAAGCACUAUAGGGUGCCAUCCAAAUAAAAGUACUGUAUGUUGUAGUGUAUUAACAUGAGCCUGAGGAAAAUGCGGCAGAAAGGAGAGGAGAAGAGCCAUGCAGAUGUAGGCAGAUAAAGUUACUGAUAUGUAUGCUCCUCCUGUUCAUAAUGAAAUGGAGUCUAUAUUUUACCAUCUCCUUGUACUUGCAGCUCUAUCUUUCUAUAUGCAAGUAUACGGUGCUUGCGUGCUUCAAAUGGUUGCAGAACUGAAUGCGGCACAUACUGAACGACUUACUGAUUGCUGACUGAUGUGAUAUAAUAAUGCUAUAUGCACUCAUGGUCAUGGGAGUCACAACUAACUGUUUAUACUGAGGAAUUGCACGUGCCGACCUAUAUUAUUUCUAACAUUGAACACAAAUCGUACAAAGAUUUGUGUUCUGAUCACGCAGUCUCUUACAAGAUGAAAAAGGGUGAGAUGCAAGUCAAAUUUGCACAGAUCACGGUUAAGCUGUUUCUUAGUUUGAACAAUGACAGAGAAUAUAUAUACCAAUCUAUCUGAUGGCAUGUGUUCAACAUUCUAGACGUUCAAACUGCUGGUAUGAAAAUCCCACUUCAAAUGGGAACUCCAUUCGGUUGUAACCGUAUACCGUAAUAAUAACCUUGCCAGUUUCUCUAGCAAUAGCUUCCUUAGCACAUCUCUUUUAAUAGCAAGACAAGAUGCCCCCUCCGUUAAGUUUAACGAUUAUCAAAUAGUUGUUGCUUUAUUUUGCAAUGUAACACUGUAUAUCUUUAUAAUGUGAACCAAACCGAGGAGAGUAGAAAAUGACAGAAAAGGGAGGAUGUUUCUAAAUAUGAUGAAUUAUUCGAGGUGAGAUACAAAUCAAAGUCAGUUGUAACUAUCUAACUGAAUGCCGCUACUGUCAUUCCAAAUAAAGUCUGUACUGUCUUAACAUUCCUGGCCAAAAUGAGGGAUGAAUAGAAACAAAGAUGAGUGUAGUAGAGACAAAUAGUAAGUUACUUGUAUGCUCUUCUUGUUCAUAAUAAGACGGAAUCCUUACUCUUGUAUCCCAUUUACUUGAAGCUUUUAAAAAAAAUGAUACACAAUAUAUCUGAUGCUUGCAUGCUUUUCAAUUUUACUGAAUGAGUGUUAUGCUUUUUAACGGACUCGGAACUGAAUGUUCCACUGGAUCAGGCAGGUAGCAUUGUGAGUAGGUCUUGUCUAAUCACAUUUAUCUUCUUAUAGUAUGAUGCUUGCUUCCAUAUACAAGAGAUCCAAAGUGGUCGGACCCUCCCCCGGACCCUGGCAAGUUGCCCUUUAUAGUAUGAUGCUUGCUUCCAUAUAUUUCUAAUUUCAAAAUAAUUAUUGCUUGCUGGAGUGGAGAUUCAAACCAUCUCCAUGUUCCUUGCCUAUUUGGCGUUUUCCACAAUGAUUCUUUAGCACAUAUUUUGUACUGUAACCCAAGAUACCCUUUUGUCGUGAUCAAAAUUGUGGAAAGUGUGCUUAAACAACGAUCGAAGCAGAAAUGAGAACCUUUCUACACUAAGAUUAUGGGGAAAUGACCAUGAAUUCUAAUUUCUGCAUUAAAUAUAUGCACAUAUCUGGAAGUUGCAUUUCAUAUAUGUGUAUCAUGUACAGCUAAGUAGAACAAAAUAAAUUGGUUUUCGAAUUUCCAAUGUAAAAAAUUGAUCUGCAAAAAUGUGUCAUUUGGUAUGCCAUAACUUAUAAAAUGUAUCUUCUCUACAGCAUCUUGACUGGACCCUGCGCAAGCGGGAGCUACAUGCACCAGGUUGCCCCUUUUUAAUGGAGAAUAAUUCUAAAUACAAUGAAUUAUUCUAGGUGAGAUACAGACCAAGUCAGCUGUAACUAUUUGACUGAGUUCUGCUAUUGCCAUCGAAAUAAAGUCUGUCCUGUCUUAACAUGCCUGGCCAAAAUGAGGGGUGAAUGGAAACAAGUGAGCAUGUAGUGGAGAGAGACAAAUAGUAAGUUACUAACCUCUUUGCUCUUCCUGUUCAUAAUAAGGCGGAAUCUUCAAUUGAAGCUUUAAAAACUUCGAUACACAAUAUAUCUGAUGCUUGAUUGCUUAUCAAUUUUUUUGAAGAUUGUUUUGCUUUAUAUCGGACUCAGAACUGAAUGUUCUAUUGGAUCAGGCAGGUAACAUUGUGAGUAGGCCUUCUUACCUGUUUACUUUUCUGAUCAGCUGCGUUCAUGUAAAUGGGAUAGCUCCAACUCUUGUUUCAAGAUUGAGUUGUACGCUGAAAUUGCAUUCUUGUAAAUAUGGGUUACUUCUCAAAUCUGAGAAAUUUAAAAACCAAUCCUCAUUGCUGACUGACGGUGUGUAUAUAGUAAUGGUAUAUGAAGAUGAACUAGGCAAACAAAUAGCUUUUACCUUUGAAAUAUCAAGCUCUAAUCUGAAAAAUUACAAUUGCCAAAUGCUGAUCAUUAACUUUGUCCUUUAAAACCAAAAACCUACUGUAUGCACACACAAAAAAAAAUCAUACUACUGUUGUUUGUUUAGUAUUCAUAAUUUAAACAUUGACAGAGUAGAAAUGAUGACUUGUAGCAAGGAUGAUGUGGAUUAUGAUGAACAACAAUUUACUACUUUUAUCUCACGGCACAUACAAUAUUCCAAACCUUGUAGUUAUUUAUUCCCCACUUUCCACAUGAGUACUGAAAUCAAAAUUCAAUAUCGAAUCAAUUCGAAUGCCCGUUACGUUGUGUCAUACAUUGUAAAUGACCUUGUCAGUUGUGAUAAUCAUGAGUUGCAACAGUGUUAGUUGUGUUUUUAUGUCCUGUUUUUAUAGUAUGAUGAUUGCUUCCAUAUGUUUCUAAUUUCAAAAUAGUUGUUGCUUGCUGGAGUGGAGAUUGAAACCGUCUCCAUAUUCCUUAUCUAUUUCUGCGGUUUCCACAAUGGUUCCUUGGCACAUAUUUUGCAAUUUAACACAAUACAUCCCUUUUUUGUGAACAUAAUUGUGGAAAGUGUGCUUAAAGAACGACCGAGACAGAGACAGAAACGAGGACCUUUCUAAUCUAACAUUCGGCAAAAAAAUGACCGUGAAUUCUGCGGUUAUCUUACUGGAAAUGGACCACUGCUUUGAUAUGUCUUCAUGUACUCUAUAUAUGUUCACACAAUUAAAGAUUUUCGCAUUAAAUAUAUGCACAUAUCUGGAGGUUGCAUUGCAUAUAUGUGUAUCAUGUAUAGCUAAGUAGAACAAAAUAAAUUGUUUUUCAAGUUUUCAAGGUUGAAAUGUUUAGAUCAUUUGGCAUGGCAUCAUUUAUCUGAAUGUAUCUUCUAUACAGUAUCUUGAUGGGAAUGUUCAGAUCAUUUAGCCCUAUAAGUAAAUCUGUCACUAAUCAUUCUCGGAUUUUUUUUUAUAAAUAUAAUGAAUUAUUCGAGGUGAGAUACAAACCAAGUCAUUUGCUACCAUCUAACUGAAUGCCGCUACUGCCAUCCAAAUUAAGUCUGCCCUGUCUUUAACAUGCCUAGCCAAAAUGGGGAGGAGCAUACAGGUUAGUGACAUGCUAUUUGUCUCCACUGCAUUCUUUGUGAACAUAAUUGUGGAGCGUGUGCUUAAAGAAUGACCAAAACAGAUAUGAGAACCUUUCUACUCUUACAUUCUGGGAAAAGAUUUGCAAGUUUUGCGGUUAUCUUACUUGAAAUGGACCACUAUUUUCAGAUGUACACUAUAUGUUCACACAAUUUUAAAAUUUAUGCAGUAAAAAUAUGCACAUAUCGAGAGGUUGCAUUACAUAUGUAUCAUGUACAUCUAAGUAGAAUAAAAGAAAUUUGUUUUCGAAUUUUCAAUGUCAAAAAUUGAGCUGCAAAAAUGGGAUGCCCAUUAGUUUGCUAGACAUGUAUCAUUUGGCAUGCCAUCAUUUAUUUAAAAUGUACUGUAUCUUCUAUACAGUAUCUUCAUGGGAAUGUUUGCAUCAUAUUUAGCCUAAAAAUAAGUAAACGUAUCACUAAUUUUGAGUAUCAUGCACCUCAUCACAGUAUACUGGUCAUGUAUUUGUGUGAGUUCUUAAAAAUGGAUGGCUGGUAUAGUUAUAUCACCACCCCUUGUGCUCCAGCCAACCGCUGGUUUCAACGAGUGAUAUAAUUAUGUAAAUCCAGUUCUUUCUGACUUAAUCUUCUUGCCGGCCUAAAUUUCACUGAGUCUCAGUUGGAACACAUGGAAUUUGACAUAAAUUUGUUCUAUUCCUGCUAGAAUUUUGGAAAAUUCCGUUGUUUUAAACAAGGAUUUAAUAGUCAGGGAACUCUAAGCCAUUUGCUCAUUAGGAAAGGCAGGGGUAUACUAUUUUUGAAAACAUAACUAUACAUUAUGAACCCCCGCCCUGCAUAAGUUGCUAAGCCCGAAUACAAUAUCACUUGAGAGGAAAAUCAACAUUAAAGCCACAAAAAAUGCAAAGGAAAUAAACUAAGGCGUACUACAAAGCAGUGGAGGAAAUUAAGCUCUGAACCAACGGCUAUAAAUACCUGACCACCCUGUUGGCACCAUCCAGAGAAGCACAGAGUUUCAAAUCACACUGCUGCCUUCUCCCCCCACCAUGGCUGCCAUGUGGUCUCCAAUCAUCGCUCUCCUCUUGCUCCUGCUCCCACUCGUGCCGUCCUCCUCCUCCGCCAUCACGCUCCCGCUCCAUGGCAACGUCUAUCCUGUCGGGUAUGUAUGUUUCUCUGAUCAUUACAUGGCAAUUGACAAGCUUUGAUCGUCCUUCUCAGGCUUGAAGUUUUCUUUCUCCGUAUAUUUGACACGCUUUUCUGUACCACUGCAGCCACUACUAUGUUACGUUGCAGAUUGGUAAACCCCUGAAGCACUACUUCUUGGACAUCCACACCGGAAGCAACCUCACCUGGCUGGAGUGUCAGCACCCGCACCUCGGCUGCCAGCACUGCACCCAGGUAACAACACUCAAUUCUGUGAUAUCACAUACAGUACUAUCUUACAACUGUAAUAUUUGUGUUUGAUGCCAAGUGUUCUGUUCUGUCCAAGUUCAUUGGCAAAAAAUGUACUGCAAUCUUGGCAUGAUCUUUGCUUUCGUGCUUGAUUAUUCCAGGGGCAUAAACACUCAUAUUACUCGCCAAAACUUAGCAACUUGAAGGUGGGAUGUCAACACAUGUACUGUGUUGCACUGCGGAAAGACCUGCCAGGUAUUAACCCUCAAUGCCCCAUCAAGGAGCCACAUCAAUGCCACUACAAAAUUCGAUACCUCGAUGGGACGACAGAAGGUGUUCUCUCCCUUGACAAGAUCUCUGUCGGGGGAAAGGAAAACAAUAUUGCGUUAGGGUAAGAACUAACCAUUCACCGUCUGUUCAGUGCUUACUGGACUUGGAUGUUGAUGAUUUUUCACCUUUCGUUUUACGCAGAUGUGGAUACAACCAGCACCCACGGAAACCAUCGCCCGUACAUGGCAUCCUUGCCCUUGGGAUGGGAACGGUGGGUUUUGUCCCGCAACUCAAGUUGCAGAAGAUGAUUUCCAAGAACAUCAUUGGGCAUUGCCUUGGCAAGGAUGGAGGGGGCUACCUCUUCUUUGGGGACAAGCAGUUUGGCUCGGAAGGCAUAACCUGGGCACCCAUGAGAAGAUACGAGUAAGCACUAUUGCUUAUCAAUUUCAAGAGCUUGUUUGUGAUCAUUAGUUGAUGAAGUUUGGGGUGCCAAUUUCAGUUUUUGGUUUUUGCUCCCCUGUUAGCCUUGCAUAACUGUAAUAAGUAUCUAGUAAUAUGUAUGUGUCGAAAGGGGUUGUAUAGUUAGAAAACGAUUUGUUGAUACUUGUUUUCUUUUCACUUGGUUCUAAACAUUAUACAACACCAUUUGUUGCAGACUUUUCUACUCACCUGGUCAAGCAAAACUACACCUAGACGGACAGCCAGAGCCUAUAUACAAGCAUGGAGUGAAUGCUGUCUUUGACAGUGGUUCCACCUACACCUACAUACCUGCCCGGAUAUACAAUCCCUUUGUUCAUACGGUAUUUUAUCGAACCGCAGUGCAUCAUGGUGCCCAUGCAUUUGGACAGACACGGGACAUUUAAGUCAUGGCAUUUGGAUCUUGCAGGUGAGACAUAUGAUCGGCAGUUCACACCGCGAGGUGCAUGAUCAUGACCUGCCACAUUGCUGGAAAUUCAAAUCUAUCGACGAGGUUAAGAGGUUGUUCAAGCCACUGUCAUUGCAGUUUGACAACAAAAUUGCCAUGCAUAUCCCUGCUAUGAACUACCUCAUCCACACGGUAAACGUUUGAUGACUCAAUUGACUGCAAAGAGUGAAACGGCAAAUUACAAAAGCUAACAUGUCCUUACAAAUUUGUGUCAGAGAAGCAAUAAUUGGUGCCUGGCCAUCCUCAACGGAACACACGUUGGUGAAGACCGACGGAUCUUGAUUGGAGGUCUGAACUUGACAAACAUGUUCCAUUUUCUGAAACUAGUGCACCAGGCAUACAUGUUUGUAAUGAUCUCCAUUUUGAUCUUUUGUUUUGCAGACGCUACAAUGCGGGAUAUGCUUGUGAUAUACGACAAUCAGGAUGGUAGGCUGGGAUGGGUUCACCAACAAGAGUGCACCAGGCCUCAUCCUGCUUCGCGUCUCUGAGUAAAGUUUGCAUGGAGAUACAUAUUGGUAAAAGAUAGAGAUGGGCUUGGGAGUAGGCUAGGGGUCAUAACUCUUAGCAAGAAUGAAGUGAUGUUGAUAGAGCUUGUAUGAUCCUCUUGCUCAUAAUAAAAUGGAGUUCUUUGGUUGCAUUCCUGCUUGUCUAUGUUUAUCUGAACAAUCUGAACAAUCUAAAGCUGACAUGCCAACCUAGUUUUACAAGGAGGUAAAGCAGAAAAGGGAAAAAGCUUACAUAUUUUCACAUUCCUGACUUUUUCUUGCAACCGGAGAGCAUAGCUACGUUCAGUUUUCUUACAUUUUUUGCUGCCAUGUGCGACUGUACCCACUUUGUGCCCAUGCGCUCUUGUGUUUUCAGUGAAAUCUCCGUUUCAGGUGGGGUGCUUCCCCACGGUUGCCGUUUAAGGAAAAAAAAACAGUUAUAGAAUACCUCAUCGCCAGAAUUACUCAGAGGACAUGAGUGAGAACGAACAGUUAGGAGUGAGCAAUCGAACAACUCGGAGGGUGACCCGUCGAUUGCAUCUAUCAGUAGAACCACCUUCAUCCCCCAGACUCCUGAAAUCUCACAAAAUAGAUAGAGGGAUGGACGAAUAAAUGUAGGAAUAGAGAUAGUGAUAAUGAUAGAUUUUCAUCAUAUCAAAUCUUAUGAAUUAAACAAUCCAUAUUAAAAAAAAUUGCGGAACCCUAAUCCUCCAAAAUUCAUACAAAAAUUGUUCAUAAACAUGAUAAUAUUUAAAAUCAUGUUAUUCUAAAAUCUCAAGGAGCCACUAACAUGGUAAGUACCAAAAUUUGAGCCAUUUGAAGUCACGUGAUCGGAUUAUUUACCACCUCAUGUAGCUUUAUUUUUUCUUAUUAUUUAUUUUCUAGCAACCAAGCAGGCAAAACAGGCUCGCUCCAUCUGUAUAAUGCACCUUGUGGACAAAUUGAAUCUCCAUCACCCCUUAUUAUAUGGAGCUAACCCAACAUUAACACAGACAAGUAUCAGCUUGGUACGGGCGUAUGGCUUCAAACCGAGAGCUCCUGCUCGACACCCAAGAAGGCCCAUAGCGUGGCCGAGCCCCAUGAAAGAAAGAAAAGUUUUUCAGUCACUUAUAGAUGGAUUGCAGGUUGACUACACAAAAUUCCAGGAGGGGUUUCUGCAAAAUAGCAUAAAGGACGGUCAAAACCGCUUAGUACUUAGUUCUUAACAUGCGCUUUGUCGAAAGAGAGAUGUUAUGUCAACAAGUAGAGCCUGGUGCUUUGUGGCGAUCAGAUGCACAAAAUGAUGAAACGAGCUAUCUUCAGAGAUCUACCUCUGUUUAACCAGUGUACCGCCUAUGGUCAUGAACUCAUGACGCUCGGUCAAUUAGUGUAGGGCACAUGGUCAUGAUCACAUUUUUGAAAACUCACGAACAUUUUUAAGCUUUUGCAUGACUGGACUCAACAUGGGCUCAUGAUUCCCGUCGCAAAGUACAAAAGGCAUAUCCUAGCAGCGGGAUCCCCUGUCACGGACUCACGGUGCCCGAGGCGGAGGUGGUGGCGGGCCCCGCCGGCGGCACGCAGCGCCUCGUCGCCGUCGAUCGUGAGCAAGCACUAAAGAAAAUGGUACGUACAAGGUCGCUACCUUGGUGAGCAAGAACCCCAUGUGUCAACGGAUCCCACCGUUGCUAGUGCACUCUGAUUCAGAGUCGAGUCGACAUGUCGUUUAAUUUAUAUCCCCUAUGCCUGAUUGCCUGUGCUUCUGUGAUGAUAGUACACAAACUUGUACUAGCAGUAAUCUUUAUGCCUGCUUGGUUAAAAAACUCGAACGGUUCCCCGCAUAUCAUACGUAGUAAUCACCAAAGCAUCGCAUUCUAUGCAUGCAAGGCUGCUGUGGUGGGCUCAUUAUGAACGGUGGCAACAAAGCAUGGUCGCAUUGCUUUCGUCGGAAUUAUUUGUCGCAUAAAUGAAUAAAAAUAAAUGCUUAGAACUAAAGCGCGUCUAAAUACAUCCAUUUGUCCGACAAGAAAUUUCGAACAAAGUGAAUACUACGUAGUAUGUUGCUGCCUGCAGAUAAUUUUUCCACGGGUGAACUGAUGGGCCACGGACUAUUGAUCGUCAACUGCCGGUACGGUCCUUCGUGACGGCAACAACAACAUCAUCUUUCCGUCGCUUUUCUCAUGCAGGAAUGUCUUGGUAUCGAAAGUUUGUGCUUGCAUGAAAGGGUUAUACUGUAGCAUAAAGGACGGGCAAAAACGCUUAGUACUUAAUUCUUAACAUGCGCUUUAUCGAAAGAGAGAUGUUGUGUCAACAAGUAGAGUAUGAUGCUUUGUGGCGAUCAGAUGCACAAAAUGAUGAAACGAGCUAUCCUCAAAGAUCUACAUGUGCUUAACCAGUGUACCGCCUAUGGUCAUGAACUCAGGACGCUCGGUUAAUUAGUGUAGGGCACAUGGUCAUAAUCACAAAUUUUUUAAACUCACAAACAUUUUUAAACUUUUGCAUGACUGGACUCAACAUGGGCUCAUGAUUCCCAUCGCAAAGUACAAAAGGCAUAUCCUAGCAGCCGGAUCCCUUGUUACUGUGCCCGAGGCGGAGGUGGUGGUGGGCCCCGCCGGCGGCACGCAGCGCCUCGUCGCCGUCGAUCGUGAGCAAGCAUUAAAGAAAGUGGUACGUACAUGGUCACUAACUUGGUGAGCAAGAACCCCUGUGUGUCAACGGAUUCCACCGUUGCUAGUGCACUCUGAUUCAGAGUCGAGUCGACAUGUGGUUUAAUUUAUAUCCCUAUGCCUGAUUGCCUGUGCUUCUGUGAUGAUAGUACACAAACUUGUAGCAGUAAUCACCAAAGCAUCGCAUUCUGGGCAUGCAAGGCUGCUGUGGUGAGCUCAUUAUGAACGGAGGCAAGAACAGAGCACGGUCGCAUUGCUUCCAUCCUUGAUUAUUUGUCACAGAAAUAGAUAAAAACAAAUAUAUCUACAAUUAAAAUACAUCUAGAUACGUUCAAUCCUCCAAGAAGUAAUUCCGGACGGAGUGAGUACUACGUAAUACGUAUCUGCUUGCAGAUAAUUCUUCCACGGAUCAACUGAUGGGCCACGGACUAUUGAUCGUCGAGCAUGUGCGGGUACGGUCCUUCGUGACGGCAACAACAACAUCAUCUUUCCGUCACUUUUCUCAUGCACGAAUGUCUUGGUAUCGAAACUUUGUGCUUACAUGGAAAGGUUAUAGGUCGCUAUUCAAAGAACAGAGCUUUCUAUACAUCCGAAGGUGGAUUCUCUUGCAACAGGAAACAUGGUCAACGAUGAGAAUAUGGACAGAUCAAACUUUGCUUCCUUGGUGGGAGAGAUCAAGCAUAUGAGGAGUCUUCGUAGAACUUGUGUUUCCCAUGUUACUCGUAGCCAAAAUACUGUUAGUAAUUUUUUGGCUAAGUGUGCUAGAACUGAAGGUAGAACUGUCCUCUAGUUGAACUAUGGUCUUCCAUAGGCACUACUCGUUAAUCUUUGUAAUUCAGAUUGUAAAGUUGUUGCAACUUGAGUAAUACUUCAUCCGUUUGAAAAUACUUGUCAUCAAAAUGGAUAAAAGGAGAUGUAUCUAAAAAUAUAUACUUGGUGACAAGUGUUUUCGGACGGAGGGACUACAAGUUUUAACGGGGGGAAACCGGACACUACGCAGGACAUUGUCGUAGAUGGCCGGCCCCGCCGGGCAGGAGCACGCAACUCGGCUUCGCCAUCGUACGGAGGACUCUGCACCCACCCACCUGCUUUGCUACCGGACCAGGAAGGGAAAGCCGGACUCGCGAUCGUGUCGCCGCAUAGUCUAUCCAUCAUCUAAUUUUCCAUUCUUUAGAUUCUUCUCGGUUUGUGCACUUGGCAUUUUACUAGCUACCAGCACUAGCAACAACUCAUGAAAAGAAAGGAAAAAGGAAACGGAGAAGGACUGGCCGCCGGACGCAGCCUACCUUUGGCACCAACUUUCCAAAUGUGUCAACUGGUUCCGCCAUUCCUAGUGCAAUCUGAUUCAUGUUAUUUACAGGAUUCUCGAACUCCACGGCGUUGUUUCAUCUUAUGGUCUCGACUAACUGGUGUGCCAAUGCAUUUGGUUGUUUAGUUACACUUCUAGUACCUUUAUGCCAACUCGGUUGAGGGCCGAAACUGAACCAAGCUCCCAACUCCCGACUCCCGUGUAGUCCCCCCGCGGGCGACCCGGGAGGGCGCCGCCGCCGCCUAGGGGUUCCCUUCCCCGCUCCCCUUUCCCUCGCUGCCGCGGACGGGCGCCAUCGGGCAAAGCCCUCAUGGCGGUGGCGGCGGCGGAGCUGCUCGUCACCUGUUCUGCGAGGUGGGAUGCGGGGCUCCUUCUCCUCAACAACGUCGUAGGGCAGCAGGUCACUUCCGUCCCCAGUGCCUUCCCCCGACUCCCUGCUAGUGUGGCAUCCCUCCGAUGGUGCGGCGUACCUGGCAUGGGCGCUGCCUCCUCGCGGCGGAUCUGGAUACUCCCAGAUUGGAUCAGGGAUGGAGGCUUUGGAGAUGGGAUUGGCCGGUGGCCCUGCGGGAUGGCGGUGGUGGUGCAUCUGGUGGCCAGGCUCCGCUGGUAAUCUCGCGGCCUCUUGGAAUCGUGGAUGUGCCGGCGGCGGCGUGUGCUCAGCCCGGUGGUGGUGGCGGCCGUGCAUGGGAGUUGGAUUCCUUCGAACAUAUCUGGGUGAAAACCUGCUUUCGGCUACUGCCAAGGCUGGCGGUGGCAACGCUAUCUACAUCGUUCCCUUCUUGAAGGCAUCACCGUGGAAAAGUUCAAGGCCACUCUCUGCUACCUCAGGGGGAAACCCUAGAUCGGAUGAUUGGAUGACAGCGGCGCUCUGGUGUCGUUUUCCCCUUGGGGGCGUCAUUCUUGGAGGUACACACGUGAUCGAGGGACCAAAGGACGGAUUUUUUGGUGGAGCGGUGCGUCAUCUCACUCAUUGAUGGCGGCGGGUCUCGGCGGCAUGGCGCUGUGGUGAAUCGGUGUUCCAUGCGCGGAGAUGGACUCGCGCAAGAGGGUGACGCGUUCUGGCGUCGUGGUGGGGUCGACGGCAGCUAGACCUGGGAAGGUAGAUGCAGCAGUACAACUCUGAAGAUGGAUUGGUGGCAGGUGGCGGCGACGGCCUCAUACCUGGCAGGCGUCCUGGUUGAGGAGUGCGCCGGACUGGUGGGUGACCCAUACCCGGCAGGCCUCCUGGAUGGGACCUCAGGUCUUACAUGUUAGGUUUGGCUGCGAGGUCUGUUUGGUAUUAGACCCAGACUACCAACAUCCCUUCAUCAAUUGAAUAGGAGUAGCGACAGAUCUUGCCUAGACGGUGGCUUUAGUCUUACUAUUGCAUCACUUUGUAAGGUCUUGUGUGAAUAAUUAAUAAAGUGGUUGCAUGCAUCGUACAGAUGCAGAGGCCGUGGGUCCUCCUCCAUUUCUAAAAAAAUGCCAACUCGGGUGAGGCUGCAACGGUCGACCCACAUAGAUACUCCCUCCGUUCCAAAAUAGAUUAUUCAACUUUGUGCUAACUCUCUUUGUUCUGAAAAUAUUUGAACUUUUAGGCUUGUUCGAUGUCAAACAUCUUUAGGUUUUGCCAAGUUUAUAGAUAAAUAUAUCAACAUCUACAGUAUCAACAAUAUGUAGUACUAUGCAACUAUAUACUCUAUGAUGAAUCUAAUGAGAGUACGAAACUGGUUCUAUGUUGUAGAUGUUAGUAUACUUUUCUAUGAACUUUUUUUCAAUAAAGGGUGGAUUUUAUUGACUCAAAAUAAAGCAUCAAGAGGAUACAAAUACAAUGAGUACACACCCGUCCUCUGCAUAACUAGGAUGGACACAGCCAACUUGAACACGCACACACAAAAUACGUCGACAAAUAGCGAAGUUAUAUAAGACUAAAGCUAUGUGUAGGCCAGGAAAAAACCCCCAAAACGACCAGAUUGACAAUCGACAAACUACAACAAUGACCGUAUAUGCACCAACAAUUUCAAGACACCACGCGGACAAUGAGGUUCUUCAACAAUGACGCCUUCAGGAAGGGAGCGACGCUCAAAUGCCGCUCAAAUGUCGCCGUCAUCAGAUCCAACCAUCCAAGGUUAGAUGCAAGAUUUUCACCCUGAGAACCAGUAACGACGUAAAAACAUCGCCAUUGCUAGGUACAACCAACUCGGGUUAGACCUAGACUUUCAUCCCGGAGCUCGAGACCGGGUGCUCGAGAAGCACCACCAUCAAAGUCACUCAUGUUUUGUCGCCACUACUUUUCCGCAAUCUCAGCAACUAUAUGCGAUGUGUGUGCACAACCAUCCCUUGGCAUCAAGGCAUCGUUAAUAGUUUGGGUCUCACCGUGGAAGUCAACCAUCGGGUCUGGAGGAACCCUCACGAAGACCUUCCAAUGAAUACCACAAUCAGCCGCGAGACCACCACUGUAGUCAUACUGGUCAUCGAAAGGACCAACAACAUCAAGGCGCACACUACCACCGAGGCUAGAGCACGAAAAGGCAGAUCACCAUCGUGGAUGAACUCUUGCGCCUCCUGGGCGGAGCCAUGUCCGCCACAAGCAAGUUCGUCGUCAUGCCCCUGGCAGAUCCGAAGGUCCACACCUAGGAACCACGGAUCCACGCGCAUGGAGCCAUGGAGGUGCGUCUGGAUCGUGAAACGGCCAACCCGUGGCCAUAGCCAUUAGACGACCAGCCCCGGCUGACGGGAGGUGUCCAAGCCCUCCUGCCAUGGCCACUACACCAAGGGGCGCCAUCCCGCGUGGAGGAGCCACCAGGCGGACCAGCGACCACCGGUAAGGCGAGAUCCACACCCUGGAUGGCCGGAUCGAGGUACAUGCUCGCCAGAUCAGUGGUGAUUGGAGGAAGCGUGGGGCAGCGACUGCGAAUCUAGGUUGUGUUGGAAAUAUGCCCUAGAGGCAAUAAUAAAUUAGUUAUUAUUAUAUUUCCUUGUUCACGAUAAUCGUUUAUUAUCCAUGCUAUAAUUGUAUUGACAGGAAACUCAGAUACAUGUGUGGGUACAUAGACAACACCAUGUCCCUAGUAAGCCUCUAGUUGACUAGCUCGUUGAUCAAUAGAUGGUUACGGUUUCCUGACCAUGGACAUUGGAUGUCGUUGAUAACGGGAUCACAUCAUUAGGAGAAUGAUGUGAUGGACAAGACCCAAUCCUAAGCCUAGCACGGAGAUCGUGUAGUUCGUAUGCUAAAGCUUUUCUAAUGUCAAGUAUCUUUUCCUUAGACCAUGAGAUUGUGCAACUCCCGGAUACCAUAGGAAUGCUUUGGGUGUACCAACCGUCACAACGUAACUGGGUGGCUAUAAAGGUGCACUACAGGUAUCUCCGAAAGUGUCUGUUGGGUUGGCACGAAUCGAGACUGGGAUUUGUCACUCCAUGUGACGGAGAGGUAUCUCUGGGCCCACUCGGUAGGACAUCAUCAUAAUGUGCACAAUGUGAUCAAAGAGUUGAUCGCGGGAUGAUGUGUUACGGAACGAGUAAAGAGACUUGCCGGUAAUGAGAUUGAACAAGGUAUCGGUAUACCGACGAUCGAAUCUCGGGCAAGUACAAUACCGUUAGACAAAGGGAAUUGUAUACGGGAUCGAUUGAGUCCUUGACAUCGUGGUUCAUCCGAUGAGAUCAUCGUGGAACAUGUGGGAGCCAACAUGGGUAUCCAGAUCCCGCUGUUGGUUAUUGACCGUAGAACGUCUCGGUCAUGUCUGCAAGGUUCCCGAACCCGUAGGGUCUACACACUUAAGGUUCUAUGACGCUAGGGUUAUAAAGGAAGUUUGUAUGUGGUUGCCGAAUGUUGUUCGGAGUCCCGGAUGAGAUCCCGGACGUCACGAGGAGUUCCGGAAUGGUCCGGAGGUAAAGAUUUGUAUAUGGGAAGUCCUAUUUUGGCCACCGGAAAAUGUUCGGGAAUUUUCGGUAUUGUACCGGGAAGGUUCUAGAAGGUUCCGGAGUGGGGCCCACCUGCAUGGGGGGACCCACAUGAACGUGGGUAGUGGGGGCAAGGCCCCACACCCCUGGUCAAGGCGCACGAAGAUUCCCCCUUAGAAGGAAUAAGAUCAUAUCCCGAAGGGAUAAGAUCAAGAUCCCUAAAAAGGGGGGAUAACAAUCGGUGGGGCAGGAAAUGAUGGGAUUUCUUUCCUCCCACCUUUGCCAACGCCCCAAUGGACUUGGAGGGCAAGGAACCAGCCCCCUCCACCCCUAUAUAUAGUGGGGAGGCGCAUGAGAACUUUACCAAAAGUUCUGGCGCAACCCUCCCCCUCUCCCAAGUCCUCCUCCUCUCCCGCGGUGCUUGGCGAAGCCCUGCAGGAUUGCCAUGCUCCUCCACCACCACCACGCCGUUGUGCUGCUGCUGGAUGGAGUCUUCCUCAACCUCUCCCUCUCUCCUUGCUGGAUCAAGGCAUGGGAGACGUCACCGGGCUGUACGUGUGUUGAACACGAAGGUGCCGUCCGUUCGGCACUAGGAUCUCCGGUGAUUUGGAUCACGACGAGUACGACUCCUUCAACCCCGUUCUCUUAAAUGCUUCCGCUUAGCGAUCUACAAGGGUAUGUAGAUGCACUCUCCUUCCCCUUGUUGCUAGUCUCUCCAUAGAUAGAUCUUGGUGACAAGUAGGAAAAUUUUGAAUUUUUGCUACGUUCCCCAACAGUGGUAUCAGAGCUAGGUCUAUGUGUAGUUUCUAUGCACGAGUAGAACACAAGUUAUUGUGGGCGUUUAUUUUGUUCAAUAUGCUUACCGUUACUAGUCCAAUCUUGUUUCGAUGGUAUUAUGGGAUGAAGUGGCCUGGACCGACCUUACACGUACACUUACGUGAGACAGGUUCCACCGACUGACAUGCACUUGGUGCAUAAGGCGGCUAGCGGGUGCCAGUCUCUCCCACUUUAGUCGAAACGGAUUCGAUGAAAAGGGUCCUUAUGAAGGGUAAAUAGCAAUUGGCAUAUCACGUUGUGUUUUUGCAUAGGUAAUAAACGUUCUUGCUAGAAACCCAUAGCAGUCACGUAAAACAUGCAAACAACAAUUAGAGGACGUCUAACUUGUUUUUGCAGGGUAUGCUAUGUGAUGUGAUAUAGCCAUGAAGAAUCUGAUGAAUGAUAUGUGAUGUAUGAGAUUGAUCAUGUUCUUGUAAUAGGAAUCACGACUUGCAUGUCGAUGAGUAUGACAACCGGCAGGAGCCAUAGGAGUUGUCUUUAUUUAUUGUAUGACAUGUGUGUCAUUGAACAACGCCAUGUAAUUACUUUACUUUAUUGCUAACCGGUAGCCAUAGUAGUAGAAGUAAUAAGUUGGCGAGACAACUUCAUGGAGACACGAUGAUGGAGAACAUGAUGAUGGAGAUCAUGGUGUCAUGCCGGUGACGACGAUGAUCAUGGAGCCCCGAAGAUGGAGAUCAAAAGGAGCAAAAUGAUAUUGGCCAUAUCAUGUCACUAUUUGAUUGCAUGUGAUGUUUAUCAUGUUUAUGCAUCUUAUUUGCUUAGGACGACGGUAGUAAAUAAGAUGAUCUCUCAUUAAAAUUUCAAGAAAGUGUUCCCCCUAACUGUGCACCGUUGCGAAAGUUCGUCGUUUCGAAGCACCACGUGAUGAUCGGGUGUGAUAGAUUCUUACGUUCACAUACAACGGGUGUAAGCCAGAUUUACACAUGCGAAACACUUAGGUUAACUUGAUGAGCCUAGCAUGUACAGACAUGGCCUCAGAACACAAGAGACCGAAAGGUCGAGCAUGAGUCGUAUAGUAGAUACGAUCAACAUGAAGAUGUUCACCGAUGAUGGCUAGUCCGUCUCACGUGAUGAUCGGACACGGCCUAGUUGACUCGGAUCAUGUAAUCACUUAGAUGACUAGAGGGAUGUCUAUCUGAGUGGGAGUUCAUAAGAUGAACUUAAUUAUCCUAAAUAUAGUCAAAAGAUCUUUGCAAAUUAUGUCGUAAGCUCGCGCUUUACUUCCACUGUUUAGAUAUGUUCCUAGAGAAAAUAUAGUUGAAAGUUGAUAGUAGCGAUUAUGCGAUCAGUAGAAAGCUUAUGUACUUAAUGCACCGCUCAGUGUGCAGAACCCCAAACGUCGUUUGUGGAUGUUGCGAACAUCGGACAUACACGUUUUGAUAACUACGUGAUAGUUCAGUUAAAUGGUUUAGAGUAGAGGCACCAAAGAUGUUUUCGAAACGUCGCGGAACAUAUGAGAUGUUUCGAGGGCUGAAAUUGGGAUUUCAGGCUCGUGCCCACGUCAAGAGGUAUGAGACCUCGAUGAUUUUCUUAGCCUGCAAACUAAGGGAGAAAGCUCAAUCGAUGAGCUUGUGCUCAGAUUGUGUGAGUGCAACAAUCACUUGAAUCAAGUGGGAGUUGAUCUUCCAGAUGAGAUAGUGAUGUUUCUCCAAAGUCAUUGCCACCAAGCUGCUAGAGCUUCAUGAUGAACUAUAACAUAUCAGGGAUACAUAUGAUGAUCCUUGAGGUAUUCGCGAUGUUUGACACCGCGAAAGUAGAAAUCAAGAAGGAGCAUCAAUUAUUGAUGGUUGGUGAAACCACUAGUUUCAAGAAGGGCAAGGGCAAGAAGGGAUACUUCAUGAAACGGCAAAUCAGUUGCUGCUCUAGUGAAGAAACCCAAGGUUGAACCCAAACCCGAGACUAAGUGCUUCUGUAAUAAGGGGAACAGCCACUAGAGCAGCAUUACCCUAGAUACUUGGUAGAUGAGAAGGUUGGCAAGGUCGAUAGAAGUAUAUUGGAUAUACAUUAUGUUAAGGUGUACUUUACUAGUACUCCUAGUAGCACCAGGGUAUUAAGAUACCGGUUCGGUUGCUAAGUGUUAGUAACUCGAAAUAAAAGAGCUAGGGAAUAAACGGAGACUAGCUAAAGGAGAGCUGACAAUAUGUGUUGGAAGUGUUUCCAAUUUUGAUGUGAUCAAACAUCGCACGCUCCCUCUACCAUCAAGAUUAGUAUUAAACCUGAAUAAUUGUCAUUUGGUGUUUGCGUUGAGCAUAGACAUGAUUGGAUUAUGUCUAUCGCAAUACGGUUAUUCAUUUAAGGAGAAUAAUGGUUACUCUGUUUAUUUGAAUAAUACCUUCAAUGGUAUUGCACCUAAUAGGAAUGGUUUAUUGAAUCUCGAUCGUAGUGAUACACAUUUUCAUGCCAAAAGAUAUAAGAUAGUAAUGAUAGUACCACUUACUUGUGGCACUUCCAUGUAAGUCAUAUUGGUGUAAAACGCAUGAAGAAGCUCCAUGUUGAUGGAUCUUAGGACUCACUCGUUUUUGAAAAGUUUGAGACAUGCGAACCAUGUCUAUUGGUGUAUACGCAUGAAGAAACUCCAUGCAGAUGGAUAGUUUGGACUCACUUGAUUUUGAAUCACUUGAUAUAUGCAAAUCAUACCACAUGGGCAAGAUGACUGAAAAGCCUCGUUUUCAGUAAGAUGGAACAAGAUAGCAACUUGUUGGAAGUAAUACAUUUUGAUGUGUGCAGUCCAAUAAGUGAUAAGGCACGCAGUGGAUAUUGUUAUGUUCUUACUUCACAGAUGAUUUGAGUAGAUACUAAGUAUAUUUACUUGAUGAAACACAAGUCUGAAUUAUUGAAUGGUUCAAGUAAUUUCAGAGUGAAGUUGAAGAUCAUCGUGACAAGAGGAUAAAAUGUCUAUGAUAUGAUCAUAGAGAUGAGUAUCUGAGUUACGAGCUUUGGCACGCAAUUAAGACAUUGUGGAAAUUGUUUCACAAUUAAUACCGCCUAGAACACCAUAGUGUGAUGGUGUGUCCGAACUUCAUAGUUGCACCCUGUUGGAUAUGGUGCGUACCAUGAUGUCUCUUAUCGAAUUACCACUAUCGUUCAUGGGUUAGGCAUUAGAGACAACCACAUUCACUUUAAAAUAGGGCACCACGUAAUUCCGUUGAGACGACACCGUUUGAACUAUGGUUUGGAGAAACCUAAGUUGUCGUUUCUUAAAAGUUUGGGGCUGCGACGCUUAUGUGAAAAAGUUUCAGGUUGAUAAGCUCGAACCCAAAGCGGAUAAAAUGCAUCUUCAUAGGACACCCAAAACAGUUGGGUAUACCUCCUAAUUCAGAUCCGAAAGCAAUAGGAAUUGUUUCUUGAAUCGGGUCCUUUCUCGAGGAAAGGUUUGUCUCAAAAAUUGAGUGGGAGGAUGGUGGAGACUUGAUGAGGUUAUUGAACCGUCACUUCAACAAGUAUGUAGGAGGGCACAGGAAGUUGUUCCUGUGGCGCCUACACCAAUUGAAGUAGAAGCUUAUGAUAGUGAUCAUGAAGUUUUUGGAUCAAGUCACUACCGUAACUCGUAGGGUGACAAGGAUGCUAAAAGGUAUGCUGGCUCCAGCGAUCCUUCUAAGGACUAGAGUAAGCAUCUCGGAGUUGGAAAAUGCGCUUUGAUGAGAUGAUCAAAGAUUUUGGGUUUAUACAAAGUUCAUGAGAAACUUGUAUUUCCAAAGAAGUGAGUGGGAGCACUAUAGAAUUUCUGAUGAGUAUAUGUUGUUGACGUAUUGUUGAUCAGAAAUGAUGUAGAAUUUCUGGAAAGCAUAUAGGGUUAUUUGAAAGGUGUUUUUCAAUAAAAAACCUGGAUUAAGCUACUUGAACAUUGAGCAUCAAGAUCUAUGAGGAUAGAUCAAAAAAUGUUAAAUGGUACUUUCAAAUGAGCACAUACCUUGACGAGAUCUUGAAGGUGUUCAAGAUGGAUCAGUCAAAGAAGGAGUUCUUGCCUGAGAUGUGAGGUACGAAGUUAAGACUUAAAGCUCGACCACGGCAGAAUAGAGAGAAAGGACGAAGGUCGUCCCCUAUGCUUUAGACGUAGGCUCUACAGUAUGCUAUGCUGUGUACCGCACCUGAUGUGUGCCUUGCUACAUAUCUGGCAAGAGGGUACAAAGGUUAUCAAGGAGUGGAUCACCAGAUAGCGGUCCAAAUUAUCCUUAGAGGAAUAAGGAUAUGUUUCUCGAUUAUGGAGGUGAUAAAGAGUUCGACAUAAAGGGUUACGUCGAUGCAAGCUUUAACACCUAUUCGAAUGACUUUGAGUAGCAAACCGGAUACGUAUAGUGGAGCAACCAUUUGGAAUAGCUCCAAGUGGAGCGUGGAAGUAGCAUUUACAAUAUGACCUAGAGAUUUGCAAAGUACAUACGAAUCUGAAUGUUGCAGACCCGUUGACUAAAACCUCUCUCACAAGCAAAACAUGAUCAAACCCCAGAACUUAUUGAGUCUUAAUCACAUGGUGAUGUGAACUAGUUUAGUGACACUAGUAAACUCUUUGGAUGUUGAUCACAUGGCGAUGUGACCUGUGAGAGUUAAUCACAUGGCGAUGUGAACUAGAUUAUUGGCUCUAGUGCAAGUGGGAGACUGUUGGAAAUAUGCCCUAGAGGCAAUAAUAAAUUAGUUAUUAUUAUAUUUCCUUGUUCAUGAUAAUCGUUUAUUAUCCAUGCUAUAAUUGUAUUGACAGGAAACUCAGAUACAUGUGUGGGUACAUAGACAACACCAUGUCCCUAGUAAGCCUCUAGUUGACUAGCUCGUUGAUCAAUAGAUGGUUAUGGUUUCCUGACCAUGGACAUUGGAUGUCGUUGAUAACGGGAUCACAUCAUUAGGAGAAUGAUGUGAUGGACAAGACCCAAUCCUAAGCCUAGCACAGAGAUCGUGUAGUUCGUAUGCUAAAGCUUUUCUAAUGUCAAGUAUCUUUUCCUUAGACCAUGAGAUUGUGCAACUCCCGGAUACCGUAGGAAUGCUUUGGGUGUACCAACCGUCACAACGUAACUGGGUGGCUAUAAAGGUGCACUAUAGGUAUCUCCGAAAGUGUCUGUUGGGUUGGCACGAAUCGAGACUGGGAUUUGUCACUCCAUGUGACGGAGAGGUAUCUCUGGGCCCACUCGGUAGGACAUCAUCAUAAUGUGCACAAUGUGAUCAAAGAGUUGAUCGCGGGAUGAUGUGUUACGGAACGAGUAAAGAGACUUGUCGGUAACGAGAUUGAACAAGGUAUCGGUAUACCGACGAUCGAAUCUCGGGCAAGUACAAUACCGUUAGACAAAGGGAGAUGUAUACGGGAUCGAUUGAGUCCUUGACAUCGUGGUUCAUCCGAUGAGAUCAUCGUGAAACAUGUGGGAGCCAACAUGGGUAUCCAGAUCCCGCUGUUGGUUAUUGACCGUAGAACGUCUCGGUCAUGUCUGCAUGGUUCUCGAACCCGUAGGGUCUACACACUUAAGGUUCUAUGAUGCUAGGGUUAUAAAGGAAGUUUGUAUGUGGUUGCCGAAUGUUGUUUGGAGUCCCAGAUGAGAUCCCGAAUGUCACGAGGAGUUCCGGAAUGGUCUGGAGGUAAAGAUUUAUAUAUGGGAAGUCCUAUUUUGGCCACCAAAAAAUGUUCGGGAAUUUUUGGUAUUGUACCGGGAAGGUUCUAGAAGGUUCCGAAGUGGCGCCCACCUGCAUGGGGGGACCCACAUGAACGUGGGUAGUGGGGGCAAGGCCCCACACCCCUGGUCAAGGCGCACGAAGAUUCCCCCUUAGAAGGAAUAAGAUCAUAUCCCGAAGGGAUAAGAUCAAGAUCCCUAAAAAGGGGGGAUAACAAUCGGUGGGGAAGGAAAUGAUGGGAUUUCUUUCCUCCCACCUUUGCCAACGCCCCAAUGAACUUGGAGGGCAAGGAACCAGCCCCCUCCACCCCUAUAUAUAGUGGAGAGGCGCAUGGGAGCUUUACCAAAAGUUCUGGCGCAGCCCUCCCCCUCUCCCAAGUCCUCCUCCUCUCCCGUGGUGCUUGGUGAAGCCCUGCAGGAUUGCCAUGCUCCUCCACCACCACCACGCCGUCGUGCUGCUGCUGGAUGGAGUCUUCCUCAGCCUCUCCCUCUCUCCUUGCUGGAUCAAGGCAUGGAAGACGUCACCGGGCUAUACGUGUGUUGAGCGCGGAGGUGCCGUCCAUUCGGCACUAGGAUCUCCGGUGAUUUGGAUCACGACGAGUACGACUCCUUCAACCCCGUUCUCUUGAACGCUUCCGCUUAGCAAUCUACAAGGGUAUGUAGAUGCACUCUCCUUCCCCUCGUUGCUAGUCUCUCCAUAGAUAGAUUCUGGUGACACAUAGGAAAAUUUUGAAUUUUUGCUAUGUUCCCCAACAGGUUGGGGAGGAGAGGGGGCGGACGAGAAGAUCACUGCGGCAGUUGGUUCCUAUUGCUGUUGCCGAACUGUCGCUGUGACUGCGGUGAGGAGGGAGCAACGGAGGUGGCCUCAAGUGCUAGGGUUCUAUAAACUCGGUCAAAGUAAAAAGUGUUUGACUGAAGGCAAAUCUAAAAGUUCAUGAAGAAUGAUAUGUAUGUAGACACUAUUUGCGAGCAGCGUGCAAAAUUCAUGAAGACCGAUGUCGAUAUGCCGAAUUCAUUGGACCAUUUUCCGGGCUGAGAAUGAUACGUAUCUAGGCCAUUAUCAUGGUGAUGAUGUGCUGCUAGAGUUGGUCUGAGUGCAUCUUCAUCUUCGGCUGCAGCCUGCACUACCCUCUCAAGCACGCAUGCGCUUGUUUAGUUUUGGACGACGAUAACUGCUACACGUGUUGGCGUUAAGGGGUUUGGCCACACAUUUUGUGUAGUGUCUAAGAGGACCAGCCCACACGCCUGCGUGUGGGCAAAGCAACUAGCGCCACACGCCUCCUUUUCCUCGCGGUCCCUCUCACACGCCUACGUGUGGGCAAAAUGGAUAACUGCCACACUACCUCUCUCAGCCACCUACCUCACGGUCCCGCGCGCCCUGCGUGACAGUCAGCACGCAUCCCCGCAGUUGCCAUGAUUUGGACCAUCUUCAAUGUUUGUUUAACUGCAGUUGCCAUGUCGCUGAACUACAGUUACCAUGUCGGACAACUACAGUUGUCAUGGUUGCUCAAUUGCAGUUGCCAUCUCUGGUCAAGUGCGAGAUGCCAUUUUGGACAACUACAGUUGUUGCCAUGUAUAGUCUGAUUUAUUAUAGUUGCCAUGAUUUGAAAACUUUAGAGGUUGCCACAUACUAACACUAAGCAGUUAUCAUGUAUAGUCUGGUUCAGGGACGAAGCUAGAAAAAAUGGGCACUGGUGUCAGCCACUAGCCCACUAUAGUACUACGGCAGGGCAAUAAAAAAAACAAAUAUGCAAUGAAACUAUGAUAUAAUUUUUGCUAUAUACUCCUUCCGUCCCAAAAUUCUUGUCUUAGAUUUGUCUAGAUAUGGAUGUAUCUGUGACUUGAUACAUCUGUAUCUAGACAAAUCUAAGACAAGAAUUUCGGGAUGAAGGGAGUACAAACAUUACCAUAACUAUUGGCUGAGGAAAGUCAAAAAACUACUCGUUUAUCUAUCCGAGAAAAGAAACAAAGUAACAAAAUAUGACUUUGGCGCUUCAUUUGCAACUCCCUGAAAUUGAUGCACAAACAAAACGCACUAUAUUCACAACAAUGGAACCUGAUUAAAGAAGUAUAGAUAAAAAUUAUCAUUAAGGGAAAGCAUGAACGACGCAAGAGUCACAUUUAUAACUUCCCGCGAUCUUUUAUCCUCUUAUAAAGGAACCAAUCACGGCAUCACUAGUAAUGGUAGAAAAUAUAUCUUUCUCCACAUAGCCAAUUAUGCAAUCACACAUGGCCUCAUUUUCGAUGCGAACACUUUGGACAAUAUUCGUUGUUGAAAAAUAUCUCGCCAUGAUGUUAUGGCAACUGGCAAACUAAGCACUAAUUUCACAAGUUUAUCCAAGUUAAAAGUAGUGAACGGGGUUAUUUGGGCUUUAUAAUACGUAGCACCAACAUUUGAUGUAAGUGUUCUUGAACUCCCUGUUGCAUCUAAUAGUGUUUAUCUGAACAUGAAUAUAUCUGUAACUCCAAAAUGAAUCAAUGAAGACAAAUACUCGUACAAAAUAAGCAAGGUUAGGAAUUUUGUCUUGGAACUAACUCAUGUGCCCAUGACGACAGUGUAUCGUGUGGUCUGGUGAGAAGUCACUCGGGCACUCACCGUAUGCGGAUUAUUAGAUUAUUAAAGAUUGUGAAAUAAAUGUGUCGUUGAUUCAUCACUUGUGUAAUUCCAUCAGGAGAUGAGAGCCCUAUAUUCAAAUUACUAGAAUAGUAAGUACGUAUUUCUUAUGCAGCACAGAAUUUGUGAUCGAGGAGGCGAAUAAGCAAAGAGAGGAACAAGUGCGGUCAUGCGCAUACAGCGUAUUGCUGCCGCCGUGCCGCUCAUAUGAGCGACCGAGCAGCCUGCUCAAUGCCCAGACCAAAUAUGGUGUGGGCUUUGUGUUCGCACACGAACACGUCACCCUGUACCUCCAACAUCGAGGGUGAUGCACCGCAGCUCACGUCGAAGGAGACCCGUCCGGAAGCGCGGUAUGCAAGCAAUCCGGCGGGUGCUUUUGAUGACCCGAAACCCCACACGCCCGGGAGGGACCCCGUUAGGGCGCGCGGCGGCUAUGGGCUUCCCUAGGUCGGCCUGACCGCCCCUAGGGCCUCGAGGUUCGCCGUCCUGCAACAAGAAGAACGAACGAAGAACAAGGAAGAAGAAGAACAAGGGAGAGAGAUAAAGGUAAAGGUAAAAAGUGGUAGAUGAUUUGAUCGAUUGUUUGUUGUUCAAUCGGCCAUCACCCCUUAGGUAUAUAAGAGGCGGCUGGACUUCCCGUGCAAGGAAAAGGCUUGGAUUCACGUCCAAAACCUUAGUCAAAUUCGGAUUGGUCUUGUGUGAACUUUCCAAAACUGUUCGGUUUAAACUGGCUGCAUCUUGCGGGUCUUUUUUGUGGUGGUAAACGACUUCGGAUGGAAACGAGUCCAAAAGCAAUCUUGACCGUUUCGACGAUAUGAACAACUUUCAUGUUGAACGCUUUUUUAUCAGAGUUCAUCUUAAGGGUCAAAUAGCUUGCGUAAAAGAUCUGUUUACUCGCGCUACCAAUCAGACAUGGCGUGUGGUGGGGCGCGCCAUAUUUCGCCUCGUGAUAUGGCUGCACUCCGAUUGCUUUAACUUUUGCAUACGAACUCGGAUUUGGACGAUGCUUAUAUCAAAAUUGAUCGUUUCGACGAGACAAAAACAAUCCUGUAGAUCAUUUUUCCAUUUGAGGUUGUCUUGGGGGCUUAAUCGGCCAAACUAUACUCUGAAUAUAAGAUCUUAGUACUUUGAGCAUAGUUUCGGCCUUCGAGAUGAAAUCGGACGGAGAUGACCCAAACUUCAAAGAUGUUCAUAUCAACAAUACGGAACUCUUUUAUGAAGAUCACUUCUCCAUUUGAGGUCAUCUUAAAUAAGUUAUUGACCGUGCCAAAAUCUGGUGUCAACACAUGCCCCCCUGUUUUUCGGCAGAGCUUGUAUGCCGAAAAAUAACUUGCACAUAUCUUGCUCUAAGGACGAUGUCAACACUUCAUCAGCCAUUUUGCAUAUGCUUAGGACGAUAAGUUUAUAUCGGCCAUUGCUUGUGUGAAUAUUUCGAUGCAAGUUUGGGUGAAACUUUCCCAACUUCAACAACAAACCGGUGAUAAAGUUCCAUAGAUCAAAACCAUCCUCCGAACCAUAUUGUUCACCCUUUCACUAGGAUUUUGCAUAUAAUUAAGAAUGAACUUCCUUCAAUCCUUACUUUGCCUGCAUAAAAGUUUCAUUAGUGGCCGAAGCGGUGGACUUCGGUUCAGCCUUACCUAUGUUGACGAGACUAAGCAUCGGCUAUUGAUAGAAAUACAGUACACCAUGAUUAACAUAGUAGCCGGAUGCAUGCUGUGCGAACUCUUUUGAAUUGUCAUGCCUAGAAAUAUGAACAGUUUUAAAGCAACCAAGGUAAAUUUUGCAUCUAGACAUACCUCAAGAUAAACUACAAGUAAUUCGUCAAAACAUUCAUAACCCUUGGAUUGCACUACUCAUAACGAAUCGCUGAAAGCCUCAAUGUGUAUAGCACCUAUGGCAACCAAAAGCUCCAAACCGGAUAAAAUUUUAUAUUCGGCUUUGAUAAUUGUGAAAAAAUAUUUUAAGUGACAUGAGGCUUGUUUUGGUUUCCAAUUGAACUAAUGACAAUGUUAGGAUACUACAUCGGCCAUGCUUUGACAUAUUCUUAGGGCAAUAGAUAAAUAUCAGCCAUUAACAUGAGGUCCAUGUAGAAUUCACCCACCAAAUUAUGUAUAGCCUGUUGGAAAUAUGCCCUAGAGGCAAUAAUAAAAUGGUUAUUAUUGUAUUUCCUUGUUCAUGAUAAUUGUCUAUUAUUCAUGCUAUAAUUGUAUUGACCGGAAACUGCAAUACAUGUGUGAAUACAUAGACCACAACAUGUCCCUAGUGAGCCUCUAGUUGACUAGCUCGUUGAUCAAUAGAUGAUCAUGGUUUCCUGACCAUGGACAUUGGAUGUCAUUGAUAACGGGAUCACAUCAUUAGGAGAAUGAUGUGAUGGACAAGACCCAAUCCUAAGCCUAGCACAAGAUCGUGUAGUUCGUAUGCUAAAGCUUUUCUAAAUGUCAAGUAUCUUUUCCUUAGACCAUGAGAUUGUGCAACUCCCGCAUACCAUAGGAAUGCUUUGGGUGUACCAAACGUCACAACAUAACUGGGUGACUAUAAAGGUGCACUACGGGUAUCUCCGAAAGUGUCUGUUGGGUUGGCACGAAUUGAGACUGGGAUUUGUCACUCCGUGUGACGGAGAGGUAUCUCUAGGCCCACUCGGUAGGACAUCAUCCUAAUGUGCACAAUGUGAUCAAGGAGUUGAUCAUGGGAUGAUGUGUUACGGAACAAGUAAAGAGACUUGCCGGUAACGAGAUUGAACAAGGUAUCGGCAUACGGACGAUCGAAUCUCGGGCAAGUACUAUACCGGUAGACAAAGGGAAUUGUAUACGGGAUUGAUUGAAUCCUUGACAUCGUGGUUCAUCCGAUGAGAUCAUCGCGGAACAUGUGGGAGCCAACAUGGGUAUCCAGAUCCCGCUGUUGGUUAUUGGCCGGAGAGUUGUCUCGGUCAUGUCUGCAUGGUUCCCGAACCCGUAGGGUCUACACACUUAAGGUUCAAUGAUGCUAGGGUUAUAGGGAAGGUAUGUACGCGGUUACCGAAUGUUGUUCGGAGUCCCGGAUGAGAUCCCGGACGUCACGAGGAAUCCCGGAAUGGUCCGAAGGUGAAGAUUGAUAUAUUGGACGAAGGGUUUUGGAGUCUGAAAGUGUUCUGGAGGUACCGGGUGAUGACCAGCAUGACCGAAAGGUGUUUCGGGAGCCCCGGCAAGUGUUGGGGGGCUUCAUGGGCCAAGGGGAGGGGGCAAACCAGCCCACUAAGGGGCUAUGCGCCCCCUCACCUAUUCCCACGUGACCAGGGGGUUUGGGGCGCCCUAUCUAGGGUUCCCACCUCCUGGCUUGGGGGCCAAGUCACGCAAAGGGGAGAUCCUGUCUGCCCUGGUCGCCGCCCCCCUAGGGGAAACCCUAGGGCGCCUCCCCCUCUCCCUUCCCCCAUAUAUAGUGGAGGUUUUGGGGCUGCCCAACACAUGAGUCUCUCUCUCCCAAGGCGCAGCCCUACCUCUCUCCCUCCUCAUCUCUCGUAGUGCUUGGCGAAGCCCUGCUGGAGUACCGCGCUCCUCCACCACCACCACGCCGUCGUGCUGCUGCUGGACGGAGUCUUCCCCAACCUCUCCCUCUCCCCUUGCUGGAUCAAGGCACGAGAGACGUCAUCGGGCUGCAUGUGUGUUGAACGCGGAGGCACCGUCUUUCAGCGCUUAGAUCGGAAUCAUCCGCGAUCUGAAUCGCUACGAGUACGACUCCUUCAUCGGCGUUCUUGUAACGCUUCCGCUUAGCGAUCUACAAGGGUAUGUAGAUGCACUCCCUUUCCCCUCGUUGCUAGAUUACUCCAUAGAUUGAUCUUGGUGAUGCGUAGAAAAUUUUGAAUUUCUGCUAUGUUCCCCAACAGUGGCAUCAUGAGCUAGGUCUAUGCGUAGAUUCUAUGCACGAGUAGAACACAAAGUAGUUGUGGGCGAUGAUUUGUUCAAUUUGCUUACCGUUACUAGUCUUAUCUUGAUUCGGCGGCAUUGUGGGAUGAAGCGGCCCGGACCGACCUUACACGUACUCUUACCUAAGACAGGUUCCACUGAUUGACAUGCACUUGUUGCAUAAGGUGGCUAGCGGGUGUCAGUCUCUCCCAUUUAGUCGGAUCAGAUUCGAUGAAAAGGGUCCAUAUGAAGGGUAAAUAGCAAUUGGCAUAUCACAUUGUGGCUUUUGCGUAGGUAAGAAACGUUCUUGCUAGAAACCCAUAGCAGCCAUGUAAAACAUGCAAACAACAAUUAGAGGACGUCUAACUUGUUUUUGCAGGGUAUGCUAUGUGAUGUGAUAUGGCCAAAAAGAAUGUGAUGAAUGAUAUGUGAUGUAUGAGAUUGAUCAUGUUCUUGUAAUAGGAAUCACGACAUGCAUGUCGAUGAGUAUGACAACCGGCAGGAGCCAUAGGAGUUGUCUUAAUUUAUUGUAUGACCUGCGUGUCACUGAAUAAUGCCAUGUAAUUACUUUACUUCUUUACUAAACUGUUAGCCAUAGUAGUAGAAGUAAUAAGUUGGCGAGACAACUUCAUGGAGACACAAUGAUGGAGAUCAUGAUGAUGGAGAUCAUGGUGUUAUGCCGGUGAUGAUGAUGAUCAUGGAGCCCCGAAGAUGGAGAUCAAAAGGAGCAAAAUGAUAUUGGCCAUAUCAUGUCACUAUUUGAUUGCAUGUGAUGUUUAUCAUGUUUAUGCAUCUUAUUUGCUUAGAACGACGGUAGUAAAUAAGAUGAUCCCUCAUAAUAAUUUCAAGAAAGUGUUCCCACUAACUGUGCACCGUUGCGAAAGUUCGUUGUUUCGAAGCACCACGUGAUGAUCGGGUGUGAUAGAUUCUAACGUUCACAUACAACGGGUGUAAGCCAGAUUUACACACGUGAAACACUUAGGUUGACUUGACCAGCCUAGCAUGUACAGACAUGGCCUCGGAACACAAGAGACCGAAAGGUCGAACAUGAGUCGUAUAGUAGAUACGAUCAACAUGAAGAUGUUCACCGAUGAUGACUAGUCCGUCUCACGUGAUGAUCGGACACGACCUAGUUGACUCGGAUCAUGUAUCACUUAGAUGACUAGAGGGAUGUCUAUCUGAGUGGGAGUUCAUUAGAUGAACUUAAUUAUCCUGAACAUAGUCAAAAGGUUUUUGCAAAUUAUGUCGUAGCUCACGCUUUAGUUCUACUGUUUUAGAUAUGUUCCUAGAGAAAAUUUAGUUGAAAGUUGAUAGUAGCAAUUAUGUGGACUAGGUCCAUAAACUGAGGAUUGUCCUCAUUCCUGCGUAGAAGGCUUAUGUCCUUAAUGCACCACUCGGUGUGCUGAACCUCGAACGUCGUCUGUGGAUGUUGCGAACAUCUGACAUACACGUUUUGAUAAGUACGUGAUAGUUCAGUAAUGUUAAACGGUUUAGAAUUGAGGCACCAAAUACGAUUUCGAAAUGUCGCGGAACAUAUGAGAUGUUUCGAGGGCUGAAAUUGGGAUUUCAGGCUCGUGCCCAUGUCAAGAGGUAUAAGACCUCCGACGAGUUUCUUAGCCUGCAAACUAAGGGAGAAAAGCUCAAUCGUUGAGCUUGUGCUCAGAUUGUCUAAGUACAACAAUCACUUGAAUCGAGUGGCAGUUAAUCUUCCGGAUGAGAUAGUGAUGUUUCUCCAAAGUCAUUGCCACCAAGCUGCUAGAGCUUUGUGAUGAACUAUAACAUAUCAGGGAUAGAUAUGAUGAUCCUUGAAAUAUUCACGAUGUUUGACACCGCAAAAGUAGAAAUCAAGAAGGAGCAUCAAUUGUUGAUGGUUAGUGAAACCACUAGUUUCAAGAAGGGCAAGGGCAAGAAGGGAUACUUCAUGAUAUGGCAAAUCAGUUGCUGCUCUAGUGAAGAAACCCAAGGUUGAACCCAAACCCGAGACUAAGUGCUUCUGUAAUGAGGGGAACGGUCACUGAAGCGGAACUACCCUAGAUACUUGGUAGAUGAGAAGGUUGGCAAGGUCGAGAGAAGUAUAUUGGAUAUACAUUAUAUUGAUGUGUACUUUACUAGUACUCCUAGUAGCACCAUGGUAAUAGAUACCGGUUUAGUUGCUAAGUGUUAGUAACUCGAAAUAAAAGGCUACGGAAUAAAUGGAGACUAGCUAAAGGUGAGAUGACGAUAUGUGUUGGAAGUGUUUCCAAGCUUGAUGUGAUCAAGCAUCGCAUACUCCCUCUACCAUUGAGAUUGGUGUUAAACCUAAAUAAUUGUUAUUUGGUGUUUGCGUUGAGCAUAGACAUGAUUGGAUUAUGUCUAUCGCAAUAUGGUUAUUCAUUUAAGGAGAAUAAUGAUUACUCUAUUUAUUUGAAUAAUACCUUCAAUGGUCUUGCACCUAAAAUGAAUGGUUUAUUGAAUCUCGAUGUAGUAAUACACAUGUUCAUGCCAAAAGAUAUAAGAUAGUAAUGAUAAUACCACAUACUUGUGGCACUGCCAUCUGAGUUCUAUUGGUAUAUACGCAUGAAGAAACUCCAUGCAGAUGGAUUGUUUGGACUCACUUGAUUUUGAAUCACUUGAGUCAUGCAAAUCAUACCACAUGGGCAAGAUGACUGAAAGGCCUCGUUUUCAGUGAAAUGGAACAAGAAAGCAACUUGUUGGAAGUAAUACAUUUUGAUGUGUGCAGUCCAAUGAGUGCCGAGGCACGCAGUGGAUGUCGUUAUGUUCUUACUUCACAGAUGAUUUGAGUAGAUGCUGAGUAUAUUUACUUGAUGAAACACAAGUCUGAAUUAUUGAAAGGUUCAAGUAAUUUCAGAGUGAAGUUGAAGAUCAUCGUGACAAGAGGAUAAAAUGUCUAUGAUAUGAUCAUAGAGAUGAAUAUCUGAGUUAUGAGUAUGGUAUACAAUUAAGACAUUGUGGAAAUUGUUUCACAACUAACACCGCCUGGAACACCAUAGUGUGAUGGUGUGUCCGAACAUCAUAGAUGCACCCUAUUGGAUAUGGGGCAUACCAUGAUGUCUCUUAUCGAAUUACCACUAUCAUUUAUGGGUUAAGCAUUAGAGACAAAUGCAUUCACUUCAAAUAGGGCACCACAUAAUUCCGUUGAGAUGACAGUGUAUGAACUAUGGUUUAGAGAAACCUAGGCUGUCAUUUCUUGAAAGUUUGGGGCUGCGACGCUUAUGUGAAAGAGUUUCAUCCUGAUAAGCUUGAACCCAAAGCGGAUAAAUACAUCUUCAUAGGACAGCCAAAAUAGUUGGGUAUACCUCCUAAUUCAGAUCCGGAAGCAAAAGUGAUUGUUUCUAGAAACGGGUCCUUUCUCGAGGAAAAGUUUCUCUCGAAAUAAUUGAGUGGGAGGAUGGUGGAGACUUGAUGAGGUUAAUGAACCAUCACUUCAACCAGUGUGUAGCAGGGCACAGGAAGUUGUUCAUGUGGCACCUACACCAAUUGAAGUGGAAGCUGAUGAUAGUGAUCAUGAUGCUUCGGAUCAAGUCACUACCGAACCUGGUAGGUCGACAAUGACGCAUACUACUUCAGAGUGGUAUGCAAUCCUGUCUUAGAGAUCAUGUUGCUAGAUAACAAUGAACCUACGAGCUAUGGAGAAGCGAUGGUGGGCCCGGAUUUCGACAAAUGGCUUGAGGCAUAAAAUCCGAGAGAGGAUCCAUGUAUGAAAACAAAGUGUAGACUUUGGAAGAACUACUAAAUGGUCGUAAGGCUGUUGGGUACAGAUGGAUUUUAAAAGGAAGGCGAACAAUGAUGGUAAGUGUCACCAUUAAGAAAGCUUGACUUGUCGCUAAGAUGUUUUCCGACAAGUUCAAGGAGUUCACUACGAUGAGACUUUCUCACUCGUAGCGAUGCUAAGAGUCUGUUGGAAUUAUAUUAGCAGUUACUGCAUGAUUUAUGAAAUCUUGCAGAUAGGAUGUCAAAAAACAUUGUUUCCUCAACGAUAUUCUUGAGGAAAGGUUGUAUGUGAUACAACCAGAAGGGUUUGUCAAUCCUGAAAGAUGCUAACAAGUGUGCAAAGCUCCUGCAAUCCUUCUAAGGACUGGAGUAAGCAUCUCGGAGUUGGAAUAUACGCUAUGAUGAGAUGAUCAAAGAUUUUGGGUUUAUACAAAGUUUAUGAGAAACUUGUAUUUCCAAAGAAGUGAGUGGGAGCACUACAGCAUUUCUGAUGAGUAUAUGUUGUUGACAUAUUGUUGAUCGGAAAUGAUGUAGAAUUUCUGGAAAGCAUAUAGGGUUAUUUGAAAAGUGUUUUUCAAUGAAAACCUGGAUUAAGCUACUUGAACAUUGAGCAUCAAGAUCUAUAAGGAUAGAUCAAAACGCUUAAUAGUACUUUCAAAUGAAUACAUACCAUGACAAGAUUUUGAAGGAGUUCAAAAUAGAUCAGCAAGGAGGAGUUCUUGGCUGUGUUAUAUGGUGUGAGUAUUGAGUAAGACUCAAGACAUGACCACGGCAGAAGAGAGAGAAAGGACGAAUGUCGUCCCCUAUGCUUCAGACGUAUGCUCUAUAGUAUGCUAUGCUGUGUACCGCAUCGGAAGUGUGCCUUGCCAUGAGUCAGUCAAGGGGUACAAGAGUGAUCCAGGAAUGGAUCACAGGACAGCGGUCAAACUUAUCCUUAGUAACUAGUGGACUAAGGAAUUUUCUCGAUUAUGGAGGUGGUAAAAGAGUUCGUCGUAAAGGGUUACGCCGAUACAAACUUUGACACUAAUCCGGAUUAUUCUGAGUAGUAAACCGGAUUCGUAUAGUAGAACAGUUAUUUGGAAUAGCUCAAAUAGAGCGUGGUAGCUGCAUCCAGGAGAUGACAUAGAGGUUUGCAAAGCACACACGGAUCAGGAAGGUUCAGAUCCGUUGACUAAUAACCUCUCUCACAAGCGAGAUAUGAUCAAACCCCAUGGGUGUUGAUUCAUUAGAAUCACAUGGUGAUGUGAACUAGAUUAUUGACUCUAGUGCAAGUGGGAGACUGUUGGAAAUAUGCCCUAGAGGCAAUAAUAAAAUGGUUAUUAUUGUAUUUCCUUGUUCAUGAUAAUUUUCUAUUAUUCAUGCUAUAAUUGUAUUGACCGGAAACCGCAAUACAUGUGUGAAUACAUAGACCACAACAUGUCCCUAGUGAGCCUCUAGUUGACUAGCUCGUUGAUCAACAGAUGGUCAUGGUUUCCUGACCAUGGACAUUGGAUGUCAUUGAUAACGGGAUCACAUCAUUAGGAGAAUGAUGUGAUGGACAAGACCCAAUCCUAAGACUAGCACAAGAUCGUGUAGUUCGUAUGCUAAAGCUUUUCUAAAUGUCAAGUAUCUUUUCCUUAGAGCAUGAGAUUUUGCAACUCCCGGAUACCGUAGGAAUGCUUUGGGUGUACCAAACGUCACAACAUAACUGGGUGGCUAUAAAGGUGCACUACGGGUAUCUCCGAAAGUGUCUGUUGGGUUGACACGAAUCGAGACUGGGAUUUGUCACUCCGUCUAACGGAGAGGUAUCUCUGGGCCCACUCGAUAGGACAUCAUCAUAAUGUGCACAAUGUGAUCAAGGAGUUGAUCACAGGAUGAUGUGUUAUGGAACGAGUAAAGAUACUUGACGGUAACGAGAUUGAACAAGGUAUCGGCAUACCGACGAUCGAAUCUCGGGCAAGUACUAUACCGGUAGACAAAGGGAAUUGUAUACGGGAUUGAUUGAAUCCUUGACAUCGUGGUUCAUCCGAUGAGAUCAUCAUGGAACAUGUGGGAGCCAACAUGGGUAUCCAGAUCCCGCUGUUGGUUAUUGGCCGGAGAGUUGUCUCGGUAAUGUCUGCAUGGUUCCCGAACCCAUAGGGUCUACACACUUAAGGUUCGAUGACGCUAGGGUUAUAGGGAAGGUAUGUACAUGGUUACCGAAUGUUGUUCGGAGUCCUGGAUGAGAUCCCGGACGUCACGAGGAGUCCCGGAAUAGUCUGGAGGUGAAGAUUGAUAUAUUGGACGAAGGGUUUUGGUGUCCGGAAGUGUUCCGGAGGUCCCGGGUGAUGACCAGCAUGACCGAAAGGUGUUUCAGGAGCCCCGGCAAGUGUUGAGGGGGCUUCAUGGGCCAAGGGGAGGGGGGAAACCAGCCCACUAAGGGGCUGUUUGCCCCCCUCACCUAUUCCCACGUGACCAGGGGGUUUGGGGCGCCCUAUCUAGGGUUCCCACCUCCUGGCUUGGGGGCCAAGUCACGCAAAGGGGAGAUCCCAUCUGCCCUGGCCGCCACCCCCCUAGGGGAAACCCUAGGGCGCCUCCCCCUCUCCCUUCCCCCUAUAUAUAGUGGAGGUUUUGGGGCUGCCCAACACAUGAGUCUCUCUCUCCCAAGGCGCAGCCCUACCUCUCUCCCUCCUCAUCUCUCGUAGUGCUUGGCGAAGCCCUGCUGGAGUACCGCGCUCCUCCACCACCACCACGCUGUCGUGCUGCUGCUGGAUGGAGUCUUCCCCAACCUCUCCCUCUCCCCUUGCUGGAUCAAGGCACGAGAGACGUCAUCGGGCUGCACGUGUGUUGAACGCGGAGGCGCCGUUGUUCGGCGCUUAGAUCGGAAUCAACCGCGAUCUGAAUCGCUAUGAGUACGACUCCUUCAUCUGCGUUCUUGUAACGCUUCCGCUUAGCGAUCUACAAGGGUAUGUAGAUGCACUCCCCUUCCCCUCGUUGCUAGAUUACUCCAUAGAUUGAUCUUGGUGAUGCGUAGAAAAUUUUGAAUUUCUGCUAUGUUCCCCAACAUAGCCGGAAAAAAAACAAAUAAAAUAGGAAUAAAAUAUUUCGGCCCCUUUGUAUUAGCAACAAUGUAACUAACCAAAUGUAUGGUAAUUUGGUAAUACCCUCUCAUGAUAUAGAAAAUUAGGUUGCAUCCAUGGAUCAAAAUAAAUCCAUGGAGGGUAAUUGAUCAUACCUAGGGAUGAAUUCCAUGGCAAAGGCAUCAACGGCAUGGUUGAAGAAAAUGGAUGAUGUGCUAACCGAAGAUUUUGAUGUUGUGAUGCGCACCUUCGGCUUAAUUGUUUGUUGCUUUCAUUAUUUUCCUUCUUCACUUUUAUUGUACUUGUUGCAACAGAAGCAUGCACAUCAUUUUUGUGUUGAUUGAUCUUCUUGGGAACCCAUGCCAUGUUCUUCUUUUUCAGCUCUUGUGCACUAAGAUUUUGUAAUUUCUUCUUUUGCCAAUAUGAUAAACCGAGUGGGCAUCUCGGUUGUGAUUUUGUUUCAACCAAUGGCAACUCUUUUUGGGCCUUGUGCACCCUCAACUUCUUUUCUUCAGAUUUGGCACUCUGAUUUUUAUCAAUUGAUUGCUUCACUUCUUUGCCUUUGGUAGCCAAUGUCAACACUUUAAUUGGCUCUUUGUUAUUUGAGAUCAAAUCUGAAGCAGCACACUUACGACCAUCUCUUUUCACGCGGUAUGCUUUACCACCUCUUUCUUCUUUCUUGAGCUCUGGACCGAUUCCUUAUGAUUGAAACGGUCUUUGACGCGUGAUUGUUCAAAUGUUGAUCUCCUUGGGGCUGCAUAGUAUUGGUGAGAUGGUCUAGAAUAAGAUCGAGAAUGUGCCCUUGUAUCAUACAUGUCCCAUGAUGAAUAUGUAUCUAUAUGAGCAUAGGGAGGUAUCCACGGCAUUGGCAUUGGCGGCCCAAAAUAAGGAUAUGAAUAUGUUGCAUUAAAAUUAUCACUUUGCCAAUACUGAUCCUCAUAUUUGCGCCUUGGGGGUGACCUUGGUUUCUUUGCAUGAUUUGGCUGAUAAGCAUUCUUCUCUUCACUCUUCUUUUGAUAUUUAUCCAAUAGUUCAACGAAGAUGAUUUUUGAUCUCUUACACUUGCGCUUAUUUCGGCCUUUGUUUUCUUUUGGUUUGCUUUCAUCGAUCAUUGGAUUUGCUUGCUGCCCCCCAGUCCUUGGCGUCUCCAUUGUAGCUUCGAUGGAAUUCUUGCCCUCAAGAUUAUGUUCAUUACGCUCUUCAACAACUUCUUUACUUGAAAGCUUGAUCCCAUCACCUGUAGUUUUUACCUUCUCUUCAAAUGGAUUGGCUUGAAGCAGCCGAUGCAAAAACUUUCUGCCAUCGGGACCAAUCGGAAUAGACUGGUCAUCUCUUGGUGUCUCAACAAAUUUCAAUCGUCCUUUAUCAAUGGCUGAUUUAACUAUUUGACGAAACAUGUUGAAAUUCUCAAAAUUAUGCUUGGACGAAUCAUGCAACUUACAAUACAUUCGUUCUUGGACAGAUGGUUCAACAUGGUGAUCAAGAAUUCUAAUAUAAUUAUUUUGCAACAACAAAUCAAAUAUUUGAUCACACAUGCUUGAAUUGAAGGUAAACUUUUCAUUCUCUAGCCGAUCUUGUGUGAGAACGGCUUUGGAGUUAAGCAAACGAAUGGUUCAGAUUUUGCAUCACACCAUUCGGCUAUGCAUUGUGUUUUGCACUCUAUCUCCGAUGUCUUUGGGUAAGAUAUUAUACUAGCAUCAGUUUUCUCAACAGAAUUUAACCUUGGCUUUAAAUUUCUAAAAUAAAAAUAGUUAGAACAUACAUGUCUCAAUUGAGACCAAGUGCAAGCCAAGUACGAAAUAAGCAAAGCUACCCAAAUAGAUAUGAACUUUAGAUAAAGCAACGGGAAAAGCUUUGGCUGCAAUAAUAAGUCAUUAUCAGUCUUUAUAAAUGACACAAUUAGUUGACCGAUAUGUUCUAAAAUAAUUUUAUUGCUAACAAGUAAAUUACCGUUCUUCAUUGGUCUUUCAAAAUUACCUAUGAGGAUUUUUCUAAUAGAUGCAUCAACAAUAAAGUUGUGACCAAAUCUGAAAAUAGGUAAAUUACUCGCUAUGCAUACCUCUUCAAAUACGUUGGGAGAGCAUGAUGGUGGUGUGACUUGAACAAUAUCUAGCUUCAUCUUUGGAUGACUCUCAACGCGUUUUCAUCAUCUUUUUCUUUAUUCCGUGCAUCAUUACACUGAAGAUUUUUGUUAGCCGAACUUUGUUUGGCUACUUGUUCUUGUCCUUGAAGCUUGUCAAUUUCUACGGCACAGAACUCAUAGGGCAAGAAGUAGGUUCCAUUAAAUUCAGAAAAAUCAAGCACUGUUGUUUUCCUAUGCUUGCCAUGUCCUUUCUUAAUAAUGCUUGCCUUGUUGGAUUUGAUGGAUUCAGAAUAUAUACUAUUUGCUUCGGCUUUUUCAACCGGAGCAUUUUCAUGUUUCGAAUCAUCCUUCUUUUCAUUGAUACUACCAAUUGGCAAUGCUUCUUUUAUCUGAGCCAAUUCUUUUUCUAUUUGUUUCUGACGGCGAGCGGCAAAAUUAGCUUUAAGCUUUUUCUCAAUUUCAGCCCACUCCGGAUAUGAUUGCCCCCCAAUGCUUUUAGAUUCUUUCGGCAAUGAUACACGGGUGUUGCUGAAAUUUUGCAAUUGUGUAGGGGGUGUAUAAUAUGAUGUAGUACUAGGUGAAGGCAUAUGCAUUGUUGUAAGACCAUACUUUUGCUCGCCAAUUUUAUCAAUUGGCAAAGAUUCAUCUUCUUGCAAAACUCUAGCUUUUAUUGCGGCAUAAUCAGGAAAUAGCCCCUUUUCAUGUUGUUCAAGGCAAAGAGCACUAAUUCUCUUAUUUUGGGCUAAACUCUUCAAUGCAGCCACCACUACCUCAUCUUCUACAAUAUUGGGCACAACCGCUCCUGUAAAAUUUACAUUCAUUCGGCUAUAACCAGGAAGGUGUGAAGCCGAAUUAUGAGCAUCUACAGUUGUGUAUGGUGCCGAAGAAUUACUAACAGGAGGUGUAGCAUAUGACGGUUGAGAGUAACUGGCCAAAUAGCCACUAGUAGCAUGGUCAAUUCUCUUAUUCAUCGGCAUGGUUGGAUUACUAUAUUGCACAUUAGCUGCCGAUGAAUAAAAGGGUGAAACACUUUCAUGUAUGGCAUUGGAAAUUCUAACUUGGGGUGUUUCAAAUUGAUUAAUCGAACUCAUCAUGUUGCUCAUCGGCAUAUGAAUUUGCUGGCGCCGAUGCAUGUGAGUUGGGAUACAUAUGGUGCAUGUUACUAAAUCAUCAGAAGUUGAAGUAUAUAAAUUACGUUGAAUCAGCCCUUGCACGUAGUUAGUUGCAUGAUUGAAAAAAUCGAGGUUGGCCGAUAGAGUAUACUCAUUGAACGAUCUAGUUACACCAUAUGAAUUAUUUGCAUCUACAUAAAGGGGAUUGGGUAUUCAUAUUACUUCGUAGACUGCAAACCCUAGAUGACGAUCUCUUUGUAGCAAGAACGGGCCGGAGACCAUUCGAAGCUUCGUCCCCAGCGGAGUCGCCCAAAAGUGUGUUCACACACAAACACGUCACCGUGUACCUCCAACGCCGAGGGUGAAGCACCGCAGCUCACGUCGAAGGAGACCCGUCCGGAAGCGCGGUACGCAAGCAAUCCGGCGGGUGCUUUUGAUGACCUGAAACCCCACACGCCCGGGAGAGACCCCGUCAUGGUGCGCGGCGGCUAUGGACUGCCCUAGGUCGGCCUGACCUCCCCUAAGGCCUCGAGGUUCGCCGUCCUGCAACAAGAAGAACGAACGAAGAACGAGGAAGAAGAAGAACAAGGGAGAGAGAUAAAGGUAAAGGUAAAAAGUGGUAGAUGAUUUGAUCGAUUGUGUGUUGUUCAAUCGGCCGUCACCCCUUAGGUAUAUAAAAGGCGGCUGGACUUCCCGUGCAAGGAAAAGGCUUGGAUUCACGUACAAAACCCUAGUCAAAUUCGGAUUGGUCUUAUCCGAACUUUCCAAAACUGUUCGGUUUAAACUGGCUGCACCUUGCGGAUCUUUUUUGUGGUGGUAAACGACCUCGGAUGGAAAUGAGUCCAAAAGCAAUCUUGACCGUUUUGACGAUACGAACAAUUUUCAUGUUGAAUGUUUUUUGAUCAGAAGUUAUCUUGAGGGUCAAAUAGCUCGCGCAAAAGAUCUGUUUACUCGCGCUACCAAUCAGACAUGGCGUCUGGUGGAGCGCGCCAUAUUUCGCCUCGUGACAGGGCUGCACUCCGAUUGCUCUAAUUUUUGCAUGAGAACUCGGAUUUGGACGAUUUUUAUAUCAAAAUCGAUCGUUUCGACGAGACAAAAACAAUCUGUGUAGAUCAUUUUUCCAUUUGAGGUCGUCUUGGGGGCUUAAUCGGCCAAAUUGUACUCUGAAUAUAAGAUCUUAGUACUUUGAGUAUAGUUUCGGCCUUCGAGAUGAAAUCGGACGACGAUGACCCAAACUUCAAAGAUGUUCAUAUCAACAAUACAGAACUCUUUCAUGAAGAUCACUUCUCCAUUUGAGGCCAUCUCAAAUAAGUUAUUGACCGUGCCAAAAUCUGGUGUCAAUACUUUGUAGCCUAUUGUAGUGCUAAAGGUCUUGUUUAUUUUUAGGCAGUUUACGAUUGUAGUUGGGCUGGCAUUUUGGGCAUGUGAAUGAAGUUGCAUGAUCGGUGGGCUAGGGUCAAUCGAAUUUUUUAGCUGGGGUCAAAGGCAACUUUUAUUAACCACACUAGUUUAAAAACUGAAUGUUACACAUGAGUUUCGUCCCUGGAUUGGUUUACAACAUUUGUCAUGAUUUAAAAAACUUAGAAGUUGCCACCUAUUAACACUAGGCAGUUGCCGUGUAGCACUACAAAAAGACAUGACAAAACAACAUGUUCGGGUAAAGAGAUAGUUGGCAUCUGCUUACAAGCACACUAGGGCAGUUAUCGUAUACCCUGCAAAACACAUGACAACUGACAUGUUCGGGUAAAAAAAGAGAGAAUUGUCAUCUGCUUACAAGCACACUAGGGGCAGUUGUCAUGUACGCUGUAAAACACAUGGCAACUGGCAGCUUGGAUGUGGGAGAGGAGACGAGCGUGUGGGCGAGAUGACAGAUGUUCACACAUCAGCCCUUGUGCGUGAGUGAAAACUAGCAUGUGGGAACUGCUAAACGGACACACACCGGCCACUCCAUGUGGUGAAACAGACGUGUGGGCGAUCGGGUGAAUGCCCACACAUCUGCCUAGUCCUACGUGGCACCAUAAACAUGCCCUUUAGAAACGGACGCGCGCGGACGGUCGCGACGCACGCCCUUGUCCCCCCCCCCCUCCCGUGGCCCAUCUGUCAAGGACACUAGCAGUCCCUCCCUCCCAACGCUUCGACCCCCUCUCUCCCUCCCUGCCCCGGCGCCGGCGCCGCCGCUAUUUUCCGACCGCCUCCUCACCGCACAGCCCCCGGCCGUCCAUACCAAACCACGUGGCCGCCAUCACGCCCGCGCUUUCGCCAUUUUCGCCGUAGUUUUGGCCGUUGAUCGGAGGAGGUUUGGUCGUCGUCGUAUUUGCCGGUGGCAGAGGAGACACGACUACCGGCGACAUACCACGGCGGCCGCGGCAGCUUCGGACGGCUCCAGAGCGGCCAGUAGCCGGCCGACAACCACCCCUGCUGUGUCGAGGUGAUCAUCGCGGCCUCUUCGCCACCACGACCGCAAGGUGUUCGAAAUUUUGCCGACAAAGAUAUGGACAGUGGAGAUGAGUUCUUCUUCCACCACUUCCUUUGUUCAUCGGACGACUCAUCGUCGGACGAUGAAGAUCUUGUGGUGGCUGCACUGGUCGUUCACGACCACAUUCAACGGCAGCUUCCUCGGUACAGGGGGUCAGUCCCUGGUCGUGCUCCCAACCUGAACCGCAACAGGGACAGAGGCCAUGCCCUGCUCUAUGCCGAUUACUUUUCCAACAAACCGCUCUUCAAGCAGGAUAAAUUCCGACGCUGUUUUCCAAUGGGAAGGCAUGUGUUCAAUCGUAUCCGAGAGGGAGUGGUUGCUCAUGAUCCAUACUUCGAGUGCAAGACGGAUGUCCUUGGCAAGCUUGGGUUCUCCUCUUACCAGAAAUGCACCGCGGCCGUCCGCAUGCUUGCCUAUGGAAUUCCAGGCGAUCUGGUGGAUGAGUACGUGCGUAUGAGCGAGACAACAUGUUUGAUGUCAAUGUAUAAGUUCUGUCAGGCUGUGAUCGAGGUGUUUGGCCCAGAGUACUUGAGGCAGCCAACUGCCGCUGAUACACAGAGAUUGUUGGCGACCAACGCAGCUAGAGACUUUUCAGGCAUGCUUGGCAGCAUAGAUUGUAUGCACUGGGAGUGGAAGAACUGUCCAUUUGCUUGGCAGGGCCAGUAUAAGGGGCAUGUAGGCGAGUGCACUGUCAUAUUAGAAGCGGUGGCAUCGCAGGAUCUCUGGAUAUGGCAUUCUUUCUUCAGCAUGGCAGGUUCUCACAAUGAUAUCAACGUGCUGCAACGUUCUCCAGUCUUUGCGAGGCUUGCAGAAGCCCGCUCCCCACCUGUCAACUUUGAGAUCAACGGCCACCAGUACAAUAAAGGAUACUAUCUAGCUGAUGGUAUAUAUCCUCAGUGGUCAACUUUUGUGAAGACAAUCUCGAAGCCCCAAGUGAGAAGGGAAAGAGAUUUGCCCAAAUGCAAGAGAGUGCUAGAAAAGAUGUGGAACGUGCUUUUGGUGUGGUUCAAUCCCGAUGGGGCAUCGUUUGAUACCCUGCACUGUCAUGGGAUGAAAGGAAGCUUUGGGAGGUAAUGACUGCUUGUGUGAUCAUGCACAGCAUGAUUGUCGAGGACGAGCGUGAUGACAGUAUCUUCGACCAAGGAUUUGAUUUUCAAGGUGACAAUGUUGAGCCCCUGCACCAAGAACCGGCCACGUUUGAUGAGUUCUGCCAGUUCCAUCGUGAGCUGCGUGAUUGGCACACUCAUAAGGCUCUUCAAAAUGACUCGGUUGAACACGUGUGGGAGCAUAUUGGCAACCGAUAGAUAUAUUGGUUCGUUUUAUGUUCAUUCAAGGCAAUUUCGAUUUGGUUGUAAAACUAUCUUUAUUAGAGAGACAAUUUUUAUUGGGUUGUAAAACUAUUUUAAUUUUCAAACAAUUAAUAUUUGGACGUGCACACUUGUUUUCAUAUAAAAAUAUGGGCUGGCGGCCGAGAUGGGGCAAACGGAUGCGGCCGCGCGUUGAACGCAGGACCACCGCAUCCCAAAACAGGUCCGGACACGAACAAAAUCCGGAUAAAAUAGAUGUUCGUUUGAGGUCACGCGAUGGAGUUGGCCUUAUACACAAACGGCCAUUGGCAGCCGCGAGGCGAGGGCGCGCUGUGCAGCCACCAGUCCCCACAUGAUCUUCCGUCGCCUCCGCUGGACUACAUGAUGAGCGGCGGGGCCCGGCCGCCGAUGCUCGCGGGAUAUCCGGGCUCACUAUCCGUACGUCGCAGUUGACCGGCCUGUGGGCUGCCGGCUACAUGCGCCGUCACAUGCCUCCAGUGUAUUUCCCCAAGAAAGAUGCCCGAUCACAUGAUACUGAAUCUAUAGUUGCAGGGUGGAGCAUCGCACGUAUAAUUAGUUUAUGUGCUGCCCACGUGCGACCGGAACGUGCAUGCAUGGCCCUGCAUGGAAACAUGGUAUGGGUUGUCCUAACAACCUCGUUCUAACCACAUUGCAUGCAUUGCUAGGAGCACUUACCGUCGGGACAGCAAAUCCGACCUCUUAAACGAGCGUGGACGCGUUCACAAACAGUGACCGGCCGAGGCUCAAAUUUGCUCCUCCGCAUCCGAGUUUUUCACAUUUCAUCCCCUAGUUUCGUAAAAGAAAUACUACGGGCUCGUUCUGAAACUAUCCAGCUCCAAACUUCUCAAACUCUGAGAGUGGCUCCAGCCCGAACGCUUUUGCUCCAGGAAGCUAAAUCCACAAAGCGAUCCUGGGCCGUAGUGUAAUUUGGUGAAGUGAGGGAAUCCCAGCUCCACGUUUUCUCAAAUCUGGAGUUGCUCUUAUUUACCAGCAGUAUGCCAUCGCAAAAGAAGACGGUUUGCACCUGGUCUUCCUCGCUCAAACAGGUAUGGUCCACCAGCACCUCGCAGAUAUCUCCCCCUCUUUCUCAUGUUCCCACCGGCACGCCCGCGUCCCCCUUCGCCGGCCUGAACCUCCCUUCCGUUUACAGGUUCGGCCUUCCUAGGAAGAUUCCCGCUAGUUCCCGUCCUCAUCGCCGCUAGUCCCAUUGUAAGCGAGGGGCGGCGACCCCACUGGCGCCCGAGCAACCCUACCAAGCCAUGGGCCGAAACGGCCUCCUUCGGCCAGUUCAAGAAGGGGCGCCCAACAUACCAAGCGAAGGAAGAAGUCAGGACAACGCCGAACGCUUUUCUGUUCGCCAGCUAAAGCGUGAAGCUGGAUGGAGAAGCUGGAUUUUCAUAUUUUGAGAAGCUUGGAGAGGUUCAGAACAGUCCCUACGUACUACCCUAACUAAGCUUCAUCGUCGGAGAUGUCGACGGCGUCGGUGCCGGGCGGCAGCUAGAUGGUCGCGUGGGAGGGCUCCGACUCCUUGUCCUCAUCCGUAGACGCGAGCAUUUCGUCGAAGACCAUGGUGUGCUCCGCCUCCGCCUCCUGCAGACGGCGACGGUUGGCCUCCGCCUCCACUUCUGACCGGAGGGAAUCGAGGAUCGUCUACUGCUCCGCAUGCAGAUCCGCGUCCCCGGCGUCCCCCACAUCCCCCUCCUCCUCCUCCUCCUCCCCCAAGUCCUCCUCCGGAUUCACCGCGUCCGGAAGCAGCCCCACGGUGAUUCGGGCAUCGCGCCUUGCCCGAAUCUGCUCAAGGAGCUGCAGCCGGCGCUCCGGCGUUACAUAUGGGUAGCUCCUUACUCAACGGCGUAGAGGCAUGGCUACUAGUGGUGGCGGACGACGAGUGAAAAAUGGCGGCGAUGGCGGACGGGAGGGGGGAAAUGUGGACGGUUAGGGUGUCGGUGCCGGCGGUCGGCUUAAAUAGCCGGGCUAGGCACUGCGCGGCCCGCUGAAGCGGUGCCACACAGCGCCAUCGGUCCAACAGAGAAGACGACGUUCGGACCGCGGGGUUUCAUAGUGUUUUCCCCCUGUGGGACCCCAUCAUCAGUCUGCCGUGGCGGACGCGCCCGGGCUCCCCCAUAUCCACCCCAUAUUUGGAUACGAUGAGUGCCGGUCAACUCGGGUGUUUGAGACUCGUUUGAGGAGCUCCCCUGGGUCGCAUUUUCGUGACCGAUCACUGACCGGGCCGUCCGCCCGGGCUUUUGUGGCCGGUUUGGGGAGCUCGGUUGUAGCUGCUCCAACACCCUUGUUGUAUCUGCAUUGCAGGCACCGAUUAUGCACGACAUUCGUGAUUAUUCUAUAGAUUAUCUAUUAUGCAUCUCUGAAUAUUUGAUCUUGAGUUUCUGGAUGAAAACCAUAAAUCAGACUCUUGUAGUGACUAUUAAAGGAAUUGCUAGGAGUUUGUUUGGACGUGAUGUUUGGAUGAAAACCCACUAACUGACCUUCGAUGGUUGGAUUCAGCGAUGACGGCACUUAUAUGUUGUUUCCGAGGCGUUGCCGUUGGAGAACGUUCCUCGUAGUCCUUGUGUUGUUAAAAGAUAAUUAGUGCCAUUGAUCGUUGUCUUGUCGCUUUGAGGUCUUUUCUUUUCCUCCAUCUAAGCAUAGUUAUGGUCCGGUAUGGUAGACAUGUGAUUAUUUUUGUGUGUGUGUUACUGUUGAUUGUGUACAUCCUAAUGGUGUGGAGGUUGUGUGUAUGCACAUUAUGUUUGUAUCCUUGAGGCAACAAUAUUACUCAAUAAAAAGCAAUCUUUACCGUAAAAGAAAUCUUUAUUGUAACAUAACAUGUUUAGCUAGCUUCUUGUACCACAUUAUCUUUUUGCAACUAUUGUUAUGUGCGAGUGCCCUGCCAUAGAUACAACGAUUGCUAAAAAAUGGAUGUUCCACCGUAGGUAGAGUAAAUUUACAUUUGGAUGCAUGAGUUUUUCCUAAAUACAGGAAUAGUUCCAAGGUGCUUAAUCAAGACAAUAUAUAAUUACAAACCGCACACUUUAGUCAUCCCCUCCAUAACAACCUAUCCGCUGUCCAAAACUUGAACCUAGGAGGCGCCCACGGCAGAAUACUGGUAUACCGAGGAUCAUGGUGAAGUUCAUACCAAGAAAUUUGGUUUCGUAGAUUGAGGAGCCGGGAUACUCGCCUAGAGUAGUAAAAUGAGUGCUAUGACAGUUCUUGUCCAGCUCGUCUGGAGUAAAAUGAGUGCUAUAAAGGCUCUACCAAAGAUUUGUAUAAUCUAUCUAAUUUGUGUAGAUAUUUUGUGCUUGGAAAUGGUGGAUCUUCAACAUAAAAAAGAUUGCCCAUUAAACUAGGUUAUGUUGUACCUAAAACUCUGCUUCGAAGCAUGAAAAUGGUCAGGAUCAUGCUUUCUGAAACAUGUACGAUUUUAUUUGUAACUUUCAGAAAUUUGCUAUGAGUUCACUUGAAACUAUUUUCGGAAACUUAAAACAUAAAACCUGCUUUAAACUUAGUACUAUAUGCAGAUAAUUUCUGAAAGUGUUCCUACCUACGUGCACUUGGCUGAAUUUCGUGUUUUGACCCUUUUUGCAAACAAAAUCAAGAUCUGACCCUCGUUCGAAAAAAAAUCGGGAUUUGACCCUUUUGCUACCGCCAGAGCCCCUGGUGGUAGGGUUAGACAGGCUACCGCCAGAUACCCUGGCGGUAGGGUGUGACGGAGGGAGACGGGGGCCGUCACCGCGCGCUGACGUGGAUAAGUACCUUACCGCCAGACAACCAGGCGGUAAGCUGUCUAACCUUACCGCCAGGGGCUCUGGCGGUAAGGUGUGGCAGGGUUUUGCCGUGCAUGCCUUCUGUAACGAGAUAUGCAAGCGUCCUGGCGGUAGGUUCACCCUACCGCCAGGGCUCACGGCGGUAGGUUGUCUGACCCUACCGCCAGGGAGCCUGGCGGUAGGGUCCUGUGUUUCGUGUAAAAUUUUGUAGACAUAAGAAGUUUGAUCACAUCCAAAUAGUGUGAUCACAAUUUCAUAGAAAUAUGCAAGGGCCCUGAACAUAAGAACCAAUAGGCACAAUUUCAUAGACAUAAGCAUAAUUAGUUUUGCCAUUACAGAUUAAGAAACAAGUACCAAAUAACAUAGUUUGAUCAUAAUUUCAUAGACAUAAACAUAACAUAGUUUGAUCACAAUUUCAUAGACAUAAACAUUACAUAGUUUGAUCACAUCCAAAUAGUUUCACGAAGCCAAAAUAGGUAGCAAUCAAACAUGACGAUCAUCAGCAGCCACACGCAUAUAUAGUUUAGAUGAUAUCGAUGACGAUCAUCAUCUUCAAGCCUUGACGGUUGGUCUUCCUGAUAGUAAUAAGGAUGGCCUGUCCAACAUGAAGAUUCUUGUCAACGAGGAAGCUCUUCCACCCAUCUGUGCUUAAAUGUGUGCGACCGUCCGUUUCCACGCUGUACGCACAAGUAGUGACGGGGUCCCUUGCGGUAAGGCGUAUUCCAGCAUAGCCUUCUUCAUCAGCCUCGAUGCCACAACUCUCAGAUAGGCUCUUUGGCAAUUUCUGAAUAAGAAAAAUAUAUCAAUUGAUAAGUAUGGAUUAUUUAAACUAUUAACAAUUCCUUGGAUUCUACACUAAUAACAUACCAUGACAUGUCGAUCGAUCAUGGUACUUGUCAGACGGGUCACGAAUGGCGCCCCGAUCAACUCAGCACGUGGCAGAAAGUUGUCCCAUAGGUUGCACACCUCCCGUUCGCUCAGCCUCACUCUUUGAGCACAGAUGGCUUCCUCAAGUGGGUCUUCAUAGUCAUCAUCCUCAUCAAGUGGUGGUGGUGGCGCCAUGUUCCUUAUAUAAGCAUUGAUUGGAUAAAGUUAAUUAAACAUCAAUAUUUGUUCUAAUGCAAGCAAAACAAAUAUCUACAAUAUUCACACAAUAAAUCAUCACAUAUGGCUAUAAGAAAGACUAAACCUAGGGUUCAUCAUAUCAACUAGAGAGGGUUCCUCGUAUGGCUAUAUGAAAGACUAAACCUAGGGUUCAUACAUUUGCAACUAUAUGAAAUAGAAAUACACACAUUUUCACACUAUGCAUUAACAACCUACCAAUUUUGCAAAACAUACAUCUUCACAAAUUUGCAAUACAUUAACCAUCUACGAAUUUUGUUAUGCCUUUAUCCUCACAAUCUUGCAUUCAACAUACAGAAAGAUUUCUUAUAAAAUUCAUAUAUACAUGACAAAAUAAAAUGGACCAACAUAUAUGCAUUCACCAACAUAUCCUCACAUAUCUUGCAAUUGUUUCACCCACACAUCCUCACAUAGGCCUACUACUAAAUCAUAUACUCCUAAACAACUAAAACAUCAUAAAAAAAUCAACACCAAAACCUAGGUUGCACCUAGUGCCAAAAAUAACUUCAGAAAUAAAAAACCAUCGCGAAAACUGAUUGGAGGGAAUGGAGGAGCUUACCGGCCUCUUCGAUUUGCCCCAAAGAUCCGCGAAAAUGGUGGAGGGAAGAGGAAGAUCGAGGGAGGGGAUCGGGAUGAGGAGAGAGGCGGCGCUCGACUCUGUUCGAGUCGAGGGGAGGAGGAAGAACGGGCUGGUGGGUGGGGUAGGGCCCGCCCGCAGCAUCACUUGCCUCUUCGGUACCUACCGCCACCACCUCGGGCGGUAGGCCACCGAACCCUACCGCCUCAGACUGUGGCGGUAGGCCCUUUCCCCUGUCAGUACACGCCGACGGCCGUCAGUCGCCGUUAGAGGGCCUACCGCCACUGAUGAUGGCGGUAGGACGUGCAAACCUACCGCCGGCCCUCCUGGCGGUAGUCAAAAGGGUCAGAUCCCGAAAUAGUUUCAGACAGGGGUCAGAUCUCGAAUUUCUUUGUAAAAAGGGUCAAAACACGAAAUUUUGCCCGUGCACUUCAGCAGGGCAUACAGCCAUGACUCGAGAUGCCCCUCAGCAAGAGCCAAAAGAGAAGGCAUCACACUUUGAGUACAUGAUGAUGCCCCUUUAUAGUUCAAAAGUUGCCUGAAUGCAUGACGUCUCUCCAUGUAGUCGCAUGACUAGAUUCAGAACCAAUAGACACAAUUCACAAAGGACAGAGCAGCAGCCUCUCUCUAAUUCAGGUGUGAGUGCUUUUAACUUUCAGUGAGAUUUUGAUUUCAUUGAAUUUCAAUAGAUACUGAAAGAAUUACGUUUUAGCCAAAAACAUUUCAUGUAGAACUCAAAUAUUUUUCAAAAUAUUUUCCAAAAAGUUCAAAUAUUUAAUUGAAUUCAAAAGAAUAUUUUGGUGAUUUGGCUGAAGUGCAAACCGAAAUCACUGAAUUUCGAUGAUUUCGGUUGGUGCUAAAAAUUUUCUGAAACUGAAAUUGAAAAACUUGUGUGACCGUGCAAGCAAAGAUCAGCCGGCGCAGGACAAAAGCAAAAUGAGGCCAUAGAUAACUACAAUUGACAUCCCUGUUUAAUUAUUACGACAAUUGCAUUACAAAAUUGGCGUUCCAGGUCACCCGAGAGACCACCACUGAAAGCGACUCUAUCACAUCAUCUUCGCAAUUACAAUUACAUGACACAACAAAAGUCGAAUUAUUACGACAAUUGCAUUACAAAAUUGGCGUUCCAGGUCACCCGAGAGACCACCACUGAAAGCGACUCUAUCACAUCAUCUUCGCAAUUACAAUUACAUGACACAACAAAACCUAAAAGCGUCAGCCAACUGCCACGACACUGAACCAAAGUCCUUCGAGAAGAAAAUAAUAACCCGAACCAACUCUACACUAGCUACACAACACGAUCCACAGCUCCUGAACCCAAAACUUCAGCUUCUUUUUCUUGUUCGACCUCUACUUCUAAUUUGGAAUGUACUACCACAACAAAAGUCGAAAUAUUACCUGACGGCUACCUGACCAUGCAUGCUUGCCAUGUCCAAGCGGCGGCCAAAGUGCAGGGGCAGCAGGGCACAUGGUACAACGAUCCUAGCUUGUACCACCAAGUCGCCCAAAUGCCACCCAAAACCUGACGAGGCUAACACCUGGUAUGUACGUACGUUUGGGAAAACUCUGCAUCCGACCCCCGAUCGAUCGAUCGAUCUAGGGGUAUCAGAUUUGUGCGGGUUAAUCCUCACUAAGUUUUCUCUAAUCUGCAUUGGUUUGGGAAGCUUGCAAACCGAAUUACACGAGACCUGAUGAACAUGUUAGUGGGGGGCUGCUGAGGAGGAGGAGUCUGACGGAUGCUGCCUUCAUUCAGAACGGUUUCUGCAGGUACGUGAGCAUGUCGCCGAACGCGGCGGCGUCGCGGGCGAAGGCGCCCGGCGAGGGCGGGUCGAAAAUCAGCGAGCCGUCGAUGACGAACCCGUCGUCGUCUAUGACGCCGCCCCAGUCGUCGCCCGGCCACCCCCCGGCGAGGCCGGCGGCGUGCUGGCUCUCCGCGUAGUCCAUGUCGCUCGGGAAGUCGGGCGACGGCGAGGACAGCGCGCGCUCCGAGGAGCUGGAGUCCGUGUGCAGGCGCGGCAUGGAGUGGUUCGAGUUCGAGUCCCGGUCCGCCGACCCGGACCGGUCGAAGCAGAGCAUCUCCGUGGCCGGCGGCGACGGCUGCUGGUAGAACCCGUAGUCGGACAGCUCGACCUUCAUCGCUGGCCCAGCGUGGUACUGGCCUUGCCGCGGGAUCUUGGCAGCCGGCGGCGGCGCCGGCUUAACGUCGGCGACGUCGGAGUCCGGCGUGUCGUACCGCUCGAUGACGCCCUUCUUGUUGUAGAUUCGGCAGAGCACCCAGUCAUCCAGCUGCAAAGAUCAGGAGGAGAAAAGUCUCAGCGACGGCGAUAGAUCGAUCGAGCAAGAUUUUUUAUUUGAAAAGUAACUAAAGCUAGUGUACGUGUACGUGGACGGGAGAUGGGGAGGGCGGGCGAUGAGGCGGGCGCCGUUGUCUCCAUCCCGUGGUGCGUGAGCCAUGACGCCAUGCGACCGCCGCAAUUGCUUUCCGCACGUCGCUGCCAAACUACAGGCUGUGACGAAAGGGACAACUUGAGCGUGCUGCAACUUUGACCCUUUUCCCUUGUUCUUUUUCGCAUGGCCACGACGCACCUAACCUGCCAAUUGACUUUUCUAAAGCUAAAAUACAGCUUGCUAUUUCAAGAAAGAUCUCUCGCUUGAUUUCUAUACUAAAUGCACGGUAAAUCUCUCGCUAAUGCUAAAAUAGGAAGGGAUUAAACGAGACAGCCAAGCAUCAGCGCAGACUGACAGAGAGGGGACGGGGGCGGUGGGCAGGCAGGCAAGGUGGUUACCCUGAGAGCGUUGUUGGACUUCUUGCGGGCGGCGGCGGAGCGGUCGACGUCGGCGAGGCGGUACUCGUGCAUGAUCCAGUUGGUCUUGACGCCCUUGGGGGGCUUGCCGGCGUAGAAGACGAGAGCCUUCUUGAUGGCCACGGGGCGCGGCGACCCCACGGGCUUGUCGGCGCCCGUGGCCUUCCAGUACCCGGUCCCGGCGGCGCGGUUCGGCCGCGACCCGUUGGGGUACUUGCGGUCCCGCGGCGAGAAGAAGUACCACUCCUUGGAGUCCGGCCCGCCUCCCGCCGCCUUCUCCGGCAGCCUCCACGGCUCGAACUUGUACAGGUCGACCUCGGCGAUCACCGGCGCGGCGAUGGGCAGGCCGCCGCACUUGCGGCACAGGUAGUACAUCACCAGCUCCUCGUCCGUGGGGUGGAACCUGAACCCCGGGGGCAGCUGGAGAGCGCCGUCGAAGCCGUAGUCCAU
Molecule: long non-coding RNA, 101996 nt
Filed under: Triticum aestivum (bread wheat)
Lineage: Eukaryota; Viridiplantae; Streptophyta; Magnoliopsida; Poales; Poaceae
Description: long non-coding RNA (TAES_LNC002896)
Rfam family: MIR1120/MIR1122 microRNA precursor family (bases 74817-74940)
Source: RNAcentral